This 103474-nucleotide long non-coding RNA is filed under the name Triticum aestivum (bread wheat). RNAcentral describes it as "long non-coding RNA (TAES_LNC026640)". The record is from RNAcentral. Lineage: Eukaryota; Viridiplantae; Streptophyta; Magnoliopsida; Poales; Poaceae.
UAGUGAUCAAUCCCCUCCACCACCGCCAUCAUCUAGCCCCCCACCACUAGCUCCAGCCACCCCACAAACACCUCCAUAUAGUUCCCCUGUUACACCUCCAAGUUACGAACCUAACUAUCAACCGCCACCGCCUCCAUUGAAUCCUCCAUCCGUUCCAACACCACCUCCAUCCAGCCUUCCCGCAACACCUCCAAUGUCCCCGACUAAUGAGCAACCUCCUCCACCAUCGCCAUCAUCACCAUUAAGUCCACCUGCCACACCUCCAAUGUACCAAGCUAACCAACCACCGCCGCCGGCACCGACACCACCACCACCUAGUCCUUCAGCAACAACGUCACCACCUGGUCCCCCUACUGGUACUAAUGGAUGGGUGCAAGUUCAUAACUUCCGUGACACUUUGUACUGGCAAAUCGCACGCUUUGCGGUAUUAAUGCACAAGUUGGUAUACAAGAAGGAGAUGACCCUUGUCGAUGUGUUGUAUGUGAGCAUGCAGCCUUCGGGAAUUGGCAACAACUACUUUCUUGAGAUAAAAGCUGCAGAUGAGAAUAAUAAGGUCGGCAGGUAUCAAGUGCUUGUAUGGGGUGUGCCUGGGUCAACAGCUCAGCCAUGGAAAGUACUGUCGUUUAAAUUUAUAGGAUACUAAGCACAUGGUGAAAAUAAGAAUCUAGCUAGUAGCCAUGUUUGGUAUUUCUAGGGAAAAGAUAUAUAGAAUUUUUGUGGUCAAUGUGCGCCUGCAUGUCUGCAGAUUAGUUAAUCUUUGUAGCACUUAGGGGCUUGAUAUACCAAUAUAUGAUUCUGAUUUCAACGACAAAUUUUUUCGUGUUCUUAUUCAAAAUUGCCUCAAAUUUAUAUAAUAUGGUUGGAGAUAUGAUCAUAUACCUAGAAGCGUAAGCACGCUUCGCUGCGCCAUUUGUUUGAUGGUUACCCUGUACCUGUUAAAGUUUUUUGCUUAUUUGUAGUUCACUAUUUGUUAGUUCUAAUAUUGCUACAAGUAGUACUAGUUGUUAACAUUAAUCGUGCCUGCAUGCUGGCAAGAAAUAUCCUAGGCAGUAAAGCUGCAUGGAUGCAGCUAUGAAGAGCAAAGAAGAAGGUGAAAAAUGCAUGUAGUAUGACGGUAUAGCGGGUCAAAAGAAUUUGACUAGUAGUCUUUGCUGAUAAGUAAGUGACUAGUUGCACAAAGAAUGAGCUGCAUGUAAGCUAGAUGCCAAAGUCAAUUUGGCUAGCCAAUAAGUAAGAGAACAUGAAUUCAAUAUCAGAAAGAAAACACACAUAAUUACUGACAGGUUGACUCAAGCAGGACCAAGUAUAUGCACAAAAUUAAGAGUGUCAAGAGGUUGCAUUUCCAUGACUUGUUUUAGAAAUGUAAGUGCAAGUGCCUAACUCGGUAGCGUUGAAACUUGUACUCGGUUACAUCAGCCUAGUCAUCCUAGACAUAAGUUUAGAACCAAAAAGGAGAGUUGAAUAAGUAAUCAGCAGCAGCACAUGGAAAAUGAUGGCUAUCACGCUUCAUAGUUAAGAAGCAACCGUUUUCAGUGUAAAUAAAAAAUAUUCGGCAAGAAAAUGAGACGUAAAAAGGAGUAUUGAAACUUCAAAAUUGAAAUCAUAGUGAUACGCCUUCUCAUCAGCCAAAAAAAACUAUGGCAAAUAACUUAGUCAGGUUCAACUACAGGGGAAAACCUAACAAACAGGAUAGCCAACAGAGGGCACCCCAACACCUGCCACACAAUCGAAAAGAAAAGCACCCACCAUAUUUAGCCAAAAGAAUACAUACAUGCUGCGCCCAAACAUUUAAUCUUGGAACAAUAAUCUUAUGAAAUACACAUGCAAGCAGUUUUUGUGUUCAUAAACUUGACAGAACCUGAACAAACAAAAUGAUCUAGGGGGACACAACACAAUAUGAUAUCAUCAUUUUUGUGUUGGCGUGAUCGUAUUAGAAGAAAAUAAUUCCACUCUUCAGCCGUCUUUCAGCCUUCUAGUCAAAUUAUAUUAUAUGGCAAAGAUUUAAAGCGAGUCUAAGGUACUAACAGCCUUUUGGCCUGAUGCUGAUCUUCGGUGUAGGCACACGUAUUGUAUUUGCAACUGUAAGUAAACAUGGGGAAGGGCAGGUGUUACCAAGAACACUUCCAGCAGCAGCUCUGAAAUCACCAGAAUUAAAUUAUGCCUCUUCCACAGGGUUAGAAAUAAGAGGAAAAGCUGACCAUGAGCAAGGCCUCACUACGAGGAUCUUACUUUCAGAUGGUAGGUAAGCAGAUGCAAAUGCAUAAUAUUCCCUCCUCAUGGUAAACAUACAACCUUCCAGGCAGGGGAAAAAGCUUGUUCAUUCACAACCUCUCAACUGGCAUCACCACAGCUUACCCUGUACAGAACAAGAGUAUUUUUUUAGAUGAUAGAAUAAGAGCAUUGGCAACCAGAUAUGUUUAUACUAGCUAUAACAGGGAUCAGUAUAUAUAGUUGUAGAGAACACUUUCUAUUUGGCCUUGUAGCAAUAUCUAGGGCUAGGCACGAGUAUUAAAUACGUACUUCACUUGGUCACGACGACUCCAAGAAGAUCAAGAGAGGUGAACAAGACGUGAGCCGACUUGUGAUCAGACUAUCUGACAUCAUAUAGCAAAAUCAAACACUGGAUCUAUUAUGGUCUCAAGAAAAUACAUGUCUUGCUUGCAGAAGAUGUAAUGCACUACCAGUUUUACCACCGAAAGAUGCAUGGUUUCAGCCAUGAAGAGUUGCCUCAGAUUCUUGCUUAGUGAGAUCAGAUGAAGGUUUUAGCUAGUGAUAUUCUAGAUGAUCCCUUGUCAAUAAUAGGUGGGUGCUGCAACCACAAUCAGUAAAAUAGUAAGCCUUAACAACUAACAAUGCUGAACAAUCAACACAAUCAAUGGGUAACAAGCUGCAAGACUUAUCAACAAAAAGCUAUAUCCCAAGAAAGGAAGAAAAUGAAUUAAAUGACUGUAUUGUUGCAUCGUGCAGAGAACAUAUUUAAACAGGCAUGGUAAGAAUGGCUAAGUAAAUAUAGGAGCAACAGCGUACAAUGGCUAAAACGGAUGUCCAGAAUAAAAUGGUCUACAUCUUCAUACUUAUUCACUUCAACCCACAAAAAGAGAUACAUAAAAAAAGGCCCUGCACAUAUAGAAGUGUAUAUUCGCUUAGACCUGAAAUUAACUAUUCGUUAAAAUCCUUACUGAACAAGUAUUCUGUACAAGUAAACUGAGAUGUCACUUCAGCGUCUUACUCUUCCCCAACAAACAACUUAACGACCAGCAGCUUGUAACAAAACCUUAAUUGUAUAUACAGAUAUGGUAGCAAGUUUUCACCAUCCUGCUUGGGUACUUCCAAUGGAUGACCAUUUCGAAUGUGCAAUGGGACCAAUUUAUAAGUUGCUGAAGUUCAACUCACAUUCUUCCCAACGCAAAAAUGAAAUACAUAUAACUAAAAAAGUGGCAUGGUGAUUGCAAAAUAGUCGACAAAGAAUACAAUCAGGAUAAAAUGAGCGUACCAUGUACACUAUUUGUUAUUAUCCUAAAAAAACUACUGUGUGUUAUUUGCCGGGGCCUUGACAUGCCCAUUUUUCACGCUAAUCAAACUCAGCCGCUUGACGAUUGCAAAAAAAAAAAAGAGUAGCGAGUCGAUGUAAAAGCAUGGGCAAAUUGGCGUGAAAGUAAAAUUGCACCUUUUGUAUGUGGUUUGUCUCGCUGAACCACAAUACCAUCAAUUAGCAUGACCAAGCGGAUUAGAAGGUGUAGCCUGGCAGUGCAUGGAGAGGGCUUGCCAUGGCGGUGCCAGCAGCGGCAUGGCGACUAGGCAGCCGAGAAGAGUUCCGGCAAGNNNNNNNNNNNNNNNNNNNNNNNNNNNNNNNNNNNNNNNNNNNNNNNNNNNNNNNNNNNNNNNNNNNNNNNNNNNNNNNNNNNNNNNNNNNNNNNNNNNNNNNNNNNNNNNNNNNNNNNNNNNNNNNNNNNNNNNNNNNNNNNNNNNNNNNNNNNNNNNNNNNNNNNNNNNNNNNNNNNNNNNNNNNNNNNNNNNNNNNNNNNNNNNNNNNNNNNNNNNNNNNNNNNNNNNNNNNNNNNNNNNNNNNNNNNNNNNNNNNNNNNNNNNNNNNNNNNNNNNNNNNNNNNNNNNNNNNNNNNNNNNNNNNNNNNNNNNNNNNNNNNNNNNNNNNNNNNNNNNNNNNNNNNNNNNNUGGACCGGAGUGACAUGCCGCGGCGAUUCGUCGAACAGGUGGUGCGCGUCCUGCGGGGGUGAGCGUCCCGGAGCGCGCGUGAGUGCUCCGUGGCGGCGGCGGAAGUGGCGUGGCGCUUCCAGCUGCGUGAGGGCGGUGAGAUGGAGGAUGAGCGGGAGGAGGCGGAGGAGCGGCGAGGGCGGGGGCGGAGGCGGUGGCGGACAUCGGCGUGGUGGAGGAGAGGCGAGACACUCGGCGAGUGCGAAGUCACUCCUACAUUUGAGUCUGCCUCUGUCCGGUAUAGUAGUCUGCCUCGUUCAUUUUGUCAAACUUUGACCGUAAAUUUCAAAAGUCAUUUUUUAAAACUUUUAUCAAAUUUAUUAUGAGAAAAUACUGACAUCUGUAAUAUCAUAAAAAUAUAAAAGGAUAUUUCAUGAUGAAUCUAAUGAUACUGAUAUUAAUGUUCAUAUAUUUCUCUAUAAAUUUGGUUAGUUUAAAGAAGUUUUACUUUUGAAAAAACCAAUACACCUUAUGCCUUAUACUACUUUGGAAGGAAGGGAGUAUUUAAUUGUACUAGUCAAAUUUAUACUCAAAUUUAAUCCAAAAUACAAGGGGGCUUAUAAACCUGAAUGGAAGGAGUACUUGCAUGAACGUAUCGUUUCUUUCUUCCCGAGGAAGAAAGUGAUCUCACCGCCGCCGCUAGAAGCGUUUUCUUCCGUUGUCGUCCUCCGGUGGUUCCUCUUCGCCGACGAUCUUGGUCAUCAGUGGUGAGGGGUGUGGGGGUUGCCAGAUUCACUAUUACUAGCUUAGGUUUUGGACUGUUCAUCGUCUUGGUUUCGGCGACGGCGAUGACAGCGUGGAAUAAAGAUUCUUCAUGUCCUACCCCGACAAGAUGGUCGGUCCUAUAGUUGGGGAUGGAUUUGAAAUCCAAUCUGUUCAAGCAAGGAUGGUGCGGCAGCGGCGACAUCCUUGUGGUGGACCUGUGUCCUCGGCCUCCGCCGUUGUGGCGGCGUCUGCUUCAGUAUGAGCACGGAGCUUGGGAGGUAGUCCAAAAACGGAUGCAGAUUAUGGUCUGCAUUGGCGGCAUCUAGAAAAUGGUGAUCAUGUGCUGAGUCUGUGGUGCGUGGAUGGUAGGUAUGUUCCUCCUCCGGUAUCUUAGUCAUGUGAGGGGUGCCAGAUCUGGAGUUCGAUGGCGUAUACGGGGCGUUGCCUUGGUCCGAUUCAUUCAACGGUAAUGGUUUCAUCUUUGGCGAGCCCCAGCAAAGUUGCAUAUCAGCGAUAGAGCCACGUCGAGCUCGGGUGUGGAGGUGAUCUGUCAUGUUUUCCUUUGGUGGCUAUGUACUGUGGUAGUUUCAGAGGUGAUGAUGGGUGUUGGUAUCAAGCUCAGAGGAUUCUUAUAAUUUUACUUCUUAGCUGAUAUUCCUUUGUGUAAAGGCUAGCGUUUUAUUGUCUUUUUAGAUUUAUCGGGUCGCUAUGUACAUGGCUUGUACUAUGAUGUUUAUAAUAUAAAUGAGACACAUAUUACCAUGAAAAAAAGAGUACUUGUAUGUCUGACUUGUGUCGAUUAUAUCCCCUCUAAUGAAAAAUAAAUAAACUACUCCAACUAGUGGUAACUGCUAGAGUCUUCGUGUAUCUACAUUUAUUUAAAGUGAAUUUUAUGUUCAAGUAUAUAUUUCAAAAUUACAUGAUUUGUGGUACUUUUGUUGAAAGGCACUAAAACAGAUUGUUGUUCCCUAUUCUCAAUUAGUUGAAGUUUUGAAAAGAAGCUAGAAUUUCUUUGACAAACUUUUGAAGUGUUUCUUGGCCUAUCGCAUUUUGGGCAUGCCUUUCGCGUUCGGUGGCUAUGGCUUUACCGUACCGACAAUUUGUGACCAUGGCAUAGUCUGCAACUCCAGCAUAAUAUCAAGGUCCGAGAGCUCUUCUAUUCGGCGACUAUCAGCUCUGUGGGUGUCGGUGCAUCGACAUUAUUCUGGGAGGAUGCUUGGAUCGAUGGCAAAGGCAUUCGUGAGUUUGUGCCGAUGACUUUGUUCCUCAACCUCCUCGAACCACACAGUCUCGCACUAUGCGCGAAGGCAUGUCCAAUCAUGCUUGGAUCCGAGACAUUCAAGGUGCCAUCAGUGCUCUCUGAGCAUUCAUGGUGCAAUAUAUUGGACCGUGUUUGGUCUGUAUUAUUCCUCGCAUUUGUGGCCUGAUUCAACCUCGCUGAGCUACUACAUGCUCAGUGUCAUGUUUUGCACUUAGCUUGGUUUCUCGUAAAACCCGAACCUGCAUUAGAGGCAAACCACUAGCACCGUGUUUAGUUGCAAGCAUCUAAUACCAGAUGCAACAUGAUGGUGGUCGGCUAUGUUAAGACAUGCGGUAUGGUAACCUCUUGUUCGACUGGUGAGGCUAUUGAUUUCUACUACACAACCUUCUUCUUGUAGACGUUGUUGGGCCUCCAAGUGCAGAGGUUUGUAGGACAAUAACAAAUUUUUCUUAAGUGCAUGACCUAAGGUUUAUCAAUCCGUAGGAGGCGUAGGAUGAAGAUGGUCUCUCUCGAGCAACCCUACAACCAAACAACAAAGAGUCUCUUGUGUCCCCAACACACCCAAUACAAUGGUAAAUUGUAUAGGUGCGCUAGUUCGGCGAAGAGAUGGUGAUACAAGUGGUAUAUGGAUGGUAGAUAAUAAUUUUUUUAAUCUGAAAAUAUAAAAACAGCAAGGUAACUAAUGAUAAAAGUGAGUGUAAACGGUAUUGCAAUGUGUGGAAACAAGGCCUAGGGUUCAUAUUUUCACUAGUGUAAGUCCCCUCAAUAAUACUAACAUAAUUGGAUCACAUAACUAUCCCUCAACAUGCAACAAAGAGUCACUCCAAAGUCACUAAUAGCGGAGAACGAACGAAGAGAUUAUGAUAGGGUACGAAACCACCUCAAAGUUAUUCUUUCCAAUCAAUCCAUUGGGCUAUUCCUAUAAGUGUCACAAAUAGCCCUAGAGUUCGUACUAGAAUAACACCUUAAGAUACAAAUCAACCAAAACCCUAAUGUCACCUAGAUACUCCAAUGUCACCUCAAGUAUCCGUGGGCAUGAUUAUACGAUAUGCAUCACACAAUCUCAGAUUCAUCUAUUCAACCAACACAAAGGACCUCAAAGAGUGCCUCAAAGUUCUACCGGAGAAUCACGACGAAAAUGUGUGCCAACCCCUAUGCAUAGGCUCCCAUUGUCAAAAAACCCGCAAGUUGGUCACCAAAACAUACAUCAAGUGGCACGUGAUAUCCCAUUGUCACCACAAAUAUUCACGGCAAGACAUAUAUCAAGUGUUCCCAAGUCUUUAAAGACUCAAUCCGAUAAGAAUACUUCAAAGAGGAAACUCAAUUCAUUACAAGAGAUAAGAGGGGGGGGGGAGAAACAUAAGAUCCAACUAUAAUAGCAAAGCUCGCGAUACAUCAAGAUCGUAUCAUCUCAAGAACACGAGAGAGAGAGAGAGAUCAAACACAUAGCUACGGGUACAUACCCUCAGCCCCGAGGGAGAACUACUCCCUCCUCGUCAUGGAGAGCGCCGGGAUGAUGAAGAUGGACACCGGUGAGGGUUCCCCCCUCCGGUAGGGUGCCGGAACAGGGUCCCGAUUGACUUUUGGUGGCUACAGAGGCUUCUGGCGGCGGAACUCCUGAUCUAUUGUCCGUUCUGGAAGUUUUAGGUCACGUAGGUAUAUAUGGGUGCAGGAGGUACGUCAGGGGAGCCACGAGGGCCCCACGAGACAGGGGGGCGCGCCCUAGGGGGGGCGCCCCCCACCCUCGUGAGCACCUCAUUUCUUCCUUGACGUGGGGUCCAAGUCCAUCAGGUGUGUUUCCUUCCAAAAAUAACUUCUCUAGUUAAUUUCUUUCCAUUUUGACUCCGUCUGAUAUUCCUUUUCUUCAAAACACUGGAAUAGGCAUAAAACAAAAAAUCUGGGUUGGGCCUCCGGUUAAUAGGUUAGUCCCAAAAAUAAUAUAAAAGUGGAUAAUAAAGCCCAAUAUUGCUUAAAACAGUAGAUAAUAUAGCAUGGAGCAAUCAAAAAUUAUAGAUACGUUGGAGACGUAUCAAGCAUCCCCAAGCUUAAUUCCUGCCCGUCCUCGAGUAGGUAAAUGAUAAAAAGAUAAUUUUUGAUGUGGAAUGCUAGUUGGCAUAAUUUCAAUGUAAUUCUUCUUACUUGUGAUAUGAAUAUUCAGAUUCGAGAGAUUCAAGACAAAAGUUCACAUUGACAUAAAAAUAAUAAUACUUCAAGCAUACUAACUAAGCAAUUAUGUCUUCUCAAAAUAACAUGGCCAAAGAAAGUUAUCCCUACAAAAUCAUAUAGUCUGGCUAUGCUCCAUCUUCACCACACAACAUAUUUAAAUCAUGCACAACCCCGAUGACAAGCCAAGCAAUUGUUUCAUACUUUUGAUGUUCUCAAACUUUUUCAAUCUUCACACAAUACAUGAGCGUGAGCCAUGGACAUAGCACUAUAGGUGGAAUAGAAUGGUGGUUGUGGAGAAGACAAAAAGGGAGAAGAUAGUCUCACAUCAACUAGGCAUAUCAAUGGGCUAUGGAGAUGCCCAUCAAUAGAUAUCAAUGUGAGUGAGUAGGGAUUGCCAUGCAACGGAUGCACUUAGAGCUAUAAAUGUAUGAAAGCUCAACAAAAGAAACUAGUGGUGUGCAUCCAACUUGCUUGCUCACGAAGACCUAGGGCAUUUGAUGAGGCCCAUCAUUGGAAUAUACAAGCCAAGUUCUAUAAUGUAAAAUUCCCACCAGUAUAUGAAAGUGAUAACAUGAGAGACUCUCUACUAUGAAGAUCAUGGUGCUACUUUGAAGCACAAGUGUGGUAAAAGGAUAGUAGCAUUGCCUCUUUUAUUUAUUUUCUUUUUUAUUUGGCCUUUCUUUUUUUAUUUGGCCUUUCUUUUUUUGGCCUUUCUCUUUUUUUAUUGGGACAAUGCUCUAUUGAAUGAUGAUCAUCACACUUCUAUUUAUUUACAACUCGAUGAUACAACUCGAUACUAGAACAAAGAUGACUCUAUAUGAAUGCCUCCGGCGGUGUACCUGUUGGGGAACGUAGCAGAAUUUUAAAAUUUUCUACGCAUCACCAAGAUCAAUCUAUGGAGUCAUCUAGCAACGAGGGAGAGAGGAGUGCAUCUACAUACCCUUGUAGAUCGCGCGCGGAAGCCUUCAAGAGAACGGGGUUGAUGGAGUCGUACUCGUCGUGAUCCAAAUCACCGAUGACCUAGCGCCGACGGACGGCACCUCCGCGUUCAACACACGUACGGUUGGGAAGACGUCUCCUCCAACUUGAUCCAGCAAGGGUGAAGGAGAGGUUGAUGAAGAUCCAGCAGCACGACGACGUGGUGGUGGAAGCAACGGUGAUCUCGGCAGGGCUUCGCCAAGCUCAGGGAGAGGGAGGAGUGUCACAAGAGGGAGAGGGAGGCGCCAGGUGUUGGGGAACGUUGCAGAAAACAAAAAAUUUCCUACUCGUUUCACCAAGAUCAUCUAGGAGUUCAUCUAGCAACGAGUGAUUAGAUGCAUCUACAUACCUUUGUAGAUCGCGCACGGAAGCGUUCAAAAGAAUGGUGAUGAUGUAGUCGUACUCGACGUGAUCCAAAUCACCGAUGACCAGCGCCGAACGGACGGCACCUCCGCGUUCAACACACGUACGGGACGGGAGACGUCUCCUCCUUCUUGAUCCAGCAAGGGGGAAGGAGAGGUUGAUGAAGAUCCAGCAGCACGACGGCGUGGUGGUGGAUGCAGGGCAUCACAGCAGCAGGGCUUCGCCGAGACUACGAGGGAGAGACGUAACGGGGGGAGAUGGAGGCGCCAGGGGCUGGUGUGUAAUCCCUCCUCUCCCCCCACUAUAUAUAGGGGUGCCAGGGGGGCGCCGGCCCUAGUAGAUGAGAUCUACUAGGGGGGGCGGCGGCCAAGGGGAGGUUUCCCUCCCCCCCAAGGCACCUAGGGGUGCCUUCCACCACAUGGACUCUUCCAUGGUGGAAACCCUAGGCGCAUGGGCCUAUAGGGGCUGGUGCCCUUGGCCCAUCUACGCCAAGGCGCACCCCCUACAGCCCAUGUGGCCCCCCAGGACAGGUGGCCCCACUCGGUGGACCCCCGGGACCCUUCCGGUGGUCCCGGUACAAUACCGAUAACCCCGAAACUUGUCCCGAUGCCCGAAAUAGCACUUCCUAUAUAUAAUUCUUUACCUCCGGACCAUUCUGGAACUCCUCGUGACGUCCGGGAUCUCAUCCGGGACUCCGAACAACAUUCGGGUUUCUGCAUAUACAUAUCUUCAUAACCCUAGCGUCACCGAACCUUAAGUGUGUAGACCCUACGGGUUCGGGAGACAAGCAGACAUGACCGAGACGACUCUCCGGUCAAUAACCAACAGCGGGAUCUGGAUACCCAUGUUGGCUCCCACAUGCUCCACGAUGAUCUCAUCGGAUGAACCACGAUGUCGAGGAUUCAAUCAAUCCCGUACGCUAUUCCCUUUGUCUAUCGAUAUGUUACUUGCCCGAGAUUCGAUCGUCGGUAUCCCAAUACCUCGUUCAAUCUCGUUACCGGCAAGUCACUUUACUCAUACCGUAAUGCAUGAUCCCGUGACCAGACACUUGGUCACUCUGAGCUCAUUAUGAUGAUGCAUUACCGAGUGGGCCCAGUGAUACCUCUCCGUCAUACGGAGUGACAAAUCCCAGUCUUGAUCCAUGUCACCCAACAGACACUUUCGGAGAUACCCGUAGUCUACCUUUAUAGUCACCCAGUUAUGUUGUGACGUUUGGCAUACCCAAAGCACUCCUACGGUAUCCGGGAGUUACACGAUCUCAUGGUCUAAGGAAAAGAUACUUUGCCAUUGGAAAACUCUAGCAAACGAACUAUACGAUCUUGUGCUAUGUUUAGGAUUGGGUCUUGUCCAUCACAUCAUUCUCCCAAUGAUGUGAUCUCGUUAUCAAUGACAUCCAGUGUCCAUAGUCAGGAAACCAUGACUAUCUGUUGAUCAACGAGCUAGUCAGCUAGAGGCUCACUAGGGACAUGUUGGUGUCUGUUAUUCACACAUGUAUUACGAUUUCCGGAUAACACAAUUAUAGCAUGAAUAAAGACAAUUAUCAUGAACAAGGAAAUAUAAUAAUAAUGCUUUUAUUAUUGCCUCUAGGGCAUAUUUCCAACAGUCUCCCACUUGCACUAGAGUCAAUAAUCUAGUUACAUUGUGAUGAAUCGAACACCCAUGGAAUUCUGGUGUUGAUCAUGUUUUGCUCUAGGGAGAGGUUUAGUCAACGGAUCUGCUAUAUUCAGGUCCGUAUGUACUUUACAAAUCUCUAUGUCUCCAUCUUGAACAUUUUCACGAAUGGAGUUGAAGCGACGCUUGAUGUGCCUUGUCUUCUUGUGAAACCUGGGCUCCUUGGCAAGUGCAAUAGCUCCAGUGUUGUCACAGAAGAGCUUGAUCGGCCCCGACGCAUUGGGUAUGACUCCUAGGUCGAUGAUGAACUCCUUCACCCAUAUUGCUUCAUGUGCUGCCUCCGAGGCUGCCAUGUACUCCGCUUCACAUGUAGAUCCCGCCACGACGCUUUGCUUGCAACUGCACCAGCUUACUGCCCCACCAUUCAAAAUAUACACGUAUCCGGUUUGUGACUUAGAGUCAUCCAGAUCUGUGUCGAAGCUAGCGUCGACGUAACCCUUUACGACGAGCUCUUCGUCACCUCCAUAAACGAGAAACAUUUCGUUAGUCCUUUUCAGGUACUUCAGGAUAUUCUUGACCGCUGUCCAGUGUUCCUUGCCGGGAUUACUUUGGUACCUUCCUACCAAACUGACGGCAAGGUUAACAUCAGGUCUGGUACACAACAUGGCAUACAUAAUAGAACCUAUGGCUGAGGCAUAGGGGAUGACGCUCAUCUCUUCUAUAUCUUCUGCCGUGGUCGGACAUUGAGCUGAGCUCAAUUUCAUACCUUGUAACACAGGCAAGAACCCCUUCUUGGAUUGAUCCAUAUUGAACUUCUUCAAUAUCUUAUCAAGGUAUGUGCUUUGUGAAAGACCUAUGAGGCGUCUCGAUCUAUCUCUAUAGAUUUUGAUGCCUAAUAUAUAAGCAGCUUCUCCAAGGUCCUUCAUUGAAAAACUUUUAUUCAAGUAGGCCUUGAUGCUGUCCAAGAGUUCCAUAUCAUUUCCCAUCAAAAGUAUGUCAUCUACAUAUAAUAUGAGAAAUGCUACAGAGCUCCCACUCACUUUCUUGUAAACGCAGGCUUCUCCAUAAGUCUGUGUAAACCCAAACGCUUUGAUCAUCUCAUCAAAGCGAAUGUUCCAACUCCGAGAUGCUUGCACCAGCCCAUAAAUCGAGCGUUUGAGCUUGCACACUUUGUCAGCAUUCUCAGGAUCGACAAAACCUUCCGGCUGCAUCAUAUACAAUUCUUCCUUAAGGAAACCAUUAAGGAAUGCCGUUUUGACGUCCAUUUGCCAUAUUUCGUAAUCAUAGAAUGCGGCAAUUGCUAACAUGAUUCGGACGGACUUCAGCUUCGCUACCGGUGAGAAAGUCUCAUUGUAGUCAACCCCUUGAACUUGUCGAUAACCCUUAGCGACAAGCCGAGCUUUAUAGAUGGUCACAUUACCAUCCGCGUCUGUCUUCCUCUUAAAGAUCCAUUUAUUUUCUAUGGCUCACCGCUCAACGGGCAAGUCAAUCAAAGUCCAUACUUUGUUUUCAUACAUGGAUCCUAUCUCGGAUUUCAUGGCUUCUAGCCAUUUGUCGGAAUCCGGGCCCGCCAUCGCUUCUUCAUAGUUCGAAGGUUCACCGUUGUCUAACAGCAUGAUUUCCAAGACAGGGUUGCCGUACCACUCUGGUGCGGAACGUGUCCUUGUGGACCUUCGAAUUUCAGUAGGGGCUUGAUCAGAAGUAUCUUGAUCAUUGUCAUUAACUUCCUCUCUAGUCGGUGCAGGCACCUCAGGAACAUUUUCUUGAGUUGCGCCAUUUUCCGGUUCAAGAGGUAAUACUUCAUCAAGCUCUACUUUCCUCCCACUUACUUCUUUCGAGAGAAACUCUUUCUCCAGAAAGGACCCAUUCUUGGCAACAAAGAUCUUGCCUUCGGAUCUGAGGUAGAAGGUGUACCCAAUAGUUUCUUUGGGUAUCCUAUGAAGACGCAUUUUUCCGACUUGGGUUCGAGCUUUUCAGGUUGAAGUUUCUUGACAUAAGCAUCGCAUCCCCAAACUUUUAGAAACGACAGCUUAGGUUUCUUCCCAAACCAUAAUUCAUACGGUGUCGUCUCAACGGAUUUCGACGGAGCCCUAUUUAAAGUGAAUGCGACAGUCUCUAAAGCAUAGCCCCAAAAGGAUAGCGGUAAAUCGGUAAGAGACAUCAUAGAUCGCACCAUAUCUAAUAGAGUGCGAUUACGACGUUCGGACACACCAUUACGCUGAGGUGUUCUAGGCGGCGUGAGUUGUGAAACUAUUCCACAUUUUCUUAAGUGUGUGCCAAACUCGUGACUCAAGUAUUCUCCUCCACGAUCUGAUCGUAGAAACUUGAUUUUCCUGUCACGUUGAUUUUCAACCUCACUCUGAAAUUCCUUGAACUUUUCAAAGGUUUCAGACUUGUGUUUCAUUAAGUAGAUAUACCCAUACCUACUUAAAUCAUCAGUGAGGGUGAGAACAUAACGAUAGCCACCGCGAGCCUCAACACUCAUUGGACCGCACACAUCAGUAUGUAUGAUUUCCAAUAAGUCGGUUGCUCGCUCCAUUGUUCCUGAGAACGGAGUCUUGGUCAUUUUACCCAUAAGGCAUGGUUCGCAUGUGUCAAAUGAUUCAUAAUCAAGAGACUCUAAAAGUCCAUCAGUAUGGAGCUUCUUCAUGCGUUUGACACCUAUGUGACCAAGGCGGCAGUGCCACAGGUAUGUGGGACUAUCAUUAUCAACCUUACUUCUUUUGGUACUCACAUUAUGAACAUGUGUAGCAUCACGUUCGAGAUUCAUAAAGAAUAAACCAUUCACCAUAGGAGCAUGACCAUAAAACAUAUCUCUCAUAAAAAUGGAACAACCAUUAUUCUCAGAUUUAAAUGAGUAGCCAUCUCGAAUUAAACGAGAUCCCGAUACAAUGUUCAUGCUCAAAGCUGGCACUAAAUAACAAUUAUUAAGGUUUAAAACUAAUCCCGAAGGGAGAUGCAGAGGUAGCGUGCCGACGGCGACCACAUUGACCUUGGAACCAUUCCCGACGCGCAUCGUCACCUCGUCCUUUGCCAGUUUCCGCUUAUUCUGCAGCCCCUGCUUUGAGUUACAAAUGUGAGCAACUGCACCGGUAUCAAAUACCCAGGAGCUACUACGGGCACUAGUAAGGUACACAUCAAUUACAUGUAUAUCACAUAUACCUUUUGUUUUGUCGGCCUUCUUAUCCGCUAAGUACUUAGGGCAGUUCCGCUUCCAGUGACCGCUUCCCUUGCAAUAAAAGCACUCAGUCUCGGGCUUGGGUCCAUUCUUUGGCUUCUUCCCGGUAGCUUGCUUGCCGGGCGCGGCAACCUCCUUGCCGUCCUUCUUGAAGUUCUUUUUACCCUUGCCUUUCUUGAACUUAGUGGUUUUAUUGACCAUCAACACUUGAUGUUCCUUCCUGACUUCUACCUCUGCUGAUUUCAGCAUAGCAAAUACUUCAGGAAUGGUCUUUUCCAUCCCCUGCAUAUUGAAGUUCAUCACAAAGCUCUUGUAGCUUGGUGGAAGCGACUGGAGGAUUCUGUCAAUGACCGCAUCAUCCGGGAGAUUAACUCCCAGCUGAGUCAAGCGGUUAUGCAACCCAGACAUAGUGAGUAUGUGCUCACUGACAGAACUGUUUUCCUCCAUCUUACAGCUGAAGAAUUUGUCGGAGACUUCAUAUCUCUCGACCCGGGCAUGAGCUUGGAAAACCAUUUUCAGCUCUUCGAACAUCUCAUAUGCUCCAUGUCUCUCAAAACGCUUUUGGAGCCCCGGCUCUAGGCUGUAAAGCAUGCCGCACUGAACGAGGGAGUAGUCAUCGGAACGUGCCUGCCAAGCGUUCAUAACAUCUUGUUCUGCAGGGAGAAUGGGUGCGUCACCAAGCGGUGCUUGUAGGACAUAAUCUUUCUUGGCAGCUAUGAGGAUGAUCCUCAUGUUCCGGACCCAGUCCGUAUAGUUGCUGCCAUCGUCUUUCAGCUUGGUUUUCUCUAGGAACGCGUUGAAGUUGAGGACUACGUUGGCCAUUUAAUCUACAAGACAUAUUGUAAAAUAUUUAGACUAAGUUCAUGAUAAUUAAGUUCAACUAAUCAAAUUAUUAAUGAACUCCCACUUAGAUUAGACAUCCCUCCAGUCAUCUAAGUAUUACAUGAUCCGAGUUUAACUAGACCGUGUCCGAUCAUCACGUGAGACGGACUAGUCAACGUCGGUGAACAUCUUCAUGUUGAUCGUAUCUUCUAUACGACUCAUGCUCGACCUUUCGGUCUUCUGUGUUCCGAGGCCAUGUCUGUACAUGCUAGGCUCGUCAAGUUAACCUAAGUGUUUGCAUGUGUAAAUCUGUCUUACACCCAUUGUAUGUGAACGUCUGAAUAAAACACCCGAUCAUCAUGUGGUGUUUUGAAACAGCGAACUGUCGCAACGGUGCACAGUUAGGGGGAACACUUCUUGAAUUUAUUGUGAGGGAUCAUCUUAUUUACUACCGUCGUUCUAAGUAAACAAGAUGCAAAACAUGAUAAACAUCACAUGCAAUCAAAUAAUAAACGUGACAUGAUAUGGCCAAUAUCACAUAGCUCCUUUGAUCUCCAUCUUGGGGCUCCAUGAUCAUCUUGUCACCGGCUUGACACCAUGAUCUCCAUCAUCAUGAUCUCCAUCAUCGUGUCUCCAUGAAGUUGCUCGCCAACUAUUACUUCUACUACUAUGGCUAACGCGUUUAGCAAUAAAGUAAAGUAAUUUACAUGGCGUUUCUCGAUGACACGCAGGUCAUAAAAAGAAUAAAGACAACUCCUAUGGCUCCUGCCGGUUGUCAUACUCAUCGACAUGCAAGUCGUGAAUCCUAUUACAAUAGCAUGAACAUCUCAUACAUCACAUAUAGAUCAUUCAUCAUUCAUCACAACUUUGGCCAUAUCAUAUCACAAACCACUUGCUGCAAAAACAAGUUAGACGUCCUCUAAUAGUUGUUGCAAGUUUUACGUGGCUGAAUUAGGGUUCUAGCAAGAACGUUUUCUUACCUACGUUAAAGCCACAACGUGAUUUGUCAACUUCUAUUUACCCUUCAUAAGGACCCUGUUCAUCGAUUCCGCUCCAACUAAAGUGAGAGAGACAGACACCCGCCAGCCACCUUAUGCAACUAGUGCAUGUUAGUCGGUGGAACCGGUCUCACGUAAGCGUACGUGUAAGGUUGGUCCGGGCCGCUUCAUCCCACAAUACCGCUGAAGCAAGAAAGGACUAGUAACGGCAAGAAAGUUGACAAAUCUACGCCCACAACAAAUUGUGUUCUACUCGCGCAAGAAGAACUACGCAUAGACCUAGCUCAUGAUGCCACUGUUGGGGAACGUUGCAGAAAACAAAAAUUUUCCUACUCGUUUCACCAAGAUCAUCUAGGAGUUCAUCUAGCAACGAGUGAUUAGAUGCAUCUACAUACCUUUGUAGAUCGCGCACGGAAGCGUUCAAAAGAAUGGUGAUGAUGUAGUCGUACUCGACGUGAUCCAAAUCACCGAUGACCAGCGCCGAACGGACGGCACCUCCGCGUUCAACACACGUACGGGACGGGAGACGUCUCCUCCUUAUUGAUCCAGCAAGGGGGAAGGAGAGGUUGAUGAAGAUCCAGCAGCACGACAACGUGGUGGUGGAUGCAGGGCGUCACAGCAGCAGGGCUUCGCCGAGACUACGAGGGAGAGACGUAACGGGGGGAGAUGGAGGCGCCAGGGGCUGGUGUGUAAUCCCUCCUCUCCCCCCACUAUAUAUAGGGGUGCCAGGGGGGCGCCGGCCCUAGUAGAUGAGAUCUACUAGGGGGGGCGGCGGCCAAGGGGAGGUUUCCCUCCCCCCCAAGGCACCUAGGGGUGCCUUCCACCACAUGGACUCUUCCAUGGUGGAAACCCUAGGCGCAUGGGCCUAUAGGGGCUGGUGCCCUUGGCCCAUCUAGGCCAAGGCGCACCCCCUACAGCCCAUGUGGCCCCCCGGGACAGGUGGCCCCACCCGGUGGACCCCCGGGACCCUUCCGGUGGUCCCGGUACAAUACCGAUAACCCCGAAACUUGUCCCGAUGCCCGAAAUAGCACUUCCUAUAUAUAAUUCUUUACCUCCGGACCAUUCCGGAACUCCUCGUGACGUCCGGGAUCUCAUUCGGGACUCCGAACAACAUUCGGGUUUUUGCAUAUACAUAUCUUCAUAACCCUAGCGUCACCGAACCUUAAGUGUGUAGACCCUACGGGUUCGGGAGACAAGCAGACAUGACCGAGACGACUCUCCGGUCAAUAACCAACAGCGGGAUCUGGAUACCCAUGUUGGCUCCCACAUGCUCCACGAUGAUCUCAUCGGAUGAACCACGAUGUCGAGGAUUCAAUCAAUCCCGUACGCUAUUCCCUUUGUCUAUCGAUAUGUUACUUGCCCGAGAUUCGAUCGUCGGUAUCCCAAUACCUCGUUCAAUCUCGUUACCGGCAAGUCACUUUACUCGUACCGUAAUGCAUGAUCCCGUGACCAGACACUUGGUCACUCUGAGCUCAUUAUGAUGAUGCAUUACCGAGUGGGCCCAGUGAUACCUCUCCGUCAUACGGAGUGACAAAUCCCAGUCUUGAUCCAUGUCACCCAACAUACACUUUCGGAGAUACCCGUAGUCUACCUUUAUAGUCACCCAGUUACGUUGUGACGUUUGGCAUACCCAAAGCACUCCUACGGUAUCCGGGAGUUACACGAUCUCAUGGUCUAAGGAAAAGAUACUUUGACAUUGGAAAACUCUAGCAAACGAACUAUACGAUCUUGUGCUAUGUUUAGGAUUGGGUCUUGUCCAUCACAUCAUUCUCCCAAUGAUGUGAUCUCGUUAUCAAUGACAUCCAGUGUCCAUAGUCAGGAAACCAUGACUAUCUGUUGAUCAACGAGCUAGUCAACUAGAGGCUCACUAGGGACAUGUUGGUGUCUGUUAUUCACACAUGUAUUACGAUUUCCGGAUAACACAAUUAUAGCAUGAAUAAAGACAAUUAUCAUGAACAAGGAAAUAUAAUAAUAAUGCUUUUAUUAUUGCCUCUAGGGCAUAUUUCCAACACCAGGGGCUAGGGUGCGGCUGCCCUCCCUCCCCCCCACUAUAUAUAGGACCCCUAGGGGGGCGCCGGCCCUAGGAGAUUGAAUCUCCAAGGGGGGGCGGCAGCCAAGGGGGGUGGAGUGCCCCCCAAGCCAAGUGGGGCGCCCCCCACCCCUAGGGUUUCCAACCCUAGGCGCAGGGGGAGGCCCAUGGGGGGGCGCACAAGCCCACUAGGGGCUGGUUCCCCUCCCACUUUAGCCCAUGCGGCCCUCCGGGAUAGGUGGCCCCACCUGGUGGACCCCCGGGACCCUUCCGGUGGUCCCGGUACAAUACCGAUUACCCCCGAAACCUUCCCGAUGGCCGAACCUUGACUUCCUAUAUAUAAAUCUUCACCUCUGGACCAUUCCGGAACUCCUCGUGAUGUCCGGGAUCUCAUCCGGGACUUCGAACAACUUUCGGGUUACCAUAUACUAAUAUCUCAACAACCCUAGCGUCACCGAACCUUAAGUGUGUAGACCCUACGGGUUCGGGAGACACACAGACAUGACCGAGACGACUCUCCGGUCAAUAACCAACAGCGGGAUCUGGAUACCCAUGUUGGCUCCCACAUGCUCCUCGAUGAUCUCAUCGGAUGAACCACGAUGUCGAGGAUUCAAUCAAUCCCGUAUACAAUUCCCUUUCUCAAUCGGUACGUUACUUGCCCGAGACUCGAUCGUGGGUAUCCCAAUACCUCGUUCAAUCUCGUUACCGGCAAGUCACUUUACUCGUACCGUAAUGCAUGAUCCCGUGAUCAACCACUUGGUCACAUUGAGCUCAUUAUGAUGAUGCAUUACCGAGUGGGCCCAGAGAUACCUCUCCGUCAUACGGAGUGACAAAUCCCAGUCUCGAUUCGUGCCAACCCAACAGACACUUUCGGAGAUACAUGUAGUGUACCUUUAUAGUCACCCAGUUACGUUGUGAUGUUUGGCACACCCAAAGCACUCCUACGGCAUCCGGGAGUUUCACAAUCUCAUGGUCUAAGGAAAUGAUACUUGACAUUCGGAAAAGCUAUAGCAAACGAACAACACAAUCUUUGAGCUAUGCUUAGGAUUGGGUCUUGUCCAUCACAUCAUUCUCCUAAUGAUGUGAUCCCGUUAUCAAUGACAUCCAAUGUCCAUAGUCAGGAAACCAUGACUAUCUUUUGAUCAACGAGCUAGUCAACUAGAGGGUCACUAGGGACGUGUUGUGGUCUAUGUAUUCACACAUGUAUUACGAUUUCCGGAUAACACAAUUAUAUCAUGAACAAUAGACAAUUAUCAUGAACAAAGAAAUAUAAUAGUAACCAUUUUAUUAUUGCCUCUAGGGCAUAUUUCCAACAGUCUCCCACUUGCACUAGAGUCAAUAGUCUAGUUACAUUGUGAUGAAUCGAACACCCAUGCAGUUCUGGUGUUGAUCAUGUUUUGCUCUAGGGAGAGGUUUAGUCAACGGAUCUGCCACAUUCAGGUCCGUAUGUACUUUACAAAUAUCUAUGUCUCCAUUUUGAACACUUUCACGAAUGGAGUUGAAGCGACGCUUGAUAUGCCUGGUCUUCCUGUGAAACCUGGGCUCCUUGGGAAGGGCAAUAGCUCCAGUGUUGUCACAGAAGAGAGUCAUCGGGCCCGACGCAUUGGGUAUGACUCCUAGGUCGGUAAUGAACUCCUUCACCCAGAUUGCUUCUUGUGCUGCCUCCGAGGCUGCCAUGUACUCCGCUUCACAUGUAGAUCCCGCCACAACGCUUUGCUUGCAACUGCACCAGCUUACUGCCCCACCAUUCAAAAUAUACACGUAUCCGGUUUGUGACUUAGAGUCAUCCAGAUCUGUGUCGAAGCUAGCAACGACGUAACCCUUUACGACGAGCUCUUCGUCACCUCCAUAAAUGAGAAACAUUUCCUUAGUCCUCUUCAGGUACUUCAGGAUAUUCUUGACCGCUGUCCAGUGUUCCAUGCCGGGAUUACUUUGGUACCUUCCUACCAAACUUACGGCAAGGUUUACAUCAGGUCUGGUACACAGCAUAGCAUACAUGAUAGACCCUAUGGUCGAGGCAUAGGGGACGACACUCAUCUUUUCUCUAUCUUCUGCCGUGGUCGGGCAUUGAGCCGUGCUCAAUCUCGUACCUUGCAAUACAGGCAAGAACCCCUUUUUUGACUGAUCCAUUUUGAACUUCUUCAAUAUCUUGUCAAGGUACGUACUCUGUGAAAGACCAAUGAGGCGUCUCGAUCUAUCUCUAUAGAUAUUGAUGCCUAAUAUAUAAGCAGCUUCUCCAAGAUCCUUCAUUGAAAAACACUUGUUCAAGUAGGCCUUUAUGCUUUCCAAGAAUUCUAUAUCAUUUCCCAUCAACAGUAUGUCAUCCACAUACAAUAUGAGAAAUGCUACAGAGCUCCCACUCACUUUCUUGUAAAUGCAGGCUUCUCCAUAAGUCCGCGUAAACCCAAACGCUUUGAUCAUCUCAUCAAAACGAAUGUUCCAACUCCGAGAUGCUUGCACCAGCCCAUAAAUCGAGCAUUGGAGCUUGCACACCUUGUCAGCAUUCUUAGGAUCGACAAAACCUUCCGGCUGCAUCAUAUACAAUUCUUCCUUAAGGAAACCAUUAAGGAAUGCCGUUUUGACAUCCAUUUGCCAUAUCUCAUAAUCAUAGAAUGCGGCAAUUGCUAACAUGAUUCGGACGAACUUCAGCUUCGCUACGGGUGAGAAAGUCUCAUCGUAGUCAACCCCUUGAACUUGUCGAUAACCCUUAGCGACAAGCUGAGCUUUAUAGAUGGUUACAUUACCAUCCGCGUCUGUCUUCUUCUUAAAGAUCCAUUUAUUUUCUAUGGCUCGCCGAUCAUCGAGCAAGUCAGUCAAAGUCCAUACUUUGUUUUCAUACAUGGAUCCUAUCUCGGAUUUCAUGGCUUCCAGCCAUUUGUCGGAAUCUGGGCCCGCCAUUGCUUCUUCAUAGUUCGAAGGUUCACCGUUGUCUAACAACAUGAUUUCCAGGACAGGGUUGCCGUACCACUCUGGUGCGGGACGUGUCCUUGUGGACCUACGAAGUUCAGUAGCAACUUGAUCUGAAGUUUCAUGAUCAUCAUCAUUAACUUCCUCUCUAGUCGGUGCAGGCACCUCAGGAACAAUUUCUUGAGCUGCGCCACUUACCGGUUCAAGAAGUAAUACUUCAUCGAGUUCUACUUUCCUCCCACUUAUUUCUUUCGAGAGAAACUCUUUCUCUAGAAAGGAUCCAUUCUUGGCAACAAAGAUCUUGCCUUCGGAUCUGAGGUAGAAGGUAUACCCAAUAGUUUCUUUAGGGUACCCUAUGAAGACGCAUUUUUCCGACUUGGGUUCGAGCUUUUCAGGUUGAAGUUUCUUGACAUAAGCAUCGCAUCCCCAAACUUUUAGAAAUGACAGCUUAGGUUUCUUCCCAAACCAUAGUUCAUACGGUGUCGUCUCAACGGAUUUCGAUGGAGCCCUAUUUAAAGUGAAUGCGGCAGUCUCUAAAGCAAAGCCCCAAAAUGACAGCGGUAAAUCGGUAAGAGACAUCAUAGAUCGCACCAUAUCCAAUAGAGUGCGAUUACGACGUUCGGACACACCAUUACGCUGAGGUGUUCCAGGCGGCGUGAGUUGUGAAACUAUUCCACAUUUCCUUAAGUGUGUGCCAGUUUCAUGACUCAAGUAUUCUCCCCACGAUCUGAUCGCAAGAACUUGAUUUUUCUGUCAUGUUGAUUCUCAACCUCACUCUGAAAUUCCUUGAACUUUUCAAAGGUCUAAGACUUGUGUUUCAUUAAGUAUACAUACCCAUAUCUACUCAUGUCAUCAGUGAGGGUGAGAACAUAACGAUAGCCACCGCGAGCCUCAACACUCAUUGGACUGCACACAUCAGUAUGUAUGAUUUCCAAUAAGUUGGUUGCUCGCUCCAUUGUUCCUGAGAACGGAGUCUUGGUCAUUUUACCCAUGAGGCAUGGUUCGCACGUGUCAAAUGAUUUGUAAUCAAGAGACUCCAAAAGUCCAUCUGCAUGGAGCUUCUUCAUGCGUUUGACACCUAUGUGACCAAGGCGGCAGUGCCACAAGUAUGUGGGACUAUCAUUAUCAACCUUACAUCUUUUGGUAUUCACGCUAUGAAUUUGUGUAACAUUACGCUCGAGAUUCAUUAAGAAUAAACCAUUCACCAGCGGAGCAUGACCAUAAAACAUAUCUCUCAUAUAAAUAGAACAACCAUUAUUCUCGGAUUUAAAUGAGUAGCCAUCUCGAAUUAAACGAGAUCCUGAUACAAUGUUCAUGCUCAAAGCUGGCACUAAAUAACAAUUAUUGAGGUUUAAAACUAAUCCCGUAGGUAAAUGUAGAGGCAGCGUGCCGACGGCGAUCACAUCGACCUUGGAACCAUUCCUGACGCGCAUCGUCACCUCGUCCUUCGCCAGUUUCCGCUUAUUCCGCAGCUCCUGCUUUGAGUUACAAAUGUGAGCAACCGCACCGGUAUCAAAUACCCAGGAGCUACUACGAGUACUGGUAAGGUACACAUCAAUUACAUGUAUAUCACAUAUACCUUUAGUGUUGCCGGCCUUCUUGCCCGCUAAGUAUUUGGGGCCGUUCCGCUUCCAGUGACCACCUCCCUUGCAAUAAAAACACUCAGUCUCAGGCUUGGGUCCAUUCUUUGACUUCUUCCCGGCAGCUUGCUUAUCGGGCGCAGCAACUCCCUUGCCAUCCUUCUUGAAGUUCUUCUUACCCUUGCCUUUCUUGAACUUAGUGGUUUUAUUCACCAUCAACACUUGAUGUUUCUUUUUGAUUUCCACCUCUGCUGAUUUCAGCAUUGAAUAUACCUCAAGAAUGGUCUUUUCCAUCCCCUGCAUAUUGAAGUUCAUCACAAAGCUCUUGUAGCUCGGUGGAAGCGACUGAAGGAUUCUGUCAAUGACCGCGUCAUCUGGGAGAUUAACUCCCAGCUGAGUCAAGCGGUUAUGCAACCCAGACAUUUUGAGUAUGUGCUCACUGACAGAACUAUUUUCCUCCAUCUUACAACUGAAGAACUUGUCGGAGACUUCAUAUCUCUCGACCCGGGCAUGAGCUUGGAAAACCAUUUUCAGCUCUUCGAACAUCUCAUAUGCUCCGUGUCGCUCAAAACGCUUUUGGAGCCCCGGUUCUAAGCUGUAAAGCAUGCCGCACUAAACGAGGGAGUAAUCAUCAGCACGUGACUGCCAAGCGUUCAUAACAUCUUGGUUCUCUGGGAUGGGUGCGUCACCUAGCGGUGCUUCUAGGACAUAAUAUUUCUUGGCAGCUAUGAGGAUGAUCCUCAGGUUCCGUACCCAGUCCGUAUAAUUGCUGCCAUCAUCUUUCAGCUUGGUUUUCUCUAGGAACGCGUUGAAGUUGAGGGCAACAUUAGCGUGGGCCAUUUGAUCUACAAGACAUAGUGUAAAGAUUUUAGACUAAGUUCAUGAUAAUUAAGUUCAUCUAAUCAAAUUAUUCAAUGAACUCCCACUCAGAUAGACAUCCCUCUAGUCAUCUAAGUGAAACAUGAUCCGAGUUAACUAGGCCCUGUCCGAUCAUCACGUGAGACGGACUAGUCAACAUCGGUGAACAUCUUCAUGUUGAUCGUAUAUUCUAUACAACUCAUGCUCGACCUUUCGGUCUUCCGUGUUCCGAGGCCAUGUCUGUACAUGCUAGGCUCGUCAAGUCAAUCUAAGUGUAUUGCGUGUGUAAAUUUGGCUUACACCCGUUGUAUUCGAAUGUUAGAAUCUAUCACACCCGAUCAUCACGUGGUGCUUCGAAACAACGAACCUUUGCAACGGUGCACAGUUAGGGGGAACACUUUCUUGAAAUUAUUAUGAGGGAUCAUCUUAUUUAAGCUACCGUCGUUCUAAGCAAAUAAGAUGUAAAACAUGAUAAACAUCACAUGCAAUCAAAUAGUGACAUGAUAUGGCCAAUAUUAUUUGCUCCUUUUGAUCUCCAUCUUCGGGGCUUCAUGAUCAUCGUUGUCACCGGCAUGACACCAUGAUCUCCAUCAUCGUGUCUUCUUGAAGUUGUCUCAUCAUCUAUUACUUCUACUACUAUGGCUAACGCUUUAGCAAUAAUGUAAAGUAAUUACAUGACGUUUAUGUUGACACGCAGGUCAUAAAUAAAUAAAGACAACUUCUAUGGCUCCUGCCGGUUGUCAUACUCAUCGACAUGCAAGUCGUGAUUCCUAUUACAAGAACAUGAUCAAUCUCAUACAUCACAUAUAUCAUUCAUCACAUCCUUUUGGCCAUAUCACAUCACACGACACAUGCUGCAAAAACAAGUUAGACGUCCUCUAAUUGUUGUUGCAAGUUUUUACGUGGCUGCUAUAGGUUUCUAGCAAGAACGUUUCUUACCUACGCCAAAACCACAACGUGAUAUGCCAAUUUCUAUUUACCCUUCAUAAGGACCCUUUUCAUCGAAUCCGAUCCGACUAAAGUGGGAGAGACAGACACCCGCCAACCACCUUAUGCAACUAGUGCAUGUCAAUCGGUGGAACCAGUCUCACGUAAGCGUACGUGUAAGGUCGGUCCGAGCCGCUUCAUCCCAUGAUGCCGCCGAAUCAAGAUAAGACUAGUAACGGCAAGCAAAUUGACAAUAUCCACGCCCACAACUGCUUUGUGUUCUACUCGUGCAUAGAAACUACACAUAGACCUAGAUCAUGAUGCCACUGUUGGGGAACAUAGCAGAAUUUUAAAAUUUUCUACGCAUCACCAAGAUCAAUCUAUGGAUUCAUCUAGCAACGAGGGAGAGAGGAGUGCAUCUACAUACCCUUGUAGAUCGCGCGCAGAAGCGUUCAAGAAAACAGGGUUGAUGGAGUCGUACUCGUCGUGAUCCAAAUCACCGAUGACCUAGCGCCGAACGGACGGCACCUCCGCGUUCAACACACGUACGGUUGGGAAGACGUCUCCUCCAAAUUUAUCCAGCAAGGGGGAAGGAGAGGUUGAUGAAGAUCCAGCAGCACGACGGCGUGGUGGUGGAAGCAACGGUGAUCUCGGCAGGGCUUCGCCAAGCUCAGGGAGAGGGAGGAGUGUCACGGGAGGGAGAGGGAGGCGCCAGGGGCUAGGGUGCGGCUGCCCUCCCUCCCCCCACUAUAUAUAGGACCACUAGGGGGGCGCCGGCCCUAGGAGAUUGAAUCUCCAAGGGGGGGGGGGCGGCCAAGGGGGGUGGAGUGCCCCCCAAGCCAAGUGGAGCGCCCCCACCCCUAGGGUUUCCAACCCUAGGCGCAGGGGGAGGCCCAUGGGGGGGGGGCGCACCAGCCUACUAGGGGCUGGUUCCCCUCCCACUUUAGCCCAUGGCCCCCUCCGGGAUAGGUGGCCCCACCCGGUGGACCCCCGAGACCCUUCCGGUGGUCCCGGUACAAUACCGAUUACCCCCGAAACCUUCCCGAUGGCCGAAAAUUGACUUCCUAUAUAUAAAUCUUCACCUCCGGACCAUUCUGGAACUCCUCGUGACGUCCGGGAUCUCAUCUGGGACUCCGAACAACUUUCGGGUUACCGUAUACUAAUAUCUCAACAACCCUAGCAUCACGGAACCUUAAGUGUGUAGACCCUACGGGUUCGGGAGACACGCAGACAUGACCGAGACGACUCUCCGGUCAAUAACCAACAACGGGAUCUGGAUACCCAUGUUGGCUCCCACAUGCUCCUCGAUGAUCUAAUCGGAUGAACCACGAUGUCGAGGAUUCAAUCAAUCCCGUAUACAAUUCCCUUUGUCAAUCGGUAUGUUACUUGCCCAAGACUCGAUCGUCGGUAUCCCAAUACCUCGUUCAAUCUCGUUACCGGCAAGUCACUUUACUCGUACCGUAAUGCAUGAUCCCGUGAUCAACCACUUGGUCACAUUGAGCUCAUUAUGAUGAUGCAUUACCGAGUGGGCCCAGAGAUACCUCUCCGUCAUACAAAGUGACAAAUCCCAGUCUCGAUUCGUGCCAACCCAACAGACACUUUCGGAGAUACAUGUAGUGUACCUUUAUAGUCACCCAGUUACGUUGUGAUGUUUGGCACACCCAAAGCACUCCUACGGUAUCCGGGAGUUGCACAAUCUCAUGGUCUAAGGAAAUGAUACUUGACAUCCGGAAAAGCUAUAGCAAACGAACUACACGAUCUUUGAGCUAUGCUUACGAUUGGGUCUUGUCCAUCACAUCAUUCUCCUAAUGAUGUGAUCCCGUUAUCAAUGACAUCCAAUGUCCAUAGUCAGGAAACCAUGACUAUCUUUUGAUCAACGAGCUAGUCAACUAGAGGGUCACUAGGGACGUGUUGUGGUCUAUGUAUUCACACAUGUAUUACGAUUUCCGGAUAACACAAUUAUAGCGUGAACAAUAGACAAUUAUCAUGAACAAAGAAAUAUAAUAAUAACCAUUUUAUUAUUGCCUCUAGGGCAUAUUUCCAACAGUACCGGGAUAUGCAAUGAAUCAAGAGUGACAUGUAUGAAAGAAUUAUGAACGGUGGCUUUUCCCCGAAUACUAUGUCAGCUACAUGAUCAUGCUAAGCAAUAUGACAAUGAUGAAUGUGUCAUGAAGAACGGUACGGUGGAAAGAUGCAUGGCAAUAUAUUUCGGAAUGGCUAUGGAAAUGCCAUAAUAGGUAGGCAUGGUGGCUGUUUUGAGGAAGGUAUAUGGUGAGUUUAUGGUACCGGCGAAAGUUGCGCGGUAUUAGAGAGGCUAGCAAAGGUGGAAGGGUGAGAGUGCGUAUAAUCCAUGGACUCAACAUUAGUCAUAAAGAACUCACAUACUUAUUGCAAAAAUCUAUUAGUUAUCAAAACAAAGUACUAUGCGCAUGCUCCUAGGGGGAUAGAUUGGUAGGAAAAGACCAUCGCUCGUCCCCGACCGCCACUCAUAAGGAAGACAAUCAAUAAAUAAAUCAUGCUCCGAUUUCGUUACAUAACGGUUCACAAUACGUGCAUGCUACGGGAAUCACAAACUUCAACACAAGUAUUUCUCAAAUUAAUAACCAAUCAACUAGCAUGACUCUAAUAUCACCAUCUCCAUAUCUCAAAACAAUUACCAAGUAUCAAACUUCUCAUAGUAUUCAAUACACUCGUAAGAGAAUUUUAUUAUUCUUGAAUACCUAGCAUAUUAGGAUUUUAAGCAAAUUACCAUGCUAUUUAAGACUCUCAAAAUAAUAUAAGUGAAGCAUGAGAGUUCAUCUAUUUAUUCAAAAUAAAACUACCACCAUGCUCUAAAAGAUAUAAGUGAAGCACUAGAGCAAAUGACAAACUACUCCGAAAGAUAUAAGUGAAGAUCAAUGAGUAGUCGAAUAAUUAUGCAACUAUGUGAAGACUCUAUAACAUUCAAUAAUUUCAUAUCUUGGUAUUCUAUUCAAACAGCAAGCAAAGCAAAAUAAAAUGACAUUCUAAGAAUAGCAAACAUCAUGUGAAGAAGCAAAAACUUAGGAUCAACCGGUACUAACCGAUAAUUGUUGAAGAAGAAAGGUGGGAUGCCAACCGGGGCAUCCCCAAGCUUAGACGCUUGAGACUUCUUGAAAUAUUAUCUUGGGGUGCCUUGGGCAUCCCCAAGCUUGAGCUUUUGUGUCUCCUUAAUUCCUCUCAUAUCACGGUCUCCCUAAAUCUCAAAAGCUUCAUCCACACAAAACUCAACAAGGACUCGUGAGAUAAGUUAGUAUAAACUAUUGCAAAAACCUUAUCAUACUAUACUGUAGCAAAUCACUAAAAUUACUAUUCAAUAUUGCAUACUAAAUGUCUCUGCAUAUUUAAUAGUCUUAUCCUCAAAUAGAAUCAUUAAAGAAGCAAACAUAUGCAAACAAUGCAAACAUAACAGCAAUCUGCCUAAACAUGAUAGUCUGUAAAGAAUGCUGCAACAUCCAUACUUCCCUAACUCCAAAAAUUAUGAAAGAAAAUUACCACUAUAUUAAAUUUAUCAGAUCUUAAUAUGCAAAAGAUUUCAACAUUUUAUCACAUUCUGACUUUUUUGGGGAAUUAUUGCAACAGCGGUAAACUUUCUGUUUUUAAACAGCAACAUGUGGACUUCUAAAAUAGGCAUAGUAAAGGCUAUCAAUGCCACUUUUAUUGAAAUAAAAUAUGCAAAACAUUGUUAUAAAUAACAGAAAGAAAAUUCUAAUAAAAUAAAUUGACGCUCCAAGCAAAACACAUAUCAUGUGGCGAAUAAAAAUAUAGCUCCAAGUAAAGUUACCGAUGAACGAAGACGAAAGAGGGGACGCCUUCCGGGGCAUCCCCAAGCUUAGGCUCUUGUCUAUCCUUGAAUAUUACCUUGGGGUGCCUUGGGAAUCACCAAGCUUAGGAUAUUGCCACUCCUUAUUCCAUAGUCCAUCGAAUCCUUACCCAAAACUUGAAAACUUCACAACACAAAACUUAACAGAAAACUCGUAAGCUCCGUUAGUAUAAGAAAGUAAAUCACCACUUCAAGGUACUUUAAUGAAUUCAUUCUUUAUUUAUAUUGGUGUUAAACCUACUGUAUUACAACUUCUCUAUGGUUUAUAAACUCUUUUACGAUCCAUAGAUUCAUAAAAAUAAGUAAACAACACAUGAAAAACAGAAUCUGUCAAAAACAGAACAGUCUGUAGUAAUCUGGAUCAAACGCAUACUUCUGGAACUUAUAAAAUUCUCAAAUAAAUUGCUGGAACUGAGUAAUUUAUCUAUUAAUCAUAUGAAAAAAUAAUUAACUAAAUAUCACUCUCCAAAUAAAAAUGGCAGCAAUUCUUGUGAGCGCUAAAAUUUCUGUUUUUGACAGCAUGAUCAACAAGACUUUCCCCAAGUCUUCUCAAAGGUUCUACUUGGCACAAACACUAAUAAAAAGCAUAAAGCCACAUAUAAACAGAGUCUAGAUGAAUUAUUUAUUACUAAACAGGAACAAAAAGCAAGAAACAAAAAUAAAGUUGGGUUUCCUCCCAACAAGCGCUAUCGUUUAACGCCCCUAGCUAGGCAUGAUGAUUUCAAUGUGUUGGGGAACGUUGCAGAAAACAAAAAUUUUCCUACUCGUUUCACCAAGAUCAUCUAGGAGUUCAUCUAGCAACGAGUGAUUAGAUGCAUCUACAUACCUUUGUAGAUCGCGCACGGAAGCGUUCAAAAGAACGGUGAUGAUGUAGUCGUACUCGACGUGAUCCAAAUCACCGAUGACCAGCGCCGAACGGACGGCACCUCCGUGUUCAACACACGUACGGGACGGGAGACGUCUCCUCCUUCUUGAUCCAGCAAGGGGGGAGGAGAGGUUGAUGAAGAUCCAGCAGCACGACGGCGUGGUGGUGGAUGCAGGGCGUCACAGCAGCAGGGCUUCGCCGAGACUACGAGGGAGAGACGUAACGGGGGGAGAUGGAGGCGCCAGGGGCUGGUGUGAAAUCCCUCCUCUCCCCCCCACUAUAUAUAGGGGUGCCAGGGGGGGCGCCGGCCCUAGUAGAUGAGAUCUACUAAGGGGGGGCGGCGGCCAAGGGGAGGUUUCCCUCCCCCCCAAGGCACCUAGGGGUGCCUUCCACCACAUGGACUCUUCCAUGGUGGAAACCCUAGGCGCAUGGGCCUAUAGGGGCUGGUGCCCUUGGCCCAUCUAGGCCAAGGCGCACCCCCUACAGCCCAUGUGGCCCCCCGGGACAGGUGGCCCCACCCGGUGGACCCCCGGGACCCUUCCGGUGGUCCCGGUACAAUACCGAUAACCCCGAAACUUGUCCCGAUGCCCGAAAUAGCACUUCCUAUAUAUAAUUCUUUACCUCCGGACCAUUCCGGAACUCCUCGUGACGUCCGGGAUCUCAUCCGGGACUCCGAACAACAUUCGGGUUUCUGCAUAUACAUAUCUUCAUAACCCUAGCGUCAUCGAACCUUAAGUGUGUAGACCCUACGGGUUCGGGAGACAAGCAGACAUGACCGAGACGACUCUCCGGUCAAUAACCAACAGCGGGAUCUGGAUACCCAUGUUGGCUCCCACAUGCUCCACGAUGAUCUCAUCGGAUGAACCACGAUGUCGAGGAUUCAAUCAAUCCNNNNNNNNNNGGCCCAGUGAUACCUCUCCGUCAUACGGAGUGACAAAUCCCAGUCUUGAUCCAUGUCACCCAACAGACACUUUCGGAGAUACCCGUAGUCUACCUUUAUAGUCACCCAGUUACGUUGUGACGUUUGGCAUACCCAAAGCACUCCUACGGUAUCCGGGAGUUACACGAUCUCAUGGUCUAAGGAAAAGAUACUUUGACAUUGGAAAACUCUAGCAAACGAACUAUAUGAUCUUGUGCUAUGUUUAGGAUUGGGUCUUGUCCAUCACAUCAUUCUCCCAAUGAUGUGAUCUCGUUAUCAAUGACAUCCAGUGUCCAUAGUCAGGAAACCAUGACUAUCUGUUGAUCAACGAGCUAGUCAACUAGAGGCUCACUAGGGACAUGUUGGUGUCUGUUAUUCACACAUGUAUUACGAUUUCCGGAUAACACAAUUAUAGCAUGAAUAAAGACAAUUAUCAUGAACAAGGAAAUAUAAUAAUAAUGCUUUUAUUAUUGCCUCUAGGGCAUAUUUCCAACACAAUGAUGCUCACAUAAAGGAUAAGAAUUGAAACAUAAAGAGAGCAUCAUGAAGAAUAUGACUAGAACAUUUAAGUCUAACAUACUUCCUAUGCAUAGGGAUUUUGUGAGCAAACAACUUAUGGGAACAAUAAUCAACUAACAUAGGGAGGUAAAACAAGCAUAACUUCAAAACUUUAAGCACACAGAGAGGAAACUUGACAUUAUUGCAACUCCUACAAGCAUAUGUUCCUCCCUCAUAAUAAUUUUCAGUAGCAUCAUGAAUGGAUUCAACAAUAUAACUAGAACCUAAAGCAUUCUUUUCAUGAUCUACAAGCAUAUAAAAUUUAAUACUCUCCACAUAAGCAAAAUUCUUCCCAUUCGGAAUAGUGGGAGCAAACUCAACCAAAUAACUAUCAUGUGAUUGAAAAUUAAGAUCAAGAUGACAAGCUUCAUGGUUAUCAUUAUUCUUUAAAGCAUACGUGUCAUCACAAUAAUCAUCAUAGAUAGGAGGCAUGCUUUCAUCAUAAUAAAUUUGCUCAUCAAAGCUUGGGGGACAAAAAAUAUCAUCUUCAUCAAACAUAGCUUCCCCAAGCUUGUGGCUUUGCAUAUCAUUAGCAUCAUAGAUAUUCAAGGAAUUCAUACUAACAACAUUGCAAUCAUGCUCAUCAUUCAAAUAUUUAGUGCCAAACAUUUUAUAGAUUUCUUCUUCUAGCACUUGAGCACAAUUUUCCUUUCCAUCAUACUCACGAAAGAUAUUAAAAAGAUGAAGCGUAUGAGACAAACUCAAUUCCAUUUUUUAUAGUUUUCUUUUAUAAACUAAACUAGUGAUAAAACAAGAAACUAAAAGACUCGAUUGCAAGUCUGAAGAUAUAUCUUCAAGUGCUAACCUCCCCGGCAACGGCGCCAGAAAAGAGCUUGAUGUCUACUACACAACCUUCUUCUUGUAGACGUUGUUGGGCCUCCAAGUGCAGAGGUUUGUAGGAAAGUAGCAAAUUUCCCUCAAGUGGAUGACCUAAGGUUUAUCAAUCCGUAGGAGGCGUAGGAUGAAGAUGGUCUCUCUCGAGCAACCCUGCAACCAAACAACAAAGAGUCUCUUGUAUCCCCAACACACCCAAUACAAUGGUAAAUUGUAUAGGUGCACUAGUUUGGCGAAGAGAUGGUGAUACAAGUGGUAUAUGGAUGGUAGAUAAUAGUUUUUGUAAUCUGAAAAUAUAAAAACAGCAAGGUAACUAAUGAUAAAAGUGAGCGUAAAUGGUAUUGCAAUGUGUGGAAACAAGGCCUAGGGUUCAUAUUUUCACUAGUGUAAGUCCCCUCAACAAUACUAACACAAUUGGAUCACAUAACUAUCCCUCAACAUGCAACAAAGAGUCACUCCAAAGUCACUAAUAGCGGAGAACGAACGAAGAGAUUAUGGUAGGGUAUGAAACCACCUCAAAGUUAUUCUUUCCAAUCAAUCCAUUGGGCUAUUCCUAUAAGUGUCACAAACAGCCCUAGAGUUCGUACUAGAAUAACACCUUAAGAUACAAAUCAACCAAAACCCUAAUGUCACCUAGAUACUCCAAUGUCACCUCAAGUAUCCGUGGGCAUGAUUAUACGAUAUGCAUCACACAAUCUCAGAUUCAUCUAUUCAACCAACCCAAAGGACCUCAAAGAGUGCCUCAAAGUUCUACCAGAGAAUCACGUCGAAAAUAUGUGCCAACCCCUAUGCAUAGGUUCCCAUUGUCACGAAACACGCAAGUUGGUCACCAAAACAUACAUCAAGUGGCACGUGAUAUCCCAUUGUCACCACAGAUAUUCACGGCAAGACAUACAUCAAGUGUUCUCAAGUCUUUAAAGACUCAAUCCGAUAAGAUUACUUCAAAGGGGAAACUCAAUUCAUUACAAGAGAGAAGAGGGGGAGGAGAAACAUAAGAUCCAACUAUAAUAGCAAAGCUCGCGAUACAUCAAGAUCGUAUCAUCUCAAGAACACAAGAGAGAGAGAGAGAGAGAUCAAACACAUAGCUACUGGUACAUACCCUCAGCCCCGAGGGAGAACUACUCCCUCCUCGUCAUGGAGAGCGCCGGGAUGAUGAAGAUGGCCACCGGUGAGGGUUCACCCCUCCGGCAGGGUGCCGGAACAGGGUCCCGAUUGACUUUUGGUGGCUACGGAGGCUUAUGGCGGCGGAACUCCCGAUCUAUUGUCCGUUCUGGAAGUUUUAGGUCACGUAGGUAUAUAUGGGUGCAGGACGUACGUCAGGGGAGCCACAAGGGCCCCACGAGACAGGGGGGCGCGCCCUAGGGGGGCGCCCCCCACCCUCAUGAGCACCUCGUUUCUUCCUUGACGUGGGGUCCAAGUCCAUCAGGUGUGUUUCCUUCCAAAAAUAACUUCUCCAGUUGAUUUCGUUCCGUUUCGACUCCGCCUGAUAUUCCUUUUCUUCAAAACAGUGAAAUAGGCAUAAAACAACAAACCUGGGCUGGGCCUCCGGUUAAUAGGUUAGUCCCAAAAAUAAUAUAAAAGUGUAUAAUAAAGCCCAAUAUUGCCUAAGACAGUAGAUAAUAUAGCAUGGAGCAAUCAAAAAUUAUAGAUACGUUGGAGACGUAUCAGCUAUCAGCGCACACACACUCAUAGGCAGACCUUAGCAAUUUGAACAAGCAUUUGACUACAUUAUAGGCAAUUAACAAGCAUAGUUGAUAACCCACAAGUAUAGGGGAUCGCAAUAGUUUUCGAGGGUAAAGUACUCAACCCAAAUUUAUUGAUUUGACACAAGGGGAGCCAAAGAAUAUUCUCAAGUAUUAGCAGCUGAGUUGUCAAUUCAACCACACCUGGAAACUUAGUAUCUGCAGCAAAGUAUUUAGUAAGAAAGUAAUAUGAUAGUAGUGAUAACGGUAGCAAAAGGUAACAGUAGUAAAAGUAAUGUUUUUGGUAUUUUGUAGUGAUGAUAGCAAUAGCAACGGAAAAGUAAAUAAGCGAAGAACAAUAUAUGGAAAGCUCAUAGGCAAUGGAUCGCUGAUGGAGAAUUAUGCCGGAUGUGGUUCAUCAUGUAACAGUCAUAACCUAGGGUGACACAGAACUAGCUCCAGUUCAUCGAUGCAAUGUAGGCAUGUAUUCCGAAUAUAGUCAUACAUGCUUAUGGAAAAGAACUUGCAUGACAUCUUUUGUCCUACCCUCCCGUGGCAGCGGGGUCCUUACGGAAACUAAGGGAUAUUAAGGCCUCCUUUUAAUAGAGUACCGGAAAAAAGCAUUAACACAUAGUUAAUACAUGAACUCCUCAAACUACGGUCAUCAUUGGUAAGUAUCCCGAUUAUUGUCACUUCGGGGUUAACGGAUCAUAACACAUAAUAGGUGACUAUAGACUUGUAAGAUAGGAUCAAGAACACUCGUAUAUUGAUGAAAACAUAAUAGGUUCAGAUCUGAAAUCAUGGCGCUCGGGCCCUAGUGACAAGCAUUAAGCAUAGCAAAGUCAUAGCAAUAUCAAUCUCAGACCAUAGUGGAUACUAGGGAUCAAACCCUAACAAAACUAACUCAAUUACAUGAUAGAUCCCAUCCAACCCAUCACCGUCCACCAAGCCUACGAUGGAAUUACUCACGCACGGCGGAGAGCAUCAUGAAAUUGGUGAUGGAGGAUGGUUGAUGAUGACGAUGGCAAUGAAUUCCCCUCUCCGGAGCCCCGAACAGACUCCAGAUCAGCCCUCCCGAGAGGUUUUAGGGCUUGGCGGCGGCUUCGUAUCGUAAAACGCGAUGAAUUCUUCUCUCUGCCUUUUUUCUCCCCGAAACACAAUAUAUAGAGUUGGAGUUGGAGUCGGAGGGGCACCAGGUGGCCCACGAGGUAGGGGGCGCGCCCCCACCCUCGUGGACAGGUGGUGGGCCCCUUGGCCUUCAUCUUUUGCAGGUAUUUUUUAUAUUUUCCAAAAAGUUGCUCCGUGAAGUUUCGGGUCAUUCCGAGAACGUUUGUUUUUACACAUAAAUAACACCAUGGUAAUUCUGCUGAAAACAACGUCAGUCCGGGUUAGUUCCAUUCAAAUCAUGCAAGUUAGAGUCCAAAACAAUGGCAAAAGUGUUUGGAAAAGUAGAUACGACGGAGAUGUAUCAACUCCCCCAAGCUUAAACCUUUGCUUGUCCUCAAGCAAUUCAGUUGACAAACUGAAAGUAAUAAAGAAAAACUUUUACAAAAUAUGUUUGCUCUUGUUGUUGUAAAUAUGUAAAGCCAGCAUUCAAGUUUUCAGCAAAGAUUAUAACUAACCACAUUCGCAAUAACGCUUAGGUCUCAAGUUUACUCAUAUCAAUAGCAUAAUCAACUAGCGAGCAAUAAUAAUAAAUCUCGGAUGAUAACACUUUCUCAAAACAAUCAUAAUAUGAUAUAACAAGGUGGUAUCUCGCUAGCCCUUUCUGAGGCCGCAAAACAUAAAUGCAGAGCACCUUUAAAGACCAAGGACUGACUAGACAUUGUAAUUCAUGGUAAAAGAGAUCCAGUCAAGUCAUACUCAAUGUAAAUUAACAGUAAUGAAUGCAAAUGACAGUGGUGCUCUCCAACUGGUGCUUUUUAAUAAGAGGAUGAUGACUCAGCAUAAAAGUAAAUAGAUAGGCCCUUCGCAGAGGGAAGCAGGGAUUUGUAGAGGUGCCAGAGCUCGGUUUUGAAAUAGAGAUGAAUAAUAUUUUGAGAGGUGUACUUUUAUUGUCAACAUAACAACCAAGAGAUGGCAAUAUCUUCCAUGCUACACACAUUAUAGGCGGUUCCCAAAUAGAAUGGUAAAGUUUAUACUCCCCCUUCCACCAACAAGCAUCAAUCCAUGGCUUGCUCGAAACAACGAGUGCCUCCAACUAACAAGAGUCCCAGGAGGAGUUUUGUUUGCAAUUAUUUUGAUUUAGUUUGCAUAAAGCAUGGGACUGGGCAUCCCGGUGACCAGCCAUUUAUCUCGUGAGUGAGGAGCGGAGUCCACUCCUCUUGAGAAUAACCCGCCUAACAUGGAAGAUACGGACAACCCUAGUUGAUACAUGAGCUAUUCGAGCAUACAAAACAAGAUAUUUAUUUGAAGGUUUAGAGUUUGGCACAUACAAAUUUACUUGGAACGGCAGGUAGAUACCGUAUAUAGAUAGGUAUGGUGGACUCAUAUGGAAUAACUUUGGGAUUUAUGGGAUUGGAUGCACAAGCAGUAUUCCCGCUUAGUACAGGUGAAGGCUAGCAAAAGACUGGGAAGCGACCAGCUAGAGAGCGACAACAGUCAUGAACAUGCAUUAAAAUUAAUCAACACCGAAUGCAAGCAUGAGUAGGAUAUAAUCCGCCAUGAACAUAAAUAUCGUGAAGGCUAUGUUGAUUUUGUUUCAACUACAUGCAUGAACAUGCGCCAAGUCAAGUAACUUAAAUCAUUCAGAGGAGGAUACCACCCUAUCAUACCACAUCACAACCAUUUUAAUAGCAUGUUGGCACGCAAGGUAAACCAUUAUAACUCAUAGCUAAUCAAGCAUGGCACAAGAAACUAUGAUCUCUAGUUGUCAUUGCAAACAUGUUUAUUCAUAAUAGGCUGAAUCAGGAAUGAUGAACUAAUCAUAUUUACAAAAACAAAAGAGGUCGAGUUCAUACCAGCUUUCUCAUCUCAGUCAGUCCAUCAUAUAUCAUCAUAAUUGCCUUUCACUUGCACGACCGAACGAUGUGAAUAAUAAUAAUAGUGCACGUGCAUUGGACUAAGCUAGAAUCUGCAAGCAUUCCAUAAACAGGAGAAGACAAGGCAAUAUGGGCUCUUUUGUCAGAUCAACAAUAAUGCAUAUAAGAGGCACUUCAACAAUUUAAUUAUGGUCUUCUCCUAUCGAACCCCAAAGAAAAGAAAAGAAAUAAAAUUAUUUACACGGGAGAGCUCCCAACAAGUAAAAGAAGAACAGGAAAUCUUUUUGGGUUUUCUUUUUAAUUACUACUACAAGCAUGGAAAGUAAACUAAUUAAAAGCUACAACCAAUUUUUUUUAUUUUUCUUAAGGUUUAUCAAACACACAAGAAUAAAGCAUAAAAAGGAAUUAAACUAGCAUGGGUGAUACAAUGAAAAAGUAUGAGCACCGACAUCUAGCAAUGAGUGUGUGAACAUAAAUGUAAUGUCGGUGAGAAAUACAUACUCCCCAAGCUUAGGCUUUUGGCCUAAGUUGGUCUAUGGCCACGGCUAGCCUAGCGGAUAUCCAUAAUAGUAGUUGGGGUCGUACUGCGAUGAAGAAGAAGACUCCGAUUGCCACUGACUGGCAAUCAUCUCCUAAUUCCACUGGUAAUUAGACUGUUGUGAAGGAUCAACUUGUGGUUCCGGCUCUGGCUCCAUAGCUGGUGCAGGGUUCUGGUAGGCUUGAAUAGCCUUUAACGGAACAAGAUAUUGGCCUGCAGAUAAAUCAAACAAAGAAGGAGCAGACAGGUAAUAGUCUCAGGAUGAUGUUUACCAAAGAACAAUUUGUAUUUAAGCUCUCCUUCCCUAUUCUUAACAAUAAAAUCAUGUGCCACCAUACUUUUAUAAUCUAAAUAAACACGCGGCAGCACCUUUACUUCCUUCUCAUAAUGCCUAAUAGGCAUGUUAAAAUGUGCAGCUAGGCAUGAGGCAUAGAUGCCUCCAAACAUGGGGCCCUUGGUACGGUUCAGACUUAACCGUUUAGCAAUAAUGCCGCCCAUACUAACAUAGUUAUCACCGUAUAAACCGUGGAGCAAAAUAAUAAUAUCGGGGACACUAAGGUUUUCACAGUUUCCGCGACCAAUUAAACAACGACUAGCAAAUAAUGCAAAAUAGCGUAAAACAUGAAAAUGUAUGCUAGUGAUUCGUGCAUCGGAAACAUUCCUUGUUUCCCCUACAGUGAAGUGUCAAUAAACCCAUCCACAUCCUCACGAUGUGGUUCCUCUGUCUUGCCCUCGAAAGGGACUAAACAAACCCGACAAAAAUCAUAAAGUGACAUCUCCUUAUGCUCAUCAUAUAAAUAAAACUCCACCGUAGGUGGUGAGCUCCUAGAAUGGAAAUGAAAGUUUUGCACAAAGAUAUUUGUGAGUAAGAGAUACUGAUCGCGUUGGUCGUGGAGGAAAGCGGUGAGGCCUGCAUUCUUAGCCAAUUCGUAAAAAUCUUCAUAAAUCCCAGAUGCUCUCAAGAAAUCAUCGGAAGGCCAUUCACACGCCCGAAUCUCCGUGGUGCGAGGCAGAUUAUACUUAGGCUUCGGCGCCUUUUCCUUCGAGCUUCGGCUCGAUGAGCCCCUCAAAAGUCUCUUCAUCAUUUUCUAAAAAAUUCUGAAAUUUUUAGUAACUUCAAAAUAAAAGUAAACCAAACUCAAUAAUAUUGAUAGCAACUACUCCUACAAGUGCCUAGGGCCUAUAUCAUGCAUCAAAACUACUUUUGACCAUAUAGAUUUGACAUGCAAGCUCAAGAACAGGGUCACCUAAGCAGCAAAAAUUUGCAAUGAAUAAAGCACUAGAACAAAAACUAAUUGGACCAAUGGAGGAGUCACAUACCAAGGAACAAUCUCCCCAAGCAGUUUUGUGAGAGGUGCUUUGAGCAAGGAGAUCGAAAAUGGCAGCAACAUGAGCUAGAACUCAUGCUUGAGCUGGAUAUUCGUGUUUGGGGAGGAAGAAGGAGUGUGUGGGUGAAAGGAUAAGUGGAGGAGGGCCACCGUGGGCCCAUGAGGCAGGGGGGCGCGCCCAGGGGGUAGGCCGCGCCCUCCACCCUCGUGGGCAGGUGGUUGACCCCCCCUUGCUGUGUUCUCAGUGCCAAAUAUUCUCAAAUAUUCCAAAAAUCAUAUUUAAAUUUCAGGGCAUUUGGAGAACUUUUAUUUUCGGGGUAUUUUUAUAUUGCACGGAUAAUCAGAUAACAGACAGAAAAAUACUAUUUUUAUUUUAUUUAAUAUAAAUAACAAAAAAUAAAAGGAGGGUACAGCAGGUUGUGCCUUCUAGUUUCAUCCAUCUCAUGAUCAUCAAAAGGAAUCCACUAACAAGGUUGAUCAAGUCUUGUUAACAAACUCAUUCCGAAUAACAUGGAACCGAAGAAAUUUCGAAUAACACUAUGUUACCUACACGGAGAUAUGCACAUCCCCAAUAAUAAGAAUAUCAUAUUUCUUCUUGACAGUAGGAAGAGGAAAUUCAAAACCUCCAAAUAUAAUCGAUGGAAUUUUUCCAAUAGAGUCGAUACUAUGAACUUGAGGUUGUUUCCUCGGAAAGUGUACCGUAUGCUCAUUACUAUUAACAUGAAAAGUGACAUUGCCUUUAGUGCAAUCAAUAACAACCCCUGCAGUAUUCAAAAAGGGUCUUCCAAGAAUAAUAGACAUACUAUCGUCCUCGGGAAUAUUAAGAAUAACAAAGUCCGUUGAAAUAGUAACGUUUGCAACUACAACAGGCACAUCCUCACAAAUACCGACAGGUAUAGCAGUUGAUUUAUCAGCCAUUUGCAAAGAUAUUUCAGUAGGCGUCAACUUAUUCAAAUCAAGUCUACAAUAUAAAGAGAGAGGCAUAACACUAACACCGGCUCCAAGAUCACAUAAAGCAGUUUUAACAUAGUUUCUUUUAAUGGAGCAUGGUAUAGUUGGUACACUGGGAUCUCCAAGUUUCUUUGGUAUUCCACCCUUAAAAGUAUAAUUAGCAAGCAUGGUGGAAAUUUCAGCUUCCGGUAUCUUUCUCUUAUUUGUAACAAUUUCUUUCAUAUACUUAGCAUAAGGAUUCAUUUUGAGCAUAUCAGUUAAUCGCAUACGCAAAAAUAUAGGUCUAAUCAUUUAUGCAAAGCGCUCAAAAUCCUCAUCAUCCUUUUUCUUGGAUGGUUUGGGAGGAAAAGGUAUGGGUUUCUGAACCCAUGGUUCUCUUUCUUUACCGUGUUUCCUAGCAACAAAGUCUUUCUUAUCAUAACGUUGAUUCUUUGAUUGUGGGUUAUCAAGAUCAACAGCAAGUUCAAUUUCUAUAUCAUUAUCAUUACUAGGUUGAGCAUCAUCAUGAACAUUAUCAUUAACAUUAUUACUAGUUUCAGGUUCAUUAACAGAUUGUGUUUCAGCAUCAGAAAUAGAAAUAUCAUUUGGAUUCUCAGGUGUUUCAGUAAUAGGUUCACUAGAAGCAUGCAAAGUCCUAUCAUUUUUCCUUUUCUUCCUUUUAGAAGGACUAGGUGCAUCUAUAUUGUUUCUCUGAGAAUCUUGCUCAAUUCUCUUAGGAUGGCCUUCAGGAUACAAAGGUUCCUGAGUCAUUUUACCACCUCUAGUCAUAACUCUAACAGCAUUAUCAUUAUCCUUACUAUUCAAUUCAUUAAGCAAAUCAUUUUGAGCUUUAAGUACUUGUUCUACUUGAGUGGUAACCAUAGAAGCAUGUUUACUAAUAAGUUUAAGUUCACCUUUGACAUUAGCCAUACAAUCACCCAAGUGUUCAAGCAUAUUUGAAUUGUAUUUCAAUUGUCUACCAAAAUAAGCAUUAAAAUCUUCUUGCUUAGCCAUAAAUUUAUCAAACUCAUCUAAGCAUGGGCUAGCAAAUUUAGUAAAUGGGAUUUCAGCUUUAUCAUAUCUAUAGAGAGAAUUUACCUUUACUACCUGUGUCGGGUUAUCAAGACCAUGAGUUUCUUCAAUAGGUAGAGGAUUAAGAUCAUAUGUUUCUUCAACAUGCGGUAAAUUAAGACCAUGUAUUUCUUCAAUAGGAGGUAAAUUCUUAACAUCUUCAGCUUUAAUACCUUUUUGUUUCAUAGAUUUCUUUGCCUCUUGCAUAUCUUCAGGACUGAGAAAUAGAAUACCCCUCUUCUUCGGAGUUUGUUUAGGAAUAGGCUCGGGAAUUGGCUCCGGAGGUGUCCAAUUAUUUUCAUUUGUCAACAUAUUAUUCAAUAGAAUUUCAGCUUCAUCCGGUGUUCUUUCCCUGAAAACAGAACCAGCACAACUAUCCAGGUAAUCUUUGGAGGCAUCGGUUAGUCCAUUAUAAAAGAUAUCAAGUAUUCAUUUUUCUUAAGAGGAUGAUCAGGCAAAGCAUUAAGUAAUUGGAGAAGCCUCCCCAAGCUUGUGGGAGACUCUCUUCUACAAUUUGCACAAAAUUAUAUAUAUCCCUUAAAGCAGCUUGUUUCUUAUGAGCAGGGAAAUAUUUAGCAAAGAAGUAAUAAAUCAUAUCCUCGAGACUACGCACACAACCAGGAUCAAGAAAAUUAAACCACAUCUUAGCAUCACUCUUUAAUGAGAACGGAAAUAUUUUAAGGAUAUAAAAGUAACGAGUUCUCCCAUCAGUCGUGAACAGGGUGGCUAUUGCUACGUCUUGAGCUUGCGUGGGUUUUCCCCGAAGAGGAAGGGAUGAUGCAGCAGAGUAGCGUAAGUAUUUCCCUCAGUUUUUGAGAAACAAGGUAUCAAUCCAGUAGGAGCCCAUGCUCAAGUCCCUCGUACCUACACAAAGCGAUAGCUACUCGCAACCAACGCGAUUAGGGGUUGUCAAUCCCUUCACGGUCACUUACGAGAGUGAGAUCUGAUAGAUAUAAUAUUUUUUGGUAUUUUUGGUAUAAAGAUGCAAAGUAAAAAGUAAAGGCAAAGUAAAAAAGCAAAGCAAGAUUAAAGUGAUGGAGAUUGAUAUGAUGAGAAUAGACCCGGGGGCCAUAGGUUUCACUAGUGGCUUCUCUCAAGAGCAUAAGUAUUCUACGAUGGGUGAACAAAUUACUGUUGAGCAAUUGACAGAAUUGAGCAUAGUUAUGAGAAUAUCUAGGCAUGAUCAUGUAUAUAGGCAUCACGUCUGUGACAAGUAGAUCGAAACAAUUCUGCAUCUACUACUAUUACUCCACUCAUCGACCGCUAUCCAGCAUGCAUCUAGAGUAUUAAGUUAAAAACAGAGUAACGCCUUAAGCAAGAUGACAUGAUGUAGAGAGAUAAAUUCAUGCAAUAUGAAAUAAACCCCAUCUUGUUAUCCUCGAUGGCAACGAUACAAUACGUGCCUUGCUACCCCUUCUGUCACUGGGUAAGUACACCGCAAGAUCGAACCCAAAGCUAAGCACUUCUCCCAUGCCAAGAACUACCAAUCUAGUUGGCCAAACCAAACGGAUAAUUCGAAGAGACUUGCAAAGAUAACCAAUCAUACAGAAAAGAAUUCAGAGAAGAUUCAAAUAUUAUUCAUAGAUAGACUUGAUCAUAAACCCACAAUUCAUCGGUCUCAACAAACACACCGCAAAAAGAAGAUUACGUCAAAUAGAUCUCCACAAGAGAGGGGGAGAACUUUGUAUUGAGAUUCAAAGAGAGAGAAGAAGCCAUCUAGCUACUAACUAUGGACCCGAAGGUAUGAGGUAAACUACUCACACUUCAUCAGAGAGGCUAGGAUGAUGUAGAAGCCCUCCGUGAUGACGGCCCUCUUCCGGCGGAGCUCCGGAACAAGCCCCAAGAUGGGAUCUCGUGGAUACAGAAAGUUACGGCGGUGGAAUUAGGUUUUUGGCUCCUGUUCUGAUCGUUUGGGGGUACGUGUGUAUAUAUAGGAGGAAGAAGUACGCCGGAGGAGCAAUGAGGGGCCCACGAGGCAGGGGGCGCGCCUUGGGGGGGGCGCCCCCACCCUCGUGACCACCUCUUUUGUUCCUUGGAGCAGGGUCCAAGUCUCCUGGAUCACGUUCGGUGAGAAAAUCACGUUCCCGAAGAUUUUAUUCCGUUUGGACUCCAUUUGAUAUUCCGUUUAUCUGAAACACUGAAAUAGGCAAAAAACAACAAUUCUGGGUUGGGCCUCCGGUUAAUAGGUUAGUACCAAAAAUAAUAUAAAAGUGGAAAAUAAAGCCCAAUAUAGUCCAAAACAGUAGAUAAUAUAGCAUGGAGCAAUCAAAAAUUAUAGAUACGCUGGAGAAGUAUCAGGCAUCCCCAAGCUUAAUUCCUGCUCGACCUCGAGUAGGUAAAUGAUAAAAAGAAAAUUUUUGAUGCGGAGUGCUACUUGGCAUAAUUUCAAUGCAAAUCUUCUUAAUUGUGGUAUGAAUAUUCAGAUUAGAAAGAUUCAAGACAAAAGUUUAUAUUGACAUAAAAAUAAUAAUACUUCAAGCAUACUAACAAAGCAAUUAUGUCUUCUCAAAAUAACAUGGCCAAAGAAAGUUAUCCCUACAAAAUCAUAUAGUCUGGCUAGGCUCCAUCUUCACCACACAAAGUAUUUAAAUCAUGCACAACCCCGAUGACAAGACAAGCAAUUGUUUCAUACUCUAACUUUUUCAAAACUUUUUCAAUCUUCACGCAAUACAUGAGCGUGAGCCAUGGAUAUAGCACUAUAGGUGGAAUAGAAUGGUGGUUGUGGAGAAGACAAAAAGGAGAAGAUGGUCUCACAUCAACUAGGCGUAUCAACGGGCUAUGGAGAUGCCCAUCAAUAGAUAUCAAUGUGAGUGAGUAGGGAUUGCCAUGCAACGGAUGCACUAGAGCUAUAAGUAUAUGAAAGCUCAAAAGGAAACUAAUUGGGUGUGCAUCCAACUUGCUUGCUCAUGAAGACCUAGGGCAAUUUUGAGGAAGCCCAUCAUUGGAAUAUACAAGCCAAGUUCUAUAAUGAAAAUUCCCACUAGUAUAUGAAAGUGAUAACAUGAGAGACUCUCUACUAUGAAGAUCAUGGUGCUACUUUGAAGCAUAAGUGUGGUAAAAGGAUAGUAACAUUGUCCCUUCUCUCUUUUUCUCUCAUUUUUUAUUUAUAUUUUUUUUGUUUGGGCCUUUUCUCUUUUUUUAUGGCCUCUUUUUAUUUGGGCUUCUUUGGCCACUUUUUUUCGUCCGGAGUCUCAUCCCGACUUAUGGGGGAAUCAUAGUCUCCAUCAUUCUUUCGUCACUGGGACAAUGCUCUAAUAAUGAUGAUCAUCACACUUUUAUUUUUCUUAUAACUCAACAAUUACAACUCGAUACUUAGAACAAAAUAUGACUCUAUGUGAAUGCAUCCGACGGUGUACCAGGAUAUGCAAUAUGAUAAUGAUGGAAUGUGUCAUGAUGAACUAGAUGGUGGAAAGUUGCAUGACAAUAUAUCUCGGAAUGGCUAUGCAAAUGCCAUAAUAGGUAGGUAUGGUGGCUGUUUUGAGGAAGGUAUAUGGUAGGUGUAUGAUGCCGGUGAAAGGUCCGCGGUAUUAGAGAGGCUAGCAAAGGUGGAAGGGUGAGAGUGCGUAUAAUCCAUGGACUCAACAUUAGUCAUAAAGAACUCAUAUACUUAUUGCAAAAAUCUAGAAGUUAUCAAAGCAAAGUAUUAUGCGCAUGCUCCUACGGGGAUAGAUUGGUAGGAAAAGACCAUCGCUCGUCCCCGACCACCACUCAUAAGGAAGACAAUCAAUAAACAAAUCAUGCUUCGACUUCGUUACAUAACGGUUCACCAUACGUGCAUGCUAUGGGAAUCACAAACUCUAACACAAGUAUUCUUUAAAUUCACAACUACUCAACUAGCAUGACUUUAAUAUUAUCACCUCCAUAUCUCAAAACAAUUAUCAUGCUUCAAUCUUUUCUUAGUAUUCAACACACUCAAAAGAAAGUUUCACAAAUCUUGAAUACCAAGCAUAUUAUUAUUAAGCAAAUUACCAUGCUAUUAAGAGACUCUCAAAAUAAUUUAAGUGAAGCAUGAGAGAUCAAUAGUUUCUUUAAAACAAAUCCACCACCAUGCUCUAAAAGAUCUAAGUGAAGCACAUAGAGCAAAAUUAUAACACUCAAAAGAUAUAAGUGAAGCACAUAGAGCAAAAUUAUCUAGCUCCAAAGAUAUAAGUGAAGCACAUAGAGCAAAACUACUACGCUCAAAAGAUAUAAGUGAAGCACAUAGAGCAAAACUACUUAGCUCAAAAGAUAUAAGUGAAGCACAUAGAGUAUUCUAUCAAAUUUUUAAUUCAUGUAUGGCUCUCUCAAAAGGUGUGUACAACAAGGAUGAUUGUGGCAUACUAAGACACAAAGACACAAAUAAUACAAGACGCUCCAAGCAAAACACAUAUCAUGUUGGUGAAUAAAAAUAUAGCUCCAAGUAAAUUACCGAUGGAAGUGGACGAAAGAGGGGAUGCCUUCCGGGUCAUCCCCAAGCUUUGACUUUUUGGUGUCCUUGGAUUAUCUUGGGGGUGCCAUGGGCAUCCCCAAGCUUAGGCUCUUGCCACUCCUUGUUCCAUGAUCCAUCAAAAGAAUUCACCCAAAACUUGAAAACUUCACAACACAAAACUCAAAAUAGAAAACUCGUGAGCUCCGUUAGCGAAAGAAAACAAAAGACCACUUCAAGGUACUGUAAUGAACUCAUUAUUUAUUUAUAUUGGUGUUAAACCUACUGUAUUCCAACUUCUCUAUGGAUUAUAAACUAUUUUACUAGCCAUAGAUUCAUCAAAAUAAGCAAACAACACACGAAAAACAGAAUCUGUCAAAAACAGAACAGUCUGUAGUAAUCUGUAGCUAGCGCAAGAUCUGGAACCCCAAAAAUUCUAAAAUAAAUUGCUGGACGUGAGGAAUUUAUCUAUUAAUCAUAUGCAAAAAGAAUUAACUAAAUAGAACUCUUCAAAUAAAAAUGACAGCAGUUCUCAUGAGCGCUAAAGUUUCUGUUUUUACAGCAAGUUCAACAAGACUUUCCCCAAGUCUUCCCAACGGUUCUACUUGGCAUAAACACUAAUUAAACACAAAAAACACAACAAAAACAGAGUCUAAAUAAUUUAUUUAUUAUUAAUCAGGAGCAAAAAACAAGGAAUAAAAAUAAAAUUGGGUUGCCUCCCAACAAGCGCUAUCGUUUAACGCCCCUAGCUAGGCAUAAAAGCGAGGAUAGAUCUAAGUAUUGCCAUCUUUGGUAGGCAAUCCAUAAGUGGCUCUCAUGAUAGUUUCAUAUGGUAAUUUUAUUUUCUUUCUUGGAAAGUGUUACAUGCCUUUUUUUAAUGGAAAUUGAAAUCUAAUAUUCCCUUCCUUCAUAUCAAUAAUCGCACCAACCGUUCUAAGGAAAGGUCUACCAAGAAUAAUAGGGCAAGAAGGAUUGCAAUCUAUAUCAAGAACAAUGAAAUCUACUGGCACAUAAUUCCUAUUUGCAACAAUAAGAACAUCAUUAAUCCUUCCCAUAGGUUUCUUAAUAGUGGAAUCCGCAAGAUGCAAGUUUAAAGAGCAAUCAUCAAAAUUACGGAAAUCUAGUAAAUCACACAAAGUCUUGGGAAUAGUAGAGACACUAGCACCCAAAUCACACAAAGCAUAAAACUCAUGAUCUUUAAUUUUAAUUUUAAUAGUUUGUUCCCACUCAUCAUAGAGUUUUCUAGGGAUAGAAACUUUCAACUCAAGUUUUUCUUCAUAAGAUUGCAUCAAGGCAUCAAGAAUAUGUUUGGUGAAGGCUUUAUUUUGACUAUAAGCAUGUGGAGAAUUUAGCACAGAUUGCAACAAGGAAAUACAAUCAAUUAAAGAGCAACUUUCAUAAUUAAAUUCCUUGAAAUCCAAUAUAGUGGGUUUAGCAACAUCUAGAUUUUUAUUUCUUUCAAUCCCACUUUCAUCAAUUUCAUCAUCAAGAUCUAAAUACUCCGAAUUUUUAGAACACCUUCUAGGUAAAGGAAGAUCAUAUUCAGUUUCAUCGAGAUUAAUAUUGCAAAAUAAAGAUUUAAUAGGGGACACAUCAAUAACUUUUAGAUCUUCAUCUUGAUUUUCAUAGGUAUUGGAGGAACACGCUUUAAUAAAGGCAUCUUUGGAAGCACGCAUCCUAGCGGUUCUUUCCUUGCACUCAUCAAUGGAAAUUCUCAUGGCUUUGAGAGACUCAUUGAUAUCAUGCUUAGGAGGAAUAGAUAUAAGCUUUAAAGAAUCAACCUCAAGAGAAAUUCUAUCAACGUUUCUAGCCAAAUCAUCAACUUUAAGCAAUUUCUCCUCAAGAAAAGCAUUAAAAUUCUUUUGUGAAUUCAUAAACUCUUUAACACUAUUCUCAAAUUCAGAGGGCAUCUUAUUAUAAUUUCCAUAAGAUUUGUUGUAGGAAUUACCAUAAUUAUUAGAAGGAUUACUAGAAUAUGGCCUAGGAUUAAAAUUCCCUUUAUAAGCAUUGUUACCAAAAUUAUUCCUACCAACAAAAUUCACAUCCAUAGAUUCAUUGUUAUUCUCAAUCAAAGUAGACAAAGGCGUAUCAUUAGGAUCAGAAGAAACACUCUUAGUAGCAAAUAAUUUCAUAAGUUCAUCCAUCUUUCCACUCAACACAUUAAUUUCUUCUAUUGCAUGCACUUUUUUAUUAGAAGAUCUUUCAGUAUGCCAUUGAGAAUAAUUAACCAUAAUAUUAUCUAGGAGUUUAGUAGCAUCUCCUAAAGUGAUUUCCAUAAAAGUGCCUCCCGCGGCCGAAUCUAAAAGAUUUCUAGAAGCAAAAUUCAAUCCGGCAUAAAAUUUUUGUAUGAUCAUCCACAAUUUCAAACCAUGAGUAGGGCAAUUACGUAUCAUUAAUUUCAUUCUCUCCCAAGCUUGUGCAACAUGUUCAUGGUCAAGUUGUUUAAAGUUCAUAAUAUCGUUUCUAAGAGAGAUGAUCUUAGCGGGAGGAAAAUACUUAGAGAUAAAGCAUCUUUGCACUUGUUCCAUGAAUCAAUACUAUUCUUAGGCAAAGACGAAAACCAAGCUUUAGCACGAUCUCUAACCGAAAAAGGAAAUAGCUUCAAUUUAACAACAUCAUUAUUGACAUCUUUCUUCUUUUGCAUAUCACAUAAAUCAACAAAGCUAUUCAGAUGAGUAGCGGCAUCUUCACUAGGAAGGCCGGCGAAUUGAUCUUUCAUAACAAGAUUCAACAAAGCAGUAUUAAUUUGACAAGACUCAGCAUCGGUAAGAGGAGCAAUCGGAGUGCUAAGGAAAUAAUUAUUAUUGGUAUUGGUGAAGUCACACAAUUUAGUAGUAUCUUGAGCCAUCGCGACAAGCAAGCAAUCUAACACACGAGCAAACAAAAAGCAACGGGCAAAAAGAGGCAAAUAGAGAGGGAGGAUAGGGAGAGAGAGCGCGAAUAAAACGGCAAGGGUGAAUUGGGGGGAGAGGAAAAUGAGAGGUAAAUGGCAAAUAAUGUAAUGUGAGAGAUAGGGAUUGUGAUGGGUACUUGGUAUGUUGACUUUUUGCGUAGACUCCCCGGCAACGGCGCCAGAAAUCCUUCUUGCUACGUCUUGAGCUUGCGUUGGUUUUCCUCGAAGAGGAAGGGAUGAUGCAGCAGAGUAGAGUAAGUAUUUCCCUCAGUUUUUGAGAACCAAGGUAUCAAUCUAGUAGGAUCCCACGCUCAAGUCCCUCGUACCUGCACAAAGCGAUAGCUACUCGCAACCAACGCGAUUAGGGGUUGUCAAUCCCUUCACGGUCACUUACGAGAGUGAGAUCUGAUAGAUAUAAUAUUUUUUGGUAUUUUUGGUAUAAAGAUGCAAAGUAAAAAGUAAAGGCAAAGUAAAAAAGCAAAGCAAGAUUAAAGUGAUGGAGAUUGAUAUGAUGAGAAUAGACCCGGGGGCCAUAGGUUUCACUAGUGGCUUCUCUCAAGAGCAUAAGUAUUCUACGGUGGGUGAACAAACUACUGUUGAGCAAUUGAUAGAAUUGAGCAUAGUUAUUAGAAUAUCUAGGCAUGAUCAUGUAUAUAGGCAUCACGUCCGUGACAAGUAGAUCGAAAUGAUUCUGCAUCUACUACUAUUACUCCACUCAUCGACUGCUAUCCAGCAUGCAUCUAGAGUAUUAAGUUAAAAACAGAGUAACGCCUUAAGCAAGAUGACAUGAUGUAGAGAGAUAAAUUCAUGCAAUAUGAAAUAAACCCCAUCUUGUUAUCCUCGAUAGCAACGAUACAAUACGUGCCUUGCUGCCCCUUCUGUCACUGGGUAAGGACACCGCGAGAUCGAACCCAAAGCUAAGCACUUCUCCCAUGGCAAGAACUACCAAUCUAGUUGGCCAAACCAAACGGAUAAUUUGAAGAGACUUGCAAAGAUAACCAAUCAUACAUAAAAGAAUUCAGAGAAGAUUCAAAUAUUAUUCAUAGAUAGACUUGAUCAUAAACCCACAAUUCAUCGGUCUCAACAAACACACCGCAAAAAGAAGAUUACAUCGAAUAGAUCUCCACAAGAGAGGGGGAGAACUUUGUAUUGAUAUUCAAAGAGAGAGAAGAAGCCAUCUAGCUACUAACUAUGGACCCGAAGGUCUGAGGUAAACUACUCACACUUCAUCGGAGAGGCUAGGAUGAUGUAGAAGCCCUCCGUGAUGACGGCCCUCUUCUGGCGGAGCUCCGGAACAGGCCCCAAGAUGGGAUCUCGUGGAUACAGAAAGUUGUGGCGGUGGAAUUAGGUUUUUGGCUCCUAUUCUGAUCGUUUGGGGGUAUGUGUGUAUAUAUAGGAGGAAGAAGUACGCCGGAGGAGCAACGAGGGGCCCACGAGGCAGGGGGCGCGCCCUAGGAGGGGGCCACCCUCGUGACCGCCUCUUUUGUUCCUUGGAGCAGGGUCCAAGUCUCCUGGAUCACGUUCGGUGAGAAAAUCACGUUCCCGAAGAUUUUAUUCCGUUUGGACUCCGUUUGAUAUUCCGUUUAUCUGAAACACUGAAAUAGGCAAAAAAACAACAAUUCUGGCCUGGGCCUCCGGUUAAUAGGUUAGUCCCAAAAAUAAUAUAAAAGUGGAAAAUAAAGCCCAAUAUAGUCCAAAACAGUAGAUAAUAUAGCAUGGAGCAAUCAAAAAUUAUAGAUACGUUGGAGACGUAUCAGCUAUAUCAUUCAAUUUAGUAAGAUGUGCCACAACAGUUUCAGAUUCAUAGCCAUGAAAAGGAUCAGAUUCAACCAAAGUAAUUAUAUCAGGAUCAACAGAGAAUUCAUAAUCCUUAUCGGUAACACAGAUAGGUGAAGUAGCAAAAGCAGGGUCAGGUUUCAUUCUAGCAUUUAGAGAUUGCUUGUUCCAUUUAGCUAAUAACCUCUUAAGUUCGUAUCUAUCUUUGCAAGCUAAAAUAGCUAAAGAAUCUUCUUGAUCAAAAAUAUAACCCUCAGGAAUAACAAGUGAUUCUUCAUCAUCACUUUCAUCAGUAUUAUCAGAUUCAAUAUUUUCAAUCUCUCUAGCCCUAGCAAGUUGUUCAUCAAGAAAUUCACCAAGUGGCACAGUAGUAUCAAGCAUAGAAGUAGUUUCAUCAUAAGUAUCAUGUAUAGCAGAAGUAGCAUCAUCAAUAACAUGCGACAUAUCAGAACGAAUAGCAGAAGCAGUUUUAGGUGUCGCAAGCUUACUCAAAACAGAAGGUGAAUCAAGUGUAGAGCUAGAUGGCAGUUCCUUGCCUCCCCUCGUAGUUGAGGGAUAAAUCUUGGUUUUUGGAUCUCUCAUGUUCUUCAUAAUGAUAAGCAGAUAUAAAUCCCAAGUGACUCAAAGAAUAGAGCUAUGCUCCCCGGCAACGGCGCCAGAAAAUAGUCUUGAUAACCCACAAGUAUAGGGGAUCGCUACAGUUUUCGAGGGUAAAGUAUUCAACCCAAAUUUAUUGAUUCGACACAAGGGGAACCAAAGAAUAUUCUCAAGUAUUAGCAGCUGAGUUAUCAAUUCAACCACACCUGGAAACUUAGUAUCUACAGCAAAGUAUUUAGUAGCAAAGUAAUAUGAUAGUAGUGAUAACGGUAGCAAAAGGUAACAGUAGUAAAAGUAAUGUUUUUGGUAUUUUGUAGUGAUGAUAGCAAUAUCAAUGGAAAAGUAAAUAAGCGAAGAACAAUAUAUGGAAAGCUCGUAGGCAAUGGACCGGUGAUGGAGAAUUAUGCCGGAUGUGAUUCAUCAUGUAACGGUCAUAACCUAGGGUGACACAGAACUAGCUCCAGUUCAUCAAUGCAAUGUAGGCAUGUAUUCCGAAUAUAGUCAUACAUGCUUAUGGAAAAGAAAUUGCAUGGCAUGUUUUUUCCAACCCUCCCGUGGCAGCGGGGUCCUUACGAAACUAAGGGAUAUUAAGGCCUCCUUUUAAUAGAGUACCGAAACAAAGCAUUAACACAUAGUGAAUACAUGAACUCCUCAAACUACGGUCAUCACCGGUAAGUAUCCCGAUUAUUGUCACUUCGGGGUUAACGGAUCAUAACACAUAAUAGGUGACUAUAGACUUGCAAGAUAGGAUCAAGAACAUUCAUAUAUUGAUGAAAACAUAAUAGGUUCAGAUCUGAAAUCAUGGCACUCAGGCCCUAGUGAAAAGCAUUAAGCAUAGCAAAGUCAUAGCAACAUCAAUCUCAGACCAUAGUGGAUACUAGGGAUCAAACCCUAACAAAACUAACUCGAUUACAUGAUAGAUCCCAUCCAACCCAUCACCGUCCACCAAGCCUACGAUGGAAUUACUCACGCACGGCGGAGAGCAUCAUGAAAUUGGUGAUGGAGGAUGGUUGAUGAUGACGAUGGCGACGAAUUCCCCUCUCUGGAGCCACGAACGCACUCCAGAUCAGCCCUCCCGAGAGGUUUUAGGGCUUGGUGGCGGCUCCGUAUCGUAAAACGCGAUGAAUUCUUCUCUCUGGCUUUUUUUCUCCCCGAAACACAAUAUAUAGAGUUGGAGUUGGAGUCGGAGGGGCACCAGGGGACCCACGAGGUAGGGGGCGCGCCCCCCACCCUCGUGGACAGGUGGUGGGCCCCCUGGCCUUCAUCUUUUGUAGGUAUUUUUUAUAUUUCCCAAAAAGUUGCUCCGUGAAGUUUCGGGUCAUUCCGAGAACGUUUGUUUCUGCACAUAAAUAACACCAUGGUAAUUCUGCUGAAAACAACGUCAGUCCGGGUUAGUUCCAUUCAAAUCAUGCAAGUUAGAGUCCAAAACAAGGGCAAAAGUUUUUGGAAAAGUAGAUACGAUGGAGACAUAUCAAUAGUCAUAAUAACAGCUAAGGCAAGUGCUUCGUCGUGCGGUUGGCACCUUGAAGGUGUGCAGGAUCAUCACCUUUAAAGUGAUGAGGUAGCCGAUCGGGAUCUGGUGAGCAACAGCAAAGCCGACCCAACCCUGAUCCAUGGCUAGCCUCCCGUUGAUCUCUGUGAGCUUGACCUUCUAGGUGCAACCGGUGUUCGUCUUGAGUUUGAUCUUACGUGAGAUGGUGUCCAUGUGUUUACAAAAGUUGCCAAGGAUUGGCAGUAACAUUCAAACCGACAUGGAAAACAUGUUCAUCUACCACGACAGGAAGGCCAUCAUCAUUGCCGACAAGCCCCUAUAGAAAGAUCAAGAGUUUUCACGCCGACAAGACCAAUUCGAGCCCUAUAUCAACACACAAAUCUAAUCGGAGUUGGACACCCCAAUCGAACCCCAUAUCCACACCCUAAUCUAACCCCCAUGGAGACACCCAAAUCUAACCGUACUUGGACACCCAAAUCGAAUCUCAUAUCCAGACCCUAAUCAAGUUGUAUGAAACACUUAAUCAACACCCUAAUGGGGUCGUGUGAACCCUAAAUCUAACCCUAAACCCAAAUCAGUGGGUACAUGGAUCCCUAAAUCAGGCAGACAAGGGCUUAGCGCCAUUAACGAAGGGAUGAUGGAGGGUGAUGAAGCUGGCGGUCACCGUCGGUGCUCGCCAUCUAGAUCUUCGACCCGCUGAUACCCUCCGCCGCCCCAGUGAGAGAGAGGGUGAUAGUGGAGAGAGGGAUAGUGAUCGGUGAGAUAGAGAUCAGGGGAUUUAUGGCACGACUUCGGGAAACAACAUGACGUCUCCCACUCGUGCCCGCGUGUGUAACCGCCUGCAGCCACAUGCCGUCCUUUCCCUCAAUCGGGCCUGACUCGUUGGACACAAUCUAUUCGAUCACUUCCUCUAGAGCUGGGCUUGGGCUGCUAUGAGUACCGUGCUAUGCAGGCUCGGCCACACGCGCUGGUAACCAAACGGGUUGCAUCCCCAGGGCUUGGUUGGGUGUUAUGCUGGCAACCAAACACACCCUUGAGCACCGGCGACCUCAUCAAUAAGUUUUUUUAGGGGAACCUCUUCAAUAAGUGAACCUUUCUACCAAGAUGCAGUAUUCAGAAACUGCAUCAACAACAAAAUUUCAGCGUUGGCAGAGCCAUGUCUUUUUUCUUUCUUUCUAGAUGGCAGAACCAGAUCUUAGAGGGGGCGGCUUGUUACCAGCUGGUUACCAAUGAAAGCACAACUUGCCACUUAGACUCCAUUGGUUAAACCAGACAGUAGAUCACAGAAAAACACCAGAUUAUAAAUAAACAAUGUUGUUAACACUUUAUAUUGUGCCUUUUAUACAGAGUGCUCAUACCAUUUGAUCAUCGGACUGGAUGGCAUGAACCUCCAGCUGUUAAAAAAUAAAAAAUUAGAGCACGCCAAGAGCAUGCCACAGCUUUAUAGAAGGCAGAAAUAUCGUUUCAACCAACACUCUGUAACCUCCAGCUGGUAAUUACAGUACAAAAUUGUUUCAACCAAGUGAGAUAGGAUAAAAGCCACGAUGAGCUGAGGUGGUAUCAAAACAGGAUCAGCAGCAGCAAGGAUUGGUAAAAAUCUUCCCCAGAAUCUCUCUGAAAAAGGUACCGAUCCCGCAUUCUCAGUUUCUCACAGCUAGGGUCGCUAAAGAACAAAUAUGCAGACAAUGCCUCUCAUGAAGGAUGCCGCUUCAGCACUUGGAUUCCUGACCGCUGUUAUCAUUGGUCGUCCAGCGUGACAGCGCCUCCCUCGACCUCCAGCUCGCUUGGCUCGACCGACGACAGCAAAAUGUCGUCAAAGCCUCACCUGACGAAUAUGGAACAAGUUUAUGCAUCCGUACAGGUGGCUCCAAAAAAAUCACUGGUGCAACAACAUGAGUUGAUCGAUCGACAAGGAACUCCUCUCUUUUUCUGCAGACAGACAAUCAGAACGAGUGACUGAACAAGGACAGUAUUAUUGUACAUGUUCUGUGGGCAGGCCAUUACACACUUUUAAGUAUCUCACUGUUAACUGUUAAGUAAUCUCACUGCUAUACAUAACAUAACAAUAUGUCGUAUAUUUAAAACUCAAGCGCUAGCAGUGGCGUCAUGUGCAUGCAUAGACUGCUAGCACCCUAAUGCAAAUUGGAGAUUUAAAUCGAGAACUUCAAAACUUCAACUGGAACCUAUAACUAGGGAAGGCGUGUAAAGGCUCAAAGAAACAAGCCAUAGCGAAACAAAGCGAUGUGCAUAGAAAAUAUUGGCCAAUAUCAACAGAGAACUCACGUUUCCAGGUAGCUCCACAUUUUCACUAUGGUAAAAAGUGCAAUCCAAUGGAUACAGCUUCAAGAUUCAACUCACUAACAUCUAGGCAAUUCCUAAUGAACAGAUAUGCUCCCAUUUCUAGCAUUUCUUCCAACAUUUGGUUGCACAAAAAUAAUAUAGCCGUGAGAAGCUCCUACCAAGGAACACAAAACAGAAAAAUAUUCUCCCAGAUGAUAUAUUUAACAUGCAUAACUGUUUGAGAGAAUCAGAUAUAAGACCUAGUCAUCCCAAAUGUAACUUUUUAAUACUCCCUCUGAUCCAUAUUAAUCGUCGCUGAUUUAGUACAACUUUUGGAGUGCCCCUUUGCCAGGCAGACUUGGCGUGAGAUCCUCUCCUGGCUAAGGAUGACCGCCGCAGGCCCAAAUCACGAAGAAUCCCUCAUGGACUGGUGACUGCACGCCAGGCAGAACACACCGACAAUGAUGCGCAAAGAAUGAUAACAGAAUUUUAAGAAAAAAAUUGAAGUGAUUAGCUAAAGUCUCACCAAAUAUUUUGUUACAUGGAAGGAACUCCCAAGUUCAGUUUCACUUGUGAUAUAUGUACCGGUGAAAUUUUACCAUCCCGAGAGACAAAAGGCAGGCUCGGUUCAGAGUACAGUUAGCAAGGUUAAGCUGUAUCGCAUGGCAUUCACUCUCAUAUCUUCAUAGAGUAGUAGUCUAUAUAUAAACUUAAUGGACAGAGGUUGAAAGCUUGAAACACUUUCUCAUAUCAUAUCUCCCAGAAGGUCAAAAAAGCAUCCAACAUGAAGCAAAAUUACCAAUUAGCCAUGAUAUGUUCAUAUAUGAAAAUUAUUUUCGUCCAGCAUGUAGUACAUAAACUAAGUAUUCUCUGAAUAUCAAUAAAAUAUAUUAGAAAUGACCAAUGAUGGCGACAAGAUAAGUAGAUGUACAAAGAAAGGUAAUUUUGGAGCACUCACUGAAGUAUUCGUAUUUGAAGAAUUUUAAACCCACACCCUUUAAGGCCAUGUUCUUUAAAGCAAUACAUCGGAAAAUAAAAGAACAUUAAAUCUGCAGUAAUUUAAAGAAGAAUAUCUAACACCAUACCUAACAGAUGUUGCACAAAGCAGAACAUCUACAUUUAUGUUUAACAGACUAUUCUAAAAUACAAACAGGACUGAGCAGAAACUAGCCACUCCGAAAUGAAAAUAACCAAGGAGCAUGCCAGAACGCAUGACCUUCCUGACCGAAGAGGAAUAAAAAGAACAUAUGGAACAACUGCACCAUGACAUUUAGCAGCUAGAAAUAACAUAGGGAACAAGAGGUCGGGAGGCUAGCAGAACAUUGUGAACUAGUAUUCCUGAAACGGGAACUAGUAUUCCUGAAAUCGGAACUAGAGGUCAGGAGGUCAGCUAGAUCGUAGUUAAAUGGGAACUAGUAUUCCUGAAAAUGGCAUCCGCAACACAUAGUGGAUUUAGGUCGAUUUUACAGUUAUUUGCAGUACAUUGCUUGGUAUGCACAUUUACAUAAAAAAAAAACCCUUCUCAAUCAGCCACGCUGGUGGCAAAAAAACAAGCAGAACAAAUCAAGCACAAAUAAGUUGAAUUUAUUGAGCAUUUUUUUGUACCAAACAUGGUUGCAUAGUAUACUUGUGCGCUUAUGUUCCGUCCUGUGCCACUUCAGAACAUCUCAAGGACUAAAUGCAGGAUGCCUGGUAAUUAAAUAUAUGCUCCUAACACCACCGGGUAUAUGUAAAUCAAGACAUAUCUAGGAUAUCAGACUGGUGAAGGAACAAAUUAAACUUAUUCUUGUAUGCAACCUGAGACACGCAGCUUGCGAAAACCCCUUGAUUUCGCUAGAGCUAGCGAUUCUAGACAGCGGGCCUCUCUUUGUAUUGGUGUUAUGUCAGCAAAGGCGUUGAAUGCCUCUCGGCACUCCUAUGCAAUGUGAUGCGUCUCCUCACAACGUAUUCUAGAAAAGAAAGUGAAUAUUUCUUACACUUUCAGUUUGCCAUGUUCAUCUACUUUCUACCCAAAGGCAUCUUGAACGAUUAAGUUUCCACUCUGUCAAAUUAGCAUUGGGCAACAAUGUAACUGUUGAUGUAGGUCUAGCUUUUGCACCGACGAGAAGAAAAGAGGAUCAGCAUAGGAAUGAGAAUCAAUGAGAUCUGUCUUGCUUGGGAUGCUGACAUGUACAGCAGCCGAGCUGAUCUGGUGCAGGUCUGCAGGAGCAGUUUCCAAUUUUUUAAAUAAGUUGAGAUUCUUGUUGCCUCCUGGUAUAAUAUAUGUGCCCAUCUCACAUAAUUUUCAGGUCAUGAGUUCUUACUAAGCUGUGGCGUCGAUACUACCACCCAUAUGCAACAUUGCGUGCGUGGUCACACGUACCACCUGUGAAUCUAGUAAUCGACAACGUCAGAUCAACUGGAUCCUAAGUCUGCCUAGAGAUAUGAGAAGCAGGGAGCUUCACAUGGAGAGAUGCGACUUUUGAUCGGCCGGGCUUCCUGGGUUCCAGUGCUGCCCAUGAAAGCUCACAGCUUGGUAGCUCUCCCGUCCAUUUGAUGUGUGCGCCGCACUGCUGCUACAGAUCUGACACUGCUAGCCAACUGGAGUAUCUCUGAAGUCAACUAGAUCGUGUGCAGCGGUGCUGUGCUAUGCUGCUAAUCAGCUCAACUAGGGCACCUGACAAUUUUUGCCUGCUCCAUUUGGAAUCUGCCCACGCCUCCCAAGCUCUGCUUCUCAUGGCCAACCCAUUACCACCAGUGAGGCAUUAAUUAGUUCCAUGCAUGGCCCUGCAAUCUAGGCUAAGAUGCUGUGCACGGAGAACCAUGGAGCCUAUACAAUGUCAACGAAAUAAAAUUAUCAGAGAAACCCAGUGAGUUAUACUGCUUGAUGAUUCUUUCUCCCUCUUUUAUCUGACAUGAAACAAAUGCGGGCUGGUUGCGAGGAGCUGACCUAAGAAUUAACAAAUGCAGGCCGGUGCAGUGCGUGACAGUGUCAGAAGCUUCUACAAAGUCAGAUCUAGCGAAACAUAGCCAUUACCGAGGUUAACACCACUAUAAAUGGCUGGCAUUGCUGCCCAUUCUGGACAAACCCAUAAGCCAAACAAAAACAGCUCUCUGGUAGGUGUUUACGCUUAGCGUUUUCAUCCUACAAUGAGAUCACUGCCCAUUGUAGUACUUUCCCUCCUGAUUCUUGUCCUAGCUGCCCAUGUAUCCCAAGCCGAUGACAAGGGCUCUUCGGUUGGAAAUGGGAAGGAUUCCCAUGCCGGUGAUGAUCAUAAAUCAAAUGGUGUAGGGCCGGUGAAAAAACCCAAAUGCCCUAAGCCCGGACAUGGUCCAAAAAACCAUGACAAUGAUGGUCGAGGACCACCAGAAAAGGAGUGCGAUGAUGAAGAGGCAACACCGUCAUCGCCUGGGCCUUCCCCAAACCAAGGUAAUGGUUCGCCAUCACCACCGCCAUCCCCGUCCUAUUCACCACCCAUGACUCCAUCACCUCCACCUCCAUCAGAAACUAGUCCUCCUACUGCACCUCCACCCUACCAACCUAGCAAUCAAUCUCCUCCCCCGCCGUCAUCUUCAAGCCCCCCACCAACACCUUCAUCUAGUCCCCCUGUUACACCUCCAACCUACGAACCUAAUGAUCAAUCACCACCACCACCAUUGAACCCUCCGCCCAUUCCCCCACCACCUCCAUCUAGUGCGCCUGCGGCACCUCCAAUGAACCCGACUAAUGAUCAGCCUNNNNNNNNNNNNNNNNNNNNNNNNNNNNNNNNNNNNNNNNNNNNNNNNNNNNNNNNNNNNNNNNNNNNNNNNNNNNNNNNNNNNNNNNNNNNNNNNNNNNNNNNNNNNNNNNNNNNNNNNNNNNNNNNNNNNNNNNNNNNNNNNNNNNNNNNNNNNNNNNNNNNNNNNNNNNNNNNNNNNNNNNNNNNNNNNNNNNNNNNNNNNNNNNNNNNNNNNNNNNNNNNNNNNNNNNNNNNNNNNNNNNNNNNNNNNNNNNNNNNNNNNNNNNNNNNNNNNNNNNNNNNNNNNNNNNNNNNNNNNNNNNNNNNNNNNNNNNNNNNNNNNNNNNNNNNNNNNNNNNNNNNNNNNNNNNNNNNNNNNNNNNNNNNNNNNNNNNNNNNNNNNNNNNNNNNNNNNNNNNNNNNNNNNNNNNNNNNNNNNNNNNNNNNNNNNNNNNNNNNNNNNAGCCCCCCACCACUAGCUCCAGCCACCCCACCAACACCUCCAUCUAAUCCCCCUGUUACGCCUCCAUCCUACGAACCUAAUGAUGAAUCGCCACCACCUACAUUAAAUUCCCCUGCCAUUCCCUCACCACCUCCAUCAAGCCCAACUGUGGCACCUCCUAUGAACCCGACUAAUGAUCAGCCUCCUCCACCAUCGUCGUCAUUUAGCCCCCCACCAAUAGCUCCAACUACUCAACCACCUCCCUCUAGCCCACCUGCUACACCUCCAACAGACUCAACUGAUGAGGAACCUCCUACAUCACCACCAGCAUCCAGUCCACCAGCAACUCUAUCAAGUCCUCCACCACCGUCAUCGAGUACACCACCGGCUCCAUCCAUCACCACACCACCUUUGGCUAGUCCCCCUGCUACACCUCCAACGUACCAAGCCAAUGACCAGUCCCCUCCACCUCCACCAUCAUAUAGUCCUCCGCCAUCAGCUUUAGCUAGUCCUCCACCACCAUCACCACUGAGUCCACCAGCAAUAGCACCAACCACUAGCGCACCUCCUCCAUCUACUCCCCCAUCGCCUAUGUCUAGUCCACCAGCAACACCUCCAACAGACUCAACUGAUGAGCAAACUCCACCACCACCANNNNNNNNNNNNNNNNNNNNNNNNNNNNNNNNNNNNNNNNNNNNNNNNNNNNNNNNNNNNNNNNNNNNNNNNNNNNNNNNNNNNNNNNNNNNNNNNNNNNNNNNNNNNNNNNNNNNNNNNNNNNNNNNNNNNNNNNNNNNNNNNNNNNNNNNNNNNNNNNNNNNNNNNNNNNNNNNNNNNNNNNNNNNNNNNNNNNNNNNNNNNNNNNNNNNNNNNNNNNNNNNNNNNNNNNNNNNNNNNNNNNNNNNNNNNNNNNNNNNNNNNNNNNNNNNNNNNNNNNNNNNNNNNNNNNNNNNNNNNNNNNNNNNNNNNNNNNNNNNNNNNNNNNNNNNNNNNNNNNNNNNNNNNNNNNNNNNNNNNNNNNNNNNNNNNNNNNNNNNNNNNNNNNNNNNNNNNNNNNNNNNNNNNNNNNNNNNNNNNNNNNNNNNNNNNNNNNNNNNNNNNNNNNNNNNNNNNNNNNNNNNNNNNNNNNNNNNNNNNNNNNNNNNNNNNNNNNNNNNNNNNNNNNNNNNNNNNNNNNNNNNNNNNNNNNNNNNNNNNNNNNNNNNNNNNNNNNNNNNNNNNNNNNNNNNNNNNNNNNNNNNNNNNNNNNNNNNNNNNNNNNNNNNNNNNNNNNNNNNNNNNNNNNNNNNNNNNNNNNNNNNNNNNNNNNNNNNNNNNNNNNNNNNNNNNNNNNNNNNNNNNNNNNNNNNNNNNNNNNNNNNNNNNNNNNNNNNNNNNNNNNNNNNNNNNNNNNNNNNNNNNNNNNNNNNNNNNNNNNNNNNNNNNNNNNNNNNNNNNNNNNNNNNNNNNNNNNNNNNNNNNNNNNNNNNNNNNNNNNNNNNNNNNNNNNNNNNNNNNNNNNNNNNNNNNNNNNNNNNNNNNNNNNNNNNNNNNNNNNNNNNNNNNNNNNNNNNNNNNNNNNNNNNNNNNNNNNNNNNNNNNNNNNNNNNNNNNNNNNNNNNNNNNNNNNNNNNNNNNNNNNNNNNNNNNNNNNNNNNNNNNNNNNNNNNNNNNNNNNNNNNNNNNNNNNNNNNNNNNNNNNNNNNNNNNNNNNNNNNNNNNNNNNNNNNNNNNNNNNNNNNNNNNNNCGCCUAUGUCUAGCCCACCAGCAACACCUCCAACGGACUCAACUGAUGAGCAAAGUCCAUCACCACCACCAUCUAGUCCACCAGUAGCUCUAUCAAGUCCUCCACCACCAUCAUCGAGUACACCACCGGUUCCAUCCAUUGCCACACCACCUUUGUCUAGUCCCCCUGCUACACCUCCAGCGUACCAAGCUGAUGACCAAUCCCCUCCACCUCCACCAUCAUAUAGUCCACCACUGACAGCUUUAGCUAGUCCUCCACCACCACCAUUGAGUCCACCAGCGAUAGCACCAACUACUAGCGUACCUCCUCCAUCUACUUCACCAUUGCCUAUGUCUAGUCCACCGGCAACACCUCCGGCGUACCAAGUUAACCAACCACCACCGCCACCACAAUUUAGUCCCCCUGCCACACCUCCGACCUAUCAAGGUAAUGCCCCACCACCGGCAUCGGCACCAGCACCACUUAGUCCCUCAGCAACAGCACCGCCACCUGGUGCCCCUACUGGCAAUAGAUGGGUGCAAGUUCAGAACUUUCAUGAUGCCCUAUACUGGCAAAUCGGGCGCUUUGUGGUGUUCAAGUUGGUAAACAAGAAGGACAACUCCCUUGUUGAUGUGCUAUAUGUGAGCAUGCAACCCGCUGGAAAGGGCAACAACUACUUUCUUGUGAUAAAAGUAGCAGAUGGAUAUAAGAAGGUCGGCAAGUAUCAUGUGCUCCUAUGGGGUGUGCCUGGGUCACCAGAUGAAGAAUGGAAAGUAUAUUGGCUCAAAUUUGUAGGAUACUAAGCACAUGGUGGAAACAAGAUUAUCCAGCUGUCGACCAUGCAUGGCAUUUCUAGGGAGAAGAUAUAUAGACAUUUUGUGGUCAACGUGCGCCUGCAUGGAUUAGUUGAUCUUUGUAGCUUUGAGGGGCUUGAUAUCCAACUAUAUGUUCUGAUUUCAGUGAUAAAUUUAUGUUUUGUUCUCAUUAAAAUUGCCUUAAAUUUACAAAAUAUGGCUGGAGAUAUAAUCAUAUAACUCAAAGCAUAAGCGCGCUUCACUGUACUGUUAUUUUGAUGGUUGCCUUGUAAUUCUUAUUAAAGUUGUUUGCUUAUCUGUAGUUAAUUGUUCACUGUUCACCGUUCACCUGGACGUCCAGAUCCUUGCCCUUCGUCCCAAUUUAAAAGCUUAAAGAAAAUUGAACAAGCUCAAAUAUUAACAACACGUAGCAUACAACAAGCAAAUCCUUACAACCACCAAAAAGGAAGCUUCCCCUGGCACAGAGGUAAAAGCUAGCACAAUGCCAGCCAACAGAGACCACAAAAAAUAAGUUGGAGUCAACUGCCAGAUGUAGUUUACACAGCAACCACGCAGAUGCAAGUGUGCAAAGAGGUUGCAUUGACAUGAUCCACUGAAGAACCACAAGCGCAAGUGCACUAAAUAACAGAACAAGAAUUCAACUACAGCAAGACAGAAAUAAUUAUUGAUAGGUUAUAACCGAAUAGCAUGAAGCAAGCAGGACCAGGUGUAUGCACAAAAUUAAGAGUGCCAAGAGGUUCCAUUGGCAGGAACAUAUGUUUAUAAUAUACCAUGGAUUAUCAAUACCGUUGUAGAGAACAAUUUCUAUUUUGCCUUGUAGCCAUAUAUAGGGCGAGGGACCAGUAUAAAAUACUUCACAUAGACAUGAGAGACAAUUCCAGGAAGAUCAAGUGAGGUGCACAAGAAGUGAGCCGGCCUGUGAUGGCGACUAUCCAACAUCACAUAACAAAGCAAUCACUGGAUCAAUGAUGAUCUCAACAAAAUGUACAUGUCUUGCUUGCAGAAGAUGUAACGCAUUACCUCCGAAAGAUGCAUGGUUUCAGCCAUGAAUGGUUGGCUCAGAUUCCUGUUGAGUGAGAUCCGGCGAAGGUUUUGGCAGAGUGGAUAUUCUAGAUGAUCUCUUGCCAAGAAGUGCCUUUAUCCUCAGAGACAUAUAUAUAGGUGGAGUGCUGCAACCACGAUCAAUAAUAUAGUAAGCCUUAAGGAGUAACAAUGCUGAAUGAAUCAAUGGGAGUAACAGCCUGUGGGACUUAUCAAUAGAAAGGUAUAAUGUGAGAAAGAACAAAAUAACAAUUAAAUGACUGUAUUGUUGUGUUGUGCAGAGAGUGCGUUUACAAAGGCAUGGUGAAGAAUUGGCUAAGUAAAUAUAGGGGCAAUAGCCUAGAACGACAUGAAACGGAUGUCGAGGAUAAAAUGGUCUAAAACUUCAUGCGUGUUCACUUGCCAUAAAACGAGGUCUUGGCAACCGAGAAUAAUCUCCUGCCGGUACAGGGUCACGAGUAAUGAGUAAUGACCUGAGACUUGGCCAUGGCGUGGCGGCGGCGGCGAGGCCGUGCAUGGCAGCCGAUCGAGAAGAAUCCCCUUCCGGUACAGCAGGAACGUGCGCCGACCUCCUCAUCCCUUUGCCUCGGCGGGCAGGCGAGAGCACAGCAAAUCGCCGAGGUGUCAUGCCGCGGCAAUUCGCCGAACAUGUGGUGAGCGUCCCGGACCCGCAGCUCGCGCGCUCCGUGGCGGCGGCGCGGGCGGCGUGGCGCUCCAAGCUGCGUGAGGGCGGUGAGGUGGAAGAUGAGCAGGCGGAGGAGUGACGGAGGGAGGAGAGGCGAGAGACAUCGGCGAGUGCGCGAAGUCUGAAUUCUACUAGCAGGGAAUCGUUUAUUUCCUCUGACUACUCCAACUGCCAGAGUCUUCGGAUACAGAUACAUAUACAUACCUUCAAAAAUCAAACUUUGUUUUUCUUUUGCGAAAGGACGUGAAUUUUUGGGACAUGGUGGCACACGAUGCCGUUAUCUCGGCCGUUUGGAUGCACAUCAUGAUUACUACUUAUUAUAGGGCGUUGCGCAAUACCUGACGCGUUAUUUGCUGUUCAACAAGAAUACGUCGUGGUAUACCUCGGAGUAGUGGGCCAGGUGUCAUUUAUCAUCGUAUGAAUACUCGCUUGUCCGAUAGCGACUGAGCACACAGGUUAAGUCGGUCAAUAACUGCUCUGGGUGUGGGGCUGUCGUCCAAUAACACCGCCUCGCUCGUGCAUGCAUUGUAGCUCGUUUCAAGCUGUAGCUUGUGGAAAAGCAGCAGAAUAAGAGAAAAUGGCUUCAACGGAAACGGGUUAGCAUCUUGACAUUGUAUUUGAUCAUGCAUCUUUUGUUUAUUUAUAGGUAUUACCGAACACGCUGACGUCUACUCAUCCUGUUCGUACCUUAGCAUGUCGACUGUUUUGGUGGAGAGUUCAGGAGCGGGGUGCUCACUGCAUGCUGCCAUGUCCAUUAGCUAUGCCCCGUGCCUGUAAGCUGGGUGAUAUUUACACAUCGUGACGCACCCGCCCAUAAGCAUCGUCACCCUGCUCUCUCUCUCUCUCUCUCUCUCUCUCUCUCUCUCUCUCUCUCUCUCUCUCUCUCUCUCUCUCUCUCUCUCUCUCUCUCUGUAUGUCAGUAAUGUAGCCCGUCUUCAAGCUGGAUCCCUGGAAAGUAGAAGAACACCAGAAAAUUGGCUUCGGCGUGCACAUAAAUGCAGAGGUUAUAUUGUCAGUCUCAAAUCGAUCACGUGUGGUUGAUUCUUAGGUAUGGGCAUAUGGCACUACACGAUCACAUCUCAUAUCUGUUUCUUUUGUUUGACCUUACCAUGAGCGGUGGUUUGACAUCAUCUGUAUGUCCAAUUGCCCAUUAAUCCCUCCUAGGUAGCUUAAUGGCUGUCAGAGGCAUUUACGCUGCCUUGGCUGCCAAUUAAAUGACUAAAUUAAAGGCCGUGCGUCAGAUAUUUAUAUCGGCGGCUUGAAUGGGGCACGUAUUAUGUGGGUCUACUCCCUGCUGAUUUGGUGCGUUUUCAUUGAUGAUUUAAAUUAGACUUGCAUGGUUAGCUGCUCGACGGAAAUGAAUACGCGGUACAUGGAGACGCAAAGCCUACUAGUAGAUACAUGGAGGGACAUGGUGCAGGAAAUAAAUACUGGUACUAGAUAUCAGAUGGUCUAAUGGGUUCAGUGCUAAAUAAUGACGACGACCAUCUUUUUGCAGUAGGGUUAUGCUUCAGUUGCUGUGGACAAACAACAGGGCGAUGGCCACGAUGCACAGGAUGAAAAAGUUCAUAAGCCACGAGAAUGGUCUACUCCCUGUUCAUUCCCACAGCCAGAACCUGCAUUCUCCAUGCUGCAAAACAAAUCUUUAGUCGGCCAGAGAACGAUAUAGAUGGAUGGAGAAAAGGUGGAUGAUGAACUACCAGAGUUCAAACUUGUAAAGAUGCCAACCAGGCUUUGAUCUGUGGCAGAAACAAACCAGAUGAUGUAGCCCGCGGAGUAAAAGGUCCAGAUCUGUGGCAGAAACAAACCAGAAACUCACCCAUACACUUAAGCAGCACACUUGGUCCCAUGUGCUAGGUUGAGUAAAAGGUCCAUAGUGCAGUCUGGGUGAGUAAUUUGUAUUUAACUAGGAGCAGGCCUCAUUUACUACGGGCCAGGUCACGAACGUUAAUUGCAUUGAAUGGUAACCUGCAUCCAUGCGUCCUGAUCAUAAACACACCAGUAGUUGGCCCACGUUAAAUGUAUCACCGUUGUGUAUUUGCUAGCUUAUCCCUAUGUAUUGUCGCAGUAUCCACUUAAUCACUAUAUUAAAUGCGAAUCGCUAGCAUCAAUCCAGGAUAACAUCCUCGUGUGGUACCAUGUCCCAAAAAUUCGCGUCCGUUUGUUAUGGACGCGGAUUUUUGGGACAUGCGGCCACACGAUGCCGCUAUCCCAGACGUCCGUGCGCGCAUCGUGAUUUCUAGUUAAUAUAGCCCCAUUGGCAAUACACGUCGCGUUAAUAGUUUGUCCUUCGAAUACAUCAUGAUAUACAUCACAUGAGCAGGCUGUACCGCAUUUAUGAUUCAUAGGAAUACAUGUAAGUCUGCCAGCACUGCGCGUCACAGUUCUGGAGAUGCCUUCAUUCCUGUUGACGUGGGGCAGUGAUCAUUUAGCACCACCCUCUCUAGUCCCAGCCCUGUAGUAAAACAGAAGGAGGAAACGUAACAGAGCUAAAACAACGGAGGGCUGGGACAUGGCUUCUGCACAAACGGUGCUCAACAGUCAUUUUUUGUUUAUUUCGGUACAAGCGUGCGAGCUGGGUGUCAUGAUGGGCUGCAGACUACACGAGAGCUGGGAAAAUUGAUGGGCGCAGAGGAGCUGAGUCUCAUUAAAGGCUUGUCCAUUUGUGAUUUAUGGACUGCCAAUGGCUGUGGUGCACACGUAAAUGGCGGUAUGAAUGACGUCCCUGAUGUUUUGCAGUGUGCCUCGAUGGAGAGCCAUUUUGGGACCGGCGUUUUAAAAUUCAAGUUGUAUCUUUCAUGAUUAGAGUUAACGAUGAAGAAUGAAGCCAACUGAUUUUUUCGGUUAGAAACUGAUACAUAUAAGGAUUUUUCAGUUGUUAAUCAGGAGUUCAAAACAUGUGCCGAAAUUAAAAUACCACACUUUUCAAGUGAACAAUGCUGGGUGGAUAAAGUUGGUGUGAUUAUGCCAGAGUGCAAGCUUCUGGUGUAAUUAACGGUUCACGACCUGCUCCUAAUAUACGCUUGAUAAAUGAAAGCCAUUAAUCAUUCGUGGGUGCCUUGAUUGCUGGCAGGGAUUUACAGUGUGAGUAAUAGUUAAAACAGCCAGCCAAUACUGGAUCGCACAUUGAUAUGCAUUGAGUAGCUUGGUCCAAACUUAAAUUACUAGCUAUUACUACAUCAACGACCUUGGUGGAAAAAAAACAUUACUGACUGAUGCAUUGCUGGCUUGGAUCCAGAAAAGGUCGAAAUUGAAAGGUAAAAGAAGUAGACAGUUGGUGAGCAGAUCAGCAAGGCACAACAUGAUUAUCUUCUUCAGCAAAGCUUGAUUAUCUUCGAGAAUCUGAAAGGUAAACAAAGUAGACAGUUGACUGCGAUAUGAGAAGAACUUAUGUAGUUCCCACUUCCAGAACCUGCACCCCAUUUUUUCAGCUCGUCAGUGCACGAAAUGGAUUGAAAGAUCGAAUAUGAACUCACAACAUGGCAAUCACACUUGUAGAAGUUCCUCCCCGGGUUGAGGGCAGUGCCCGAAAUGAACCAGAGCAGCGAGAGUGAUGAGAGGGAGACGUGCAAACUAUUGGACAUGACGGAUGAAGGUGGUAGCGAGCUAGCCUGGGACAUGGAUGAACACAUGGUUGCGGAAGGGGUCGAUUCGAUGCUAGAAAGUGUGCGUGUGCGCGUGUGUGCGCGUGCGCGCGCGCGCGCGCGCGUGUGUGUGUGUGACAGAGAGAGAGAGAGAGAGAGAGAGAAAAUAGAGUGGAAGAAAAUUGGGCAGGGGAAGAAGAAGAAGGCCAGAGUGAUUUAAAGAGGAGAAAGGAGAGGAGCAUGCUGCAGAUAGCCGUUGUAAUAGGUGAGUGGUUAAUUGCAUGUGUCAGAUGCAACUGACAUGCUGCAUGUGUCAGAUGCAAAUAUACGCUAUACUGAAAUCAUUAUACUGCCUGUGGGUAUUCGGUUUGCACGAAUCACGCGGCAACAUGCGGUGUGGAUACCGACCCCGCGUGGCCGCAUGUCCACUCAUAAUUAUUCGGUUUGUUAUAGACUAACAAAAAAAAAGGACCUUGGUAAGGGUCACACGUGUGGCGGGAAACAUUUUUGCCUGACGUUUUUUGAUGGUAACUUUAGUUGUGAAGCAUGACAAGUUUUAGUUUUUCGGGGUUUUUUUAAUGACAAUUUUAGUUGUAAAAACGCCAGGACGGUGUUACUUCAUGCCACACGUGUGACACUUAUCGUUUUGGAAAAAAAAUGCACAUCUCUGCUCCGUUAUUAUUAAAGGAAAAAUUGUGAUUGUGAUUCAAUAGUAAACAUAAUGAUGUCUAUCUCCAUUUCCAUUACUAUUAAACAAACGAGUUAAGGUAGAAAUAUUGUAUCUCAACCAUAUAUUCAUCAUCCAUCAAUGGACCGAAUUACCCUCAUAUUGUAUCACAUCAAAUUCACAUAUUUACUACUUCAUCUAUCCCAUAAUGUAAGACAUUUACAUAUGGGAUGGAGGGAGUAAUUAAUUUUAAUCAUCUCCACAACACCUUGAUAGGAAUCAUUGCACCUUAAUUAGAAAAUAAAAUCAUCACAUCGGCCGGAAUUUUCAUAACACCAUAAAAGAAACCUCUAUCUGCAUCGUAUCCCCAUGCUCGUGUCGCCGCCAACAAACAUGCGUUGUCGGCCCGCCAUGCCAGCCCCCAUCACAUGGCGCUCCUGACUCGACCGCUCGCACCAUUCGCCAUCGAACAAUAUCAAUACAAAAAACUAAAAAAAGACAAAUCCAAUUAAUCUCCGAACAAUAUCAUCCCAACGACCUAGGUUGCUUCAUGAAUGCUCAAAAUGUUUAGCAUGCAAUUAAUAUUCUAUCAUAUAUAACGUAAAAAUGCAAGUGUGUGUGUGUGCGUGUGUGCGCGUGUGCGUGCGUGUGCGUGUGCGUGUGUGCGUGUGCUUGCGCGCGCGCGCGCGCGUGUGUGUGUGUGAGAGAGAGAGAGAGAGAGUGAGAGAGAGAAUAGAGCGGAAGAAAAUUGGGCAGGGGAAGAAGAAGAAGGCCAGAGUGAUUUAAAGAGGAGAAAGGAGAGGAGCAUGCUGCAGAUAGCUGUUGUAAUGGGUGAGUGGUUAAUUGCAUGUGUCAGAUGCAACUGACAUGCUGCAUGUGUCAGAAGCAAAUACACGCUAUACUGAAUGCUAUAUGGUGAGACGGAAAUCAUUAUACUGCCUGUGGGUAUUCAGUUUGCACGAAUCACGCGGCAACAUGCGGUGUGGAUACCGACCCCGCGUGGCCGCAUGUCCACUCAUGAUUAUUCGGUUUGUUAUAGACUAACAAAAAAGAAGGACCUUGGUAAGGGUCACACGUGUGGCGGGAAACAUUUUCGCCUGACGUUUUUUGAUGGCAACUUUAGUUGUGAAGCAUGACAAGUUUUAGUUUUUCGGGGUUUUUUUAAUGACAAUUUUAGUUGUAAAAACGCCAGGACGGUGUUACUUCAGGCCACACGUGUGACACUUAUCGUUUUGGAAAAAAAAUGCACAUCUCUGCUCCGUUAUUAUUAAAGGAAAAAUUGUGAUUGUGAUUCAAUAGUAAACAUAAUGAUGUCUAUCUCCAUUUCCAUUACUAUUAAACAAACGAGUUAAGGUAGAAAUAUUGUAUCUCAACCAUAUAUUCAUCAUCCAUCAAUGGACCGAAUUACCCUCAUAUUGUAUCACAUCAAAUUCACAUAUUUACUACUUCAUCUAUCCCAUAAUGUAAGACAUUUACAUAUGGGAUGGAGGGAGUAAUUAAUUUUAAUCAUCUCCACAACACCUUGAUAGGAAUCAUUGCACCUUAAUUAGAAAAUAAAAUCAUCACAUCGGUCGGAAUUUUCAUAACACCAUAAAAGAAACCUCUAUCUGCAUCGUAUCCCCAUGCUCGUGUCGCCGCCAACAAACAUGCGUUGUCGGCCCGCCAUGCCAGCCCCCAUCACAUGGCGCUCCUGACUCGACUGCUCGCACCAUUCGCCAUCGAACAAUAUCAAUACAAAAAACUAAAAAAAGACAAAUCCAAUUAAUCUCCGAACAAUAUCAUCCCAACGACCUAGGUUGCUUCAUGAACGCUCAAAAUGUUUAGCAUGCAAUUAAUAUUCUAUCAUAUAUAACGUAAAAAUGCAAGUGUGUGUGUGUCCGUGUGUGCGUGUGUGUGCGUGUGCGUGCGUGUGCAUGUGCGUGUGUGCGUGUGCUUGCGCGCGCGCGUGUGUUUGUGUGUGUGUGUGUGUGUGUGNNNNNNNNNNNNNNNNNNNNNNNNNNNNNNNNNNNNNNNNNNNNNNNNNNNNNNNNNNNNNNNNNNNNNNNNNNNNNNNNNNNNNNNNNNNNNNNNNNNNNNNNNNNNNNNNNNNNNNNNNNNNNNNNNNNNNNNNNNNNNNNNNNNNNNNNNNNNNNNNNNNNNNNNNNNNNNNNNNNNNNNNNNNNNNNNNNNNNNNNNNNNNNNNNNNNNNNNNNNNNNNNNNNNNNNNNNNNNNNNNNNNNNNNNNNNNNNNNNNNNNNNNNNNNNNNNNNNNNNNNNNNNNNNNNNNNNNNNNNNNNNNNNNNNNNNNNNNNNNNNNNNNNNNNNNNNNNNNNNNNNNNNNNNNNNNNNNNNNNNNNNNNNNNNNNNNNNNNNNNNNNNNNNNNNNNNNNNNNNNNNNNNNNNNNNNNNNNNNNNNNNNNNNNNNNNNNNNNNNNNNNNNNNNNNNNNNNNNNNNNNNNNNNNNNNNNNNNNNNNNNNNNNNNNNNNNNNNNNNNNNNNNNNNNNNNNNNNNNNNNNNNNNNNNNNNNNNNNNNNNNNNNNNNNNNNNNNNNNNNNNNNNNNNNNNNNNNNNNNNNNNNNNNNNNNNNNNNNNNNNNNNNNNNNNNNNNNNNNNNNNNNNNNNNNNNNNNNNNNNNNNNNNNNNNNNNNNNNNNNNNNNNNNNNNNNNNNNNNNNNNNNNNNNNNNNNNNNNNNNNNNNNNNNNNNNNNNNNNNNNNNNNNNNNNNNNNNNNNNNNNNNNNNNNNNNNNNNNNNNNNNNNNNNNNNNNNNNNNNNNNNNNNNNNNNNNNNNNNNNNNNNNNNNNNNNNNNNNNNNNNNNNNNNNNNNNNNNNNNNNNNNNNNNNNNNNNNNNNNNNNNNNNNNNNNNNNNNNNNNNNNNNNNNNNNNNNNNNNNNNNNNNNNNNNNNNNNNNNNNNNNNNNNNNNNNNNNNNNNNNNNNNNNNNNNNNNNNNNNNNNNNNNNNNNNNNNNNNNNNNNNNNNNNNNNNNNNNNNNNNNNNNNNNNNNNNNNNNNNNNNNNNNNNNNNNNNNNNNNNNNNNNNNNNNNNNNNNNNNNNNNNNNNNNNNNNNNNNNNNNNNNNNNNNNNNNNNNNNNNNNNNNNNNNNNNNNNNNNNNNNNNNNNNNNNNNNNNNNNNNNNNNNNNNNNNNNNNNNNNNNNNNNNNNNNNNNNNNNNNNNNNNNNNNNNNNNNNNNNNNNNNNNNNNNNNNNNNNNNNNNNNNNNNNNNNNNNNNNNNNNNNNNNNNNNNNNNNNNNNNNNNNNNNNNNNNNNNNNNNNNNNNNNNNNNNNNNNNNNNNNNNNNNNNNNNNNNNNNNNNNNNNNNNNNNNNNNNNNNNNNNNNNNNNNNNNNNNNNNNNNNNNNNNNNNNNNNNNNNNNNNNNNNNNNNNNNNNNNNNNNNNNNNNNNNNNNNNNNNNNNNNNNNNNNNNNNNNNNNNNNNNNNNNNNNNNNNNNNNNNNNNNNNNNNNNNNNNNNNNNNNNNNNNNNNNNNNNNNNNNNNNNNNNNNNNNNNNNNNNNNNNNNNNNNNNNNNNNNNNNNNNNNNNNNNNNNNNNNNNNNNNNNNNNNNNNNNNNNNNNNNNNNNNNNNNNNNNNNNNNNNNNNNNNNNNNNNNNNNNNNNNNNNNNNNNNNNNNNNNNNNNNNNNNNNNNNNNNNNNNNNNNNNNNNNNNNNNNNNNNNNNNNNNNNNNNNNNNNNNNNNNNNNNNNNNNNNNNNNNNNNNNNNNNNNNNNNNNNNNNNNNNNNNNNNNNNNNNNNNNNNNNNNNNNNNNNNNNNNNNNNNNNNNNNNNNNNNNNNNNNNNNNNNNNNNNNNNNNNNNNNNNNNNNNNNNNNNNNNNNNNNNNNNNNNNNNNNNNNNNNNNNNNNNNNNNNNNNNNNNNNNNNNNNNNNNNNNNNNNNNNNNNNNNNNNNNNNNNNNNNNNNNNNNNNNNNNNNNNNNNNNNNNNNNNNNNNNNNNNNNNNNNNNNNNNNNNNNNNNNNNNNNNNNNNNNNNNNNNNNNNNNNNNNNNNNNNNNNNNNNNNNNNNNNNNNNNNNNNNNNNNNNNNNNNNNNNNNNNNNNNNNNNNNNNNNNNNNNNNNNNNNNNNNNNNNNNNNNNNNNNNNNNNNNNNNNNNNNNNNNNNNNNNNNNNNNNNNNNNNNNNNNNNNNNNNNNNNNNNNNNNNNNNNNNNNNNNNNNNNNNNNNNNNNNNNNNNNNNNNNNNNNNNNNNNNNNNNNNNNNNNNNNNNNNNNNNNNNNNNNNNNNNNNNNNNNNNNNNNNNNNNNNNNNNNNNNNNNNNNNNNNNNNNNNNNNNNNNNNNNNNNNNNNNNNNNNNNNNNNNNNNNNNNNNNNNNNNNNNNNNNNNNNNNNNNNNNNNNNNNNNNNNNNNNNNNNNNNNNNNNNNNNNNNNNNNNNNNNNNNNNNNNNNNNNNNNNNNNNNNNNNNNNNNNNNNNNNNNNNNNNNNNNNNNNNNNNNNNNNNNNNNNNNNNNNNNNNNNNNNNNNNNNNNNNNNNNNNNNNNNNNNNNNNNNNNNNNNNNNNNNNNNNGAGAGAGAGAGAGAGAGAGAGAGACAGAGAGAGUGAGAGAGAAUAGAGUGGAAGAAAAUUGGGCAGGGGAAGAAGAAGAAGGCCAGAGUGAUUUAAAGAGGAGAAAGGAGAGGAGCAUACUGCAGAUAGCCAUUGUAAUGGGUGAGUGGUUAAUUGCAUGUGUCAGAUGCAACUGACAUGCUGCAUGUGUCAGAUGCAAAUACACGCUAUACUGAAUGCUAUAUGGUGAGACGGAAAUCAUUAUACUGCCUGUGGAUAUUCAGUUUGCAUGAAUCACGCGGCAACAUGCGGUGUGGAUACCGACCCCGCGUGGCCGCAUGUCCACUCAUGAUUAUUCGGUUUGUUAUAGACUAACAAAAAAGAAGGACCUUGGUAAGGGUCACACGUGUGGCGGGAAACAUUUUCGCCUGACGUUUUUUGAUGGCAACUUUAGUUGUGAAGCAUGACAAGUUUUAGUUUUUCGCGGUUUUUUUAAUGACAAUUUUAGUUGUAAAAACGCCAGGACGGUGUUACUUCAUGCCACACGUGUGACACUUAUCGUUUUGGAAAAAAAAUGCACAUCUCUGCUCCGUUAUUAUUAAAGGAAAAAUUGUGAUUGUGAUUCAAUAGUAAACAUAAUGAUGUCUAUCUCCAUUUCCAUUACUAUUAAACAAACGAGUUAAGGUAGAAAUAUUGUAUCUCAACCAUAUAUUCAUCAUCCAUCAGUGGACCGAAUUACCCUCAUAUUGUAUCACAUCAAAUUCACAUAUUUACUACUUCAUCUAUCCCAUAAUGUAAGACAUUUACAUAUGGGAUGGAGGGAGUAAUUAAUUUUAAUCAUCUCCACAACACCUUGAUAGGAAUCAUUGCACCUUAAUUAGAAAAUAAAAUCAUCACAUCGGCCGGAAUUUUCAUAACACCAUAAAAGAAACCUCUAUCUGCAUCGUAUCCCCAUGCUCGUGUCGCCGCCAACAAACAUGCGUUGUCGGCCCGCCAUGCCAGCCCCCAUCACAUGGCGCUCCUGACUCGACCGCUCGCACCAUUCGCCAUCGAACAAUAUCAAUACAAAAAACUAAAAAAAGACAAAUCCAAUUAAUCUCCGAACAAUAUCAUCCCAACGACCUAGGUUGCUUCAUGAAUGCUCAAAAUGUUUAGCAUGCAAUUAAUAUUCUAUCAUAUAUAACGUAAAAAUGCAAGUGUGUGUGUGUGUGCGUGUGUGCGCGUGUGCGUGCGUGUGCGUGUGCGUGUGUGCGUGUGCGCGCGCGCUCGCGUGUGUGUGUGUGAGAGAGAGAGAGAGAGAGAGAGUGAGAGAGAAUAGAGUGGAAGAAAAUUGGGCAGGGGAAGAAGAAGAAGGCCAUAGUGAUUUAAAGAGGAGAAAGGAGAGGAGCAUGCUGCAGAUAGCCGUUGUAAUGGGUGAGUGGUUAAUUGCAUGUGUCAGAUGCAACUGACAUGCUGCAUGUGUCAGAAGCAAAUACACGCUAUACUGAAUGCUAUAUGGUGAGACGGAAAUCAUUAUACUGCCUGUGGGUAUUCAGUUUGCACGAAUCACGCGGCAACAUGCGGUGUGGAUACCGACCCCGCGUGGCCGCAUGUCCACUCAUGAUUAUUCGGUUUGUUAUAGACUAACAAAAAAGAAGGACCUUGGUAAGGGUCACACGUGUGGCGGGAAACAUUUUCGCCUGACGUUUUUUGAUGGCAACUUUAGUUGUGAAGCAUGACAAGUUUUAGUUUUUUGGGGUUUUUUUAAUGACAAUUUUAGUUGUAAAAACGCAAGGACGGUGUUACUUCAAGCCACACGUGUGACACUUAUCGUUUUGGAAAAAAAAUGCACAUCUCUGCUCCGUUAUUAUUAAAGGAAAAAUUGUGAUUGUGAUUCAAUAGUAAACAUAAUGAUGUCUAUCUCCAUUUCCAUUACUAUUAAACAAACGAGUUAAGGUAGAAAUAUUGUAUCUCAACCAUAUAUUCAUCAUCCAUCAAUGGACCGAAUUACCCUCAUAUUGUAUCACAUCAAAUUCACAUAUUUACUACUUCAUCUAUCCCAUAAUGUAAGACAUUUACAUAUGGGAUGGAGGGAGUAAUUAAUUUUAAUCAUCUCCACAACACCUUGAUAGGAAUCAUUGCACCUCAAUUAGAAAAUAAAAUCAUCACAUCGGUCGGAAUUUUCAUAACACCAUAAAAGAAACCUCUAUCUGCAUCGUAUCCCCAUGCUCGUGUCGCCGCCAACAAACAUGCGUUGUCGGCCCGCCAUGCCAGCCCCCAUCACAUGGCGCUCCUGACUCGACCGCUCGCACCAUUCGCCAUCGAACAAUAUCAAUACAAAAAACUAAAAAAAGACAAAUCCAAUUAAUCUCCGAACAAUAUCAUCCCAACGACCUAGGUUGCUUCAUGAACGCUCACAAUGUUUAGCAUGCAAUUAAUAUUCUAUCAUAUAUAACGUAAAAAUGCAAGUGUGUGCGUGUGCGUGUGUGCGUGUGUGCGCGUGUGCGUGUGUGCGUGUGCUUGCGCGCGCGGCGUGUGUGUGUGUGUGUGUGUGAGAGAGAGAGAGAGAGAGUGAGAGAGAGAAUAGAGUGGAAGAAAAUUGGGCAGGGGAAGAAGAAGAAGGCCAGAGUGAUUUAAAGAGGAGAAAGGAGAGGAGCAUGCUGCAGAUAGCCGUUGUAAUGGGUGAGUGGUUAAUUGCAUGUGUCAGAUGCAACUGACAUGCUGCAUGUGUCAGAUGCAAAUACACGCUAUACUGAAUGCUAUAUGGUGAGACGGAAAUCAUUAUACUGCCUGUGGGUAUUCAGUUUGCAUGAAUCACGCGGUAACAUGCGGUGUGGAUACCGACCCCGCGUGGCCGCAUGUCCACUCAUGAUUAUUCGGUUUGUUAUAGACUAACAAAAAAGAAGGACCUUGGUAAGGGUCACACGUGUGGCGGGAAACAUUUUCGCCUGACGUUUUUUGAUGGCAACUUUAGUUGUGAAGCAUGACAAGUUUUAGUUUUUCGCGGUUUUUUUAAUGACAAUUUUAGUUGUAAAAACGCCAGGACGGUGUUACUUCAUGCCACACGUGUGGCACUUAUCGUUUUGAAAAAAAAUGCACAUCGCUGCUUCGUUAUUAUUAAAGGAAAAAUUGUGAUUGUGAUUCAAUAGUAAACAUAAUGAUGUCUAUCUCCAUUUCCAUUACUAUUAAACAAACGAGUUAAGGUAGAAAUAUUGUAUCUCAACCAUAUAUUCAUCAUCCAUCAAUGGACCGAAUUACCCUUAUAUUGUAUCACAUCAAAUUCACAUAUUUACUACUUCAUCUAUCCCAUAAUGUAAGACAUUUACAUAUGGGAUGGAGGGAGUAAUUAAUUUUAAUCAUCUCUACAACACCUUGAUAGGAAUCAUUGCACCUUAAUUAGAAAAUAAAAUCAUCACAUUGGCCGGAAUUUUCAUAACACCAUAAAAGAAACCUCUAUCUGCAUCGUAUCCCCAUGCUCGUGUCGCCGCCAACAAACAUGCGUUGUCGGCCCGCCAUGCCCACCCCCAUCACAUGGCGCUCCUAACUCGACCGCUCGCACCAUUCGCCAUCGAACAAUAUCAAUACAAAAAAUUAAAAAAAGACAAAUCCAAUUAAUCUCCGAACAAUAUCAUCCCAACGACCUAGGUUGCUCUAUGAACGCUCAAAAUGUUUAGCAUGCAAUUAAUAUUCUAUCAUAUAUAACGUAAAAAUGCAAUCAUAUAAUUAACAUGAAACUAAUGUCCUAACUAAUAUAAACAUGGAAUUGAUUUCCUCUCUAAUUAAUGUCCUUCCAUCCGUCUUUUAAGAAGGUUGUCUCACAUAUAAUGUGACUUAUGAAUUCUUAAUUACCUAAUGUUUACGUAAUUGAAUUGAAUUGGCAUCAUGGAGACGAAAAUAAACCGUGCGUAUCAGCCUACCAACUCCCCUUUUAGGAGUAGAGAUUUACAACCCCCAACUCUAAUAUCGUUUGCAUUACAACCCCGAACUCUUAAAACCGGCUAGGAUUCAACCCUCCACUCCCCACUGACCAAUUUUGACCCAUUCACCAACAUGUCCAGUCAGCAAAAAAAUCAAAAUUUCCAAAAAGCAAAUCAGUAAAAUAAAAAAACCAAGGAAAAAGUUUGUAUACAGUUUACUUUUUUCCAUAAUUUUCAGAAAAUAGCCCCGAAACUUUUUUCCGAUUUUGCAAUUUUUACAGAAUUUUGAACUUUUUCCUUCAGAAUUUUUAGAAAACAACCUCAUUUUUUUCCCGAUUUUUCAGAACUCUGAAAUUUAUUUUUUGAUUUUAUAGUUUUCUUUCAUUCUGCAAAACUUUUUUUCCUGGAUUUUACAUUUUUUUUCUAGAAUUUUUUUUGCUAACGUAGGGAGGGGAGGGUUCAAUCCUGGCCGGUUUUAAGAGUUAGGAGUUGUAAUAAUGCAGAUAGUAUUGAAGUUGGGGGUUAAAGUAUGCACUUCUCUCUUCCGGUUUACAAGACGGACAUGGAUUUUUAGGUUUUAGUUUGACUAAAAAUGUGUUUGAUACCAUGUCAAAAAAUUUAUAUAUUCACAAAUUUUAACUCGAUGAAAAAUCAUAUGAUACAUUUUUAGUGGUAUAUAAUAGACAUUUCACUAAUCAAACUACACACCAAAGAUCCCGUGUCCGUCUUACAAAUCUGGAUAGAGUGAGCGGUGCUUUACCAAAUGAACCAUAUAAACAUAAAAGGCCAACAGUGUAGAUAGUGUACCAUUAAUUGCUUUUGGCUAUUGAUAUGCAAUGAUCCAUUUGUUUUAAAGGCCUUUCAAGCGCGUGCAUUUAGAGAAAAAAAUCCAAAACAUUGUCACCUGUGUAUUUAUCAGAAUACACUAAGAAUAUGCCAAUUCGAAACGAAGGCUAUAAAAAUUGGAGUUCCGGAUUUGUGUGUGUGUGCGCGAGCGCGCGUGCGGGCGUGCUUUGUGUGUGUUUGUGUGUGUGCGCGCGUGCGGGCAUGCUUGUGUAUGUGUGUGUGUGUGUGCGCGCGCGUGCGUGCGGGCAUGCUUGUGUGUGUGCGUGCGUGCAUGUGUGUGUGUGUGUGUGUGUGUGUGUGUGUGUGUGUGUGUGUGUGUGAAAUAGGGGCCUUGAGAUUUCGUUGCGAUAAUGAUGCAAAAUUGUAUUGUUCAAUCUAAAACCUGGACGAGAUGACCUGAUCUAUGAAGCUUGGAGAUGAAAAUUUUGAACAACCAUGGUUGAGGAUGACAUGUGUAUAUUCAUCAAAAUACACUAAGAUUAUGCCAACUUGGAACAGAGUCUAUAAAAAAUUGAAGUUUCGACUUUCAAGCAAUUUCAUAAGCCCUUCUUAAAAUGAUUUCCCUCUUCUUUGGAAUCGGAGAUGGGUGCCACCGGCUGAGGAUCAUAGCAGUGGCGCAUGUGAGUCUCCAGCGGAUGCCACCUCCACUGCUGGCGUGUUGCUGUUCCAAGCGGCGCUGCCUGCUGUAGGCGACGCGAUUAGGACCUCGCGAAACAUCUCUCCACUCGCUCCUACUACACUCUUCCUGCACGGGAGCUAUAUCUCACAUAUUCCCCUAUACUAGUGGUUGGGGCACCAUCUUGUGGUGUUGCUUGAGAGGAAGUUGUGCGUAUGUUUUUAUUUAAAAAAAAUAGACAAAGUCCCUGUCUUCAUUUAGAAAAACUUUUAAAAAUCCAAAAAAAGAAAAAAAAAAAGAAAAAAAAUCAAUGCAACCCACCAGCGAACGCCAUUUUGUGUAGCCCUCCAUUUAAAAAUAUAUAUAUGAGGGUCAUCACCUCCAUGUAAAAAAGAAAAAAACAUUUAAAAAAAUCCCUCUAACCUUAAUCUAUAAAUAAUAUCCAAAAAAGAUUUCACCACGGCCAACUAGGUUGCGCCACGUGGCAUAGCUGGUUGGCCUCCCUUCACGUGACACUUAAUGGGUUUAAUGGGUUCGUGGAGGUGGUUUUAGGAGGCUACUUGACUAGUUGAGACAAGUUUUCUGAAGCUUUCGUGUUUUCUUUUCUUUUGUUCUUUGUGUUCUUUGUGUCGUUUUGAUCACCUUUUCUUUUCAUUUUGGUCCUAUGUAUUUCUUUGUCGGUUCUCUUGUUUUAUGGUCCUUUUUAAUUUUUGUAAUACUUCUUUACUUUUUACAAUACAUGCUCUACAUUUUUCAUAUACAUUUGGAACAUUUUUUGCAUGUUGAAUAUUUUUUAAAUACAUGAUGAAUGGUUUUUCAAAAAAUGUUUUGAAAAAACUCUAAUAUGUGUUAAGAUUUUUUCAAAUACACCCCAAUUUUUUUUGGAUGAUACAAUUUAUGUUAAACUACAUUAUUACAUUAUAUAAACAUUUUAAAAAGUCAUAUCUUUUGAAUAGUUGAUUCUUAAAUUACAUGAACUUUCCUUUACAUUGUAUAAUUUUUUUAUAUGUGAGGAACAUCUUUUUGAAUGUUAUCGACAUUUGAAAAGUUGCACAAACAGUUUUUUCAACACAUCAUGAACAUUUUUUUAAAAACGUGAUGAAUGUUUCUUAAUAUAUACCAUUUCAAAAAUAUAAAUAAAAGUAAAAAAUAAGUCGACGCUCCUCCCAUGCUGGGCCAGCCCGUUAAGGAAGCGCCAGAGGCUACCGCUUUCUUUCAUCUCGCACAAAAGCGAGACAAAAGAUGCUCCCCUGCCUCCGCACUACUUGGGUAUGGCCCAUUCUUUCCAGCGGCCCCUUCAUUUCUUGGCCCCUUAGGCCUGAUCUUGUAUAUGUACAAGGUUCGAAAUCACUAAUUAAGGAGUAGUCAUUGCAAAGAACAUUCCACUUUCCCAGGUCACGACAAGUGGCACAUAUGUAGCGCGCCACUUAUCGCAAUCUGCGAGUUUUCCCAUUCUUCAUAGAUCCGUUUAUUCAAAACGUUUUAUCUCUUAAACCAUACGUCCAAAUCUCGAACCGUUUUCAUUAUUGCAUUUCUCGCGUCGAGAUCUUCAAAACUAGAUCCCAUGUUGAUAGGUUUAACGAAUUUUUUUUCACAAAAAAAAUCGGACGAAAAAAGUCGGGCGAAAAAACCGAACCGAGAGCACUGUUUUUUUCCCUUUCCGAAAGAGGCACGUCCGUGCCUCUCGCAAAAUCACAACCGUGCCUCUCGUGGAAGCAAAACCAUGACUCUCAUGUAAGGAAAAAAAACAGAAAACACAUUUUUUCCGUUUCCGAGAGGCACGGCCGUGACUCUCGCGAAAGCAAAACCUUGACUCUCGCAAAAGCAAAACCGUGACUCUCGCGAACGAAAAAAAACCAAAAAACUCGUUUUGCUUUUCCCUUUCUGAGAGGCACGGCCGUGACUCUCGCGAAAGAAAAAAAACGCGUUUUUUUCGUUUCCGAGAGGUACGGCCGUGACUCUCGCUAAAGCACAACCGUGCCUCUCACGAAAGAAAAACCGUGACUUUCACGAAAGGAAAAAAAAACGCGUUUUUUCGCGAAAAAAGAAUUUGAAUUUUUUUUGAUCAAAAUGCUAAGAAAGACCAGGGAAAAACCAAAAUGUCGAAAAAAACCCGAAAAAACUGUUUAGAAAGCCGAAAACGCGUGCGAAAAAAUAAAAAAUAAAAUCCGAAGGGAGCAUCCAGAACGCGACACAUGGCGAAUGACUAAGAGCGCGCCAAGUGGCGCUAAUCGUUACGAGGCUCCCGAAGAAGCGCUCGUUAACUAGUUGCUCCCUACAAGAUCCUUGCACUUGCGUAGGAACUACAUGUCGUCUGAGGAUCCCCCCUAUAGGACGCACAUGUGUGUGAAGAAGUCGUGGCUUCGCACUUGGGCAAUCCAACUUGGUCGGCCCAUUUGUAGUACAACUAAACAGAGGUACUCCCUCCUUCCCAUUAUGUUAUGUUAGGCAUCUUAGUUUUUCGCACAAAAAUUAGCACACAGUGACUGUUUCUGUGUCAUCUAUAGCUAUAUCUAUAUCUAUAUGUAUACCAAUAUAAAAAAGCAAAUGGACAGGACCAAUUAAUCUCGGCCAUCAAAUCAUGUCAAUCCAACAAUCUAGACUGCUUUAAUGUCGAGCGCUCAACACGUUUAGCGUGCAGUUAAUUUCAUGUCAAAUAUAGUAUUAAUCACAUAACAACACGCAAAUAAUUUUCUACUUAAUAUCCACAUUCACUUAAUAUAUACUUCCAAAUUAACGUGCAUUGCACAUACACAUUGACUAGUACAGUUACAGGAGGCGAGGAAUCCUCCAUUAUCUCCUCUACCUACCCUUGUUGAUCAGUCCUUUUUCAGCUCCACCGUAAACUCCCUCGCGCGCCCCUGAGAUUUCCCCACACCCAUGCCCCAGUGGGGAACAGGGCCCCAUUAGGGUCUCCUGUUGGGGAACGUAGCAGAAAUUCAAAAAAUUUCUACGUGUCACCAAGAUCUAUCUAUGGAGAAACCAGCAACGAGGGGAAGGAGAGUGCAUCUACAUACCCUUGUAGAUCGCUAAGCGGAAGCGUUCAAGAGAACAGGGUUGAAGGAGUCGUACUCGUCGUGAUCCAAAUCACCGGAGAUCCUAGUGCCGAACGGACGGCACCUCCGCGUUCAACACACGUACAGCCCGGUGACGUUUCCCAUGCCUUGAUCCAGUAAGGAGAGAGGGAGAGGUUGAUGAAGACUCUAUCCAACAGCAGCUCAACGGCGUGGUGGUGGUGGAGGAGCGUGGUACUCUAGCAGGGCUUCGCCAAGCACCGCAAGAGACGGGGAGGGAGAGGGGUAGGGCUGCACCAACAGGGAGAGGAACUCGUGUGUAUUGGGCAGCCCAAACCUCAACUAUAUAUAGGGGAAGGGGAGGGGCUGCGCCCCCACCUAGGGUUCCCUCCCUAGGGGUGGCGGCAACCCCCUAGAUCCCAUCUAGGGGCGGCCAAGGGAAGGGGAGAGGGGGAGGCGCACCAGGGUGGGCCUUAGGGCCCAUCUUCCCUAGGGUUUGCCCCCUUCCCCUCUUCCUUGCGCCUUGGGCCUUGGUGGGGGGGCGCACCAGCCCACCUGGGGCUGGUCCCCUUCCACACUUGGCCCAUGCAGCCCUCCGGGGCUUGUGGCCCCACUUGGUGGACCCCCGGGACCCUCCCGGUGGUCCCGGUACGUUACCGAUAAAACCCAAAACGUUUCCGGUGACCAAAACAGGACUUCCUAUAUAUAAAUCUUUACCUCCGGACCAUUCCGGAACUCCUCGUGACAUCCGGGAUCUCAUCCGGGACUCCGAACAACAAUCGGUAACCACAUACAAACUUCCUUUAUAACCCUAGCGUCAUCGAACCUUAAGUGUGUAGACCCUACGGGUUCAGGAGACAUGCAGACAUGACCGAGAUGACUCUCCGGUCAAUAACCAACAGUGGGAUCUGGAUACCCAUGUUGGCUCCCACAUGUUCCACGAUGAUCUCAUCGGAUGAACCACGAUGUCAAGGACUUAAUCAAUCCCGUAUGCAAUUCACUUUGUCCAUCAGUACGAUACUUGCCCGAGAUUCGAUCGUCGGUAUCCCGAUACCUUGUUCAAUCUCGUUACCGGCAAGUCUCUUUACUCGUUCCGUAACACAUCAUCCCGUGAUCAACUCCUUGGUCACAUUGUGCAUUAUAAUGAUGUCCUACCGAGUGGGCCCAGAGAUACCUCUCCAUUUACACAGAGUGACAAAUCCCAGUCUCGAUUCGUGCCAACCCAACAGACACUUUCAGAGAUACCCGUAGUGCACCUUUAUAGCCACCCAGUUACGUUGUGACGUUUGGCACACCCAAAGCAUUCCUACGGUAUCCGGGAGUUGCACAAUCUCAUGGUCUAAGGAAAUGAUACUUGACAUUAGAAAAGCUUUAGCAUACGAACUACAUGAUCUUGUGCUAGGCUUAGGAUUGGGUCUUGUCCAUCACAUCAUUCUCCUAAUGAUGUGAUCUCGUUAUCAACGACAUCCAAUGUCCAUGGUUAGAAAACCGUAACCAUCUAUUGAUCAACGAGCUAGUCAACUAGAGGCUUACUAGGGACAUGGUGUUGUCUAUGUAUCCACACAUGUAUCUGAGUUUCCUAUCAAUACAAUUCUAGCAUGGAUAAUAAACGAUUAUCAUGAACAAGGAAAUAUAAUAAUAAUCAAUUUAUUAUUGCCCCUAGGGCAUAUUUCCAACAGUCUCCCACUUGCACUAGAGUCAAUAAUCCAGUUCACAUCGAUAUGUGAUUAACACUCAAGGUCACAUCCCCAUGUGACUAACACCCAAAGAAUUUACUAGAGUCAAUAAUCUAGUUCACACUACCAUGUGAUUAACACUCGAUGAGUUCUGGGUUUGAUCAUGUUAUGCUUGUGAGAGAUGUUAUAGUCAACGGGUCUGAAUCUUUCAGAUCCGUUUGUGCUUUACAAAUCUCUUUGUCAUCUCCUAGAUGCAGCUACCACGUUCUAUUUGGAGCUAUUCCAAAUAACUGUUCUACUAUACGAAUCCAGUUUACUACUCAGAAUAAUCUGGAUUAGUGUCAAAGUUUGCAUCGGCGUAACCCUUUACGACGAACUCUUUUACCACUUCCAUAAUCGAGAAAAUUCCUUAGUCCACUAGUUACUAAGGAUAACUUUGACUGUUGUCCUGUGAUCCAUUCUUGGAUCACUCUUGUACCCCUUGACUGACUCAUGGCAAGGCACACUUCAGGUGCGGUACUCAGCAUGGCAUACUGUAGAGCCUACGUCUUAAGCAUAGAGGACGACCUUCGUCCUUUCUCUCUAUUCUGCCGUGGUCAGGUUUCGAGUCUUACUCAAUGUUCACACCUUAUAACACAGCCAAGAACUCCUUCUUUGCCGAUCCAUUUUGAACUCCUUCAAAAUUUUGUCACGGUUUGUAUUCAUUUGAAAGUACUAUUAAGCAUUUUGAUCUAUCCUUAUAGAUCUUAAUGCUCAAUACUCAAGUAGCCUAAUCCAGGUUUUCCAUUGAAAAACACUUUUCAAAUAACUCUGCAUGCUUUCCAGAAAUUCUACAUCAUUUCUGAUCAACAAUAUGUUAACAACAUAUACUCAUCAGAAUUCUAUAGUGCUCCCACUCACUUCAUUGGAAUUACAAGUUUCUCAUAAACUUUGUAUACACCCAAAAUCUUUGAUCAUCAUCAAAGCGUAUAUUCCAACUCCGAGAUGCUUACUCCAGUCCUUGGAAGGAUUGCUGGAGCUUUGCAUACUUAUAACAUCUUUCAGGAUUGACAAAACCUUCCGGUUGUAUCACAUACAACCUUUCCUCAAAAAUUGUCGAGGAAACAAUGUUUUGACAUCCUAUCUGCAAGAUUUCAUAAAUAAUGCAGUAAUUGCUAAUAUAAUUCCAACAGACUCUUAGCAUCGCUACGAGUGAGAAAGUCUCAUCGUAGUCAACUCCUUGAACUUGUCGGAAAACAUCUUAGCGACAAGUCGAGCUUUCUUAAUGGUGAUACUUACCAUCAUUGUCCGUCUUCCUUUUAAAUUCCAUAUGUACCUAACAGCCUUACGACCAUCAAGUAGUUCUUCCAAAGUCUACACUUUGUUUUCAUAUAUGGAUCCUCCCUCGGAUUAUAUGGCCUCGAGCCAUUAUCGGAAUCCAGGCCCACCACCGCUUCUCCAUAGCUCGUAGGUUCAUUGUUGUCUAGCAACAUGACUUCCAAGACAGGAUUACGUACCACUCUGAAGUAGUACGCAUCCUUGUCGUCCUACGAGGUUUGGGAGUGACUUGAUCUGAAGUUUCAUGAUCACUAUCAUAAGUUUCCACUUCAAUUGGUGUAGGUGCCACAGGAACAACUUCCUGUGCCCUGCCACACACUAGUUGAAGAGACGGUUUAAUAGCCUCAUCAAGUCUCCACCAUCCUCCCACUCAAUUCUUUCGAGAGAAACUUUUCCUCGAGAAAGGACCCGAUUCCAGAAACAAUCCCUUAUUGCUUUCGGAUCUGAGACAAGAGGUAUACCCAAUGUUUUGGGUGUCCUAUGAAGAUGCAUUUAUCCGCUUUGGGUUCGAGCUUAUCAGCCUGAAACUUUUCCACAUAAGCGUCGCAGCCCCAAACUUUUAAGAAAUGACAGCUUAGGUUUCUCUAAACCAUAGUUCAUACGGUGUCAUCUCAUCGGAAUUACGUGGUGCCCUAUUUAAAGUGAAUGUGGUUGUCUCUAAUGCCUAACCCAUAAACUAUCGUGGUAAUUCGAUAAGAGACAUCAUGGUAUGCAUCAUAUCCAAUAGGGUGCAGUUAUGAUGUUCGGACACACCAUCACACUAUGGUGUUCCAGGCUGUAUUAGUAGUGAAACAAUUUCCACAAUGUCUUAAUUCUGUGCCAAACUCGUAAUUCAGAUAUUCAUCUCUAUGAUCAUAUCAUAGAUAUUUUAUCCUCUUGUCACGAUGAUCUUUCAACUUCACCCUGAAAUUACUUGAACCUUUCAAUAAUUCAGACUCGUGAUUCAUCAAGUAAAUAUACUCAACAUCUACUCAAAUCAUCUGUGAAGUAAGAACAUAACGAUAUCCACUACACGCCUCAGCACUCAUUGGACUGCACACAUCAAAAUGCAUUACUUCCAACAAGUUGCUUUCUAGUUCCAUUUUACUGAAACCGAGGCUUUCAGUCAUCUUGCCCAUGUGGUAUGAUUUGCAUGUCUCAAGUGAUUCAAAAUCAAGUGAGUCCAAAUGGUCCAUUUGCAUGGAGUUUCUUCAUGCAUAUACACCAAUAGACAUGGUUCACAUGUCUCAAACUUUUCAAAAACGAGUGAGCCCAAAGAUCCAUCAACAUGGAGCUUCUUCAUGCGUUUUAUACCGAUAUGACUUAAGUGGCAGUGCCACAAGUAGGUGGUACUAUCAUUACUAUCUUAUAUCUUUUGGCAUGAACAUGUGUAUCACUACGAUCGAGAUUCAAUAAACCAUUCAUUUUAGGUGCAAGACCAUUGAAGGUAUCAUUCAAAUAAACAGAGUAACCAUUAUUCUCCUUAAAUGAAUAACCAUAUCGCGAUAGACAUAAUCCAAUCAUGUCUAUGCUCAAUGAAAACACCAAAUAACAAUUAUUUAGGUUUUAAUACCAAUCUCGAUGGUAGAGGGAGCGUACGAUAUUUGAUCAACCUUGGAAAUACUUCCAACACAUAUCGUCAUCUCACCUUUUAGCUAGUCUCCAUUUAUUCCGUAGCCUUUUGUUUCGAGUUAGUAACACUUAGCAACUGAACCGGUAUCUAAUACCCUGGUGCUACUAGGAGUACUAGUAAAGUACACAUUAUAAUGCAUAUCCAAUAUACUUCUGUCGACCUUGCCAGCCUUCUCAUCUACCAAGUAUCUAGGGUGGUUCUGCUUCAGUGACUGUUCUCCUUAUUACAGAAGCACUUAGUCUCGGGUUUGGGUUCAACCUUGGGUUUCUUCACUAGAGCAGCAGCUGAUUUGCCGUUUCAUGAAGUAUCCCUUCUUGCCCUUGCCCUUCUUGAAACUAGUGGUUUCACCAACCAUCAACAAUUGAUGCUCCUUCUUGAUUUCUACUUUUGUGGUGUCAAACAUCGCGAAUAUCUCAAGGAUCAUCAUAUAUGUCCCCGAUAUAUUAUAGUUCAUCACGAAGCUCUAGCAGCUUGGUGGUAAUGACUUCGGAGAACCAUCACUGUCUCAUCUGGAAGAUCAACUCCCACUCGAUUCAAAUGAUUGUUGUACUCAGACAAUUUGAGCACAAGUUCAACAAUUGAGCUUUUCUCCCUUAGUUUGCAGGCUAAGAAAAUCGUCAGAGGUCUUAUACCUCUUGAUGUGGGCACGAGCCUGAAAUCCCAAUUUCAGCCCUCAAAACAUCUCAUAUGUUUCGCGACGUUUCAAAACGUCUUCGGUGCCUCAACUCUAAACCGUUUAACUGAACUAUCACGUAGUUAUCAAAACGUGUAUGUCAGAUGUUCGCAACAUCCACAGACGACGUUCGAGGUUCAGCACACUGAGCGCUGCAUUAAGGACAUAAGUCUUCUAUGAAGCAAUGAGGACAAUCCUCAGUUUACGGACCUAGUCCGCAUAAUUGCUGCUAUCAACUUUCAACUAAAUUUUCUCUAGGAACAUAUCUAAAACGUAGAACUGAAGCGCGAGCUAUGACAUAAUUUGCGAAGACCUUUUGACUAUGUUCAGGAUAAUUAAGUUCAUCUUAUGAACUCCCACUCAGAUAGACAUCCCUCUAGUCAUCUAAGUGAUUACAUGAUCCGAGUCAACUAGGCCGUGUCCGAUCAUCACGUGAGACGGACUAGUCAAUAUCGGUGAACAUAUUCAUGUUGAUCGUAUCUACCAUACGACUCAUGCUCGACCUUUCGGUCUCUUGUGUUCCCAGGCCAUGUCUGUACAUGCUAGGCUCGUCAAGUCAACCUAAGUGUUUUGCAUGUGUUCCGAGGCCAUGUCUGUACAUGCUAGGCUCGUCAACACCCAUUGUAUUCGAACGUAAGAAUCUAUCACACCCGAUCAUCACGUGGUGCUUCGAAACGACGAACUUUCGCAACGGUGCACAGUUAGGGGGAACACUUUCUUGAAAUUUUAAUGAGGGGUCAUCUUAUUUACUACCGUCGUUCUAAGCAAAUAAGAUGUAUAAACAUGAUAAACAUCACAUGCAAUCAAAUAGUGACAUGAUAUGGCCAUCAUCACUUUGCUCCUUUUGAUCUCCAUCUUCGGGGCUCCAUGAUCAUCAUCAUCACCGGCAUGACACCAUGAUCUCCAUCAUCAUGAUCUCCAUCAUCGUGUCUUCAUGAAGUUGUCUCGCCAACUAUUACUUCUACUACUACAGCUAACGGUUAGCAAUAAAGUAAAGUAAUUACAUGACAUUUAUGUUGACACGCAGGUCAUAAAUAAAUUAAGACAACUCCUAUGGCUCCUGCCGGUUGUCAUACUCAUCGACAUGCAAGUCGUGAUUCCUAUUACAAGAACAUGAUCAUCUCAUACAUCACAUAUAUCAUUCAUCACAUCCUUUGGCCAUAUCACAUCACGUAGCAUACCCUGCAAAAACAAGUUAGACGUCCUCUGAUUGUUGUUUGCAUGUUUUACGUGGCUGCUAUGGGUUUCUAGCAAGAACGUUUCUUACCUACGCAAAGACCACAACGUGAUAUGCCAAUUGCUAUUUACCCUUCAUAAGGACCCUUUUCAUCGAAUCCGAUCCGACUAAAGUGGGAGAGACAGACACCCGCCAGCCACCUUAUGCAACUAGUGCAUGUCAGUCGGUGGAACCGGUCUCACGUAAGCGUACGUGUAAGGUUGGUCCGGGCCGCUUCAUCCCACAAUGCCGCCGAAUCAAGAUUGGACUAGUAACGGUAAGCAUAUUGAACAAAAGCAACGCCCACAACUACUUUGUGUUCUACUCGUGCAUAGUACCUAUGCAUAGACCUAGCUCAUGAUGCCACUGUUGGGGAACGUAGCAGAAAUUCAAAAUUUUCCUACGUGUCACCAAGAUCUAUCUACGGAGAAACCAACAACGAGGGGAAGGAGAGUGCAUCUACAUACCCUUGUAGAUUGCUAAGCGGAAGCGUUCAAGAGAACGAGGUUGAAGGAGUCGUACUCGUCAUGAUCCAAAUCACCGGAGAUCCUAGUGCCGAACGGACGGCACCUCCGCGUUCAACACACGUACAGCCCGGUGACGUCUCCCAUGCCUUGAUCCAGCAAGGAGAGAGGGAGAGGUUGAGGAAGACUCUAUCCAACAGCAGCACAACGGUGUGGUGGUGGUGGAGGAGCGUGGUACUCCAGCAGGGCUUCGCCAAGCACCGCAAGAGACGGGGAGGGAGAGGGGUAGGGCUGCACCAACAGGGAGAAGAACUCGUGUGUAUUGGGCAGCCCAAACCUCAACUAUAUAGGGGGGAAGGGGAGGGGCUGCGCCCCCACCUAGGGUUCCCUCCCUAGGGGUGGCGGCAGCCCCCUAGAUCCCAUCUAGGGGCGGCCAAGGGAAGGGGAGAGGGGGAGGCGCACCAAGGUGGGCCUUAGGGCCCAUCUUCCCUACGGUUUUCCCCCUUCCCCUCUUCCUUGCGCCUUGGGCCUUGGUGGGGGGCGCACCAGCCCACCUGGGGCUGGUACCCUUCCACACUUGGCCCAUGCAGCCCUCCGGGGCUUGUGGCCCCACUUGGUGGACCCCCGGGACCCUCCCGGUGGUCCCGAUACGUUACCGAUAAAACCCGAAACUUUUCCAGUGACCAAAACAGGACUUUCUAUAUACAAAUCUUUACCUCCGGACCAUUCCGGAACUCCUCGUGACAUCCGGGAUCUCAUCCGGGACUCCGAACAACAUUCGGUAACCACAUACAAACUUCCUUUAUAACCCUAGCGUCAUCGAACCUUAAGUGUGUAGACCCUACGGGUUCGGGAGACAUGCAGACAUGACCGAGAUGACUCUCCGGUCAAUAACCAACAGCGGGAUAUGGAUACCCAUGUUGGCUCCCACAUGUUCCAUGAUGAUCUCAUCGGAUGAACCACGAUGUCAAGGACUUAAUCAAUCCCGUAUGCAAUUCCCUUUGUCCAUCGGUACGAUACUUGCCCGAGAUUCGAUCGUCGGUAUCCCGAUAUCUUGUUCAAUCUCGUUACCGGCAAGUCUCUUUACUCGUUCCGUAACACAUCAUCCCGUGAUCAACUCCUUGGUCACAUUGUGCACAUUAUAAUGAUGUCCUACCGAGUGGGCCCAGAGAUACCUCUCCGUUUACACGGAGUGACAAAUCCCAGUCUCGAUUCGUGCCAACCCAACAGACACUUUCAGAGAUACCUGUAGUGCACCUUUAUAGCCAUCCAGUUACGUUGUGACGUUUGGCACACCCAAAGCAUUCCUACGGUAUCCGGGAGUUGCACAAUCUCAUGGUCUAAGGAAAUGAUACUUGACAUUAGAAAAGCUUUAGCAUACGAACUACAUGAUCUUGUGCUAGGCUUAGGAUUGGGUCUUGUCCAUCACAUCAUUCUCCUAAUGAUGUGAUCCUGUUAUCAACGACAUCCAAUGUCCAUGGUUAGGAAACCGUAACCAUCUAUUGAUCAACGAGCUAGUCAACUAGAGGCUUACUAGGGACAUGGUGUUGUCUAUGUAUCCACACAUGUAUCUGAGUUUCCUAUCAAUACAAUUCUAGCAUGGAUAAUAAACGAUUAUCAUGAACAAGGAAAUAUAAUAAUAAUCAAUUUAUUAUUGCCUCUAGGGCAUAUUUCCAACAUCCCCAUCCCCAUAACAAAUACUCAUAUACUUCCUUAGUUCCUAAAUACAAGUAUUUUUCAAGAUUUCAUUAAGGACUACAUACGGAUGUAUAUAAUAUUUUAGAGUGUAGAUUCACUCAUUUUGCUCCUUAUGUAGCCCGCAUUGGAAUAUUUAAAUAGACUUAUAUUUAGAAACGGAGGGAGUACUUAAUAUAAUAGACUAUAAUCAACAUAUAUACAUGGUUUUGUCUUGUUCUGCUAAUGCUGAUAUAGGUCAUACUGACUUCUUGGUCGUGGUGGCAGCUGGGGUGAGGAUGUGAGGUAUGGUUCACAUUUUCUUGAGGUUUUUUCUUUGUUUUCACAAGUUUGUUUAUGAAUAUUUGAAGGUUGACCAUAGUGUCAUAGUUAAAAAGUGGGUCCCCGAUGGGUAUUGGGUCUGGGGAAUAGGAUAUUGUCCCCAUCUCCGUUGUACCAUAUGGGAAAUAAAUUAGUUCGGUAAAUAUCCCAUGGGGAAGUUUUUCGCCCAUCCCCGCCCCGUAAUAGAUGAAAUCCCCAUGGUUUUGGCAGGUAUGGGCCCCAUUGCCAUCCCUACGCCCCAGGCAAUCAGUUAGCUCGCUAACCAUGUGAGAGAAAAUACUCAAGGAGAAAAUUAUGGCAGUUACUUUCGGGCUCUUUUGCCUUGGCGCGCUCUUCGUCGGCGGAUGCGGCGCAGGCAGAGACGGCCACGCCGGGGAUGGAGGCGGCCUGGCACAAGCCAGCUGGGCCUUCUCGCAAGGCCAUGUGGCAGCAAUGUCGUGUUCUGCAGCACCAACAAGGGAUUGGCGUGCGUGGUAGGUCGGGUUCUCCUACCUCAUUGGAGAGGAGGCAAAUCCCGCCGGAUCUCUAUGGGCUGUGUUUUCGGUGCUUCAAGGAGGGCCAUCAGAGGCAAGACUGUACGAACAAUCCGUUGUGCAUCAGAUGUGGGAUGUCGGGACACGUCUCAUCGCAGUGUCCGCAACCCAGGAGUCCAAUCUCGGUAGAGGAAUUGCAUCGGGCGGUCAUUGCCACGGUGGCUGGGGCUGAACCGAUGGCGAAGAGGCAGGCUCGGGAUGGUGGGAGGUUGUUGAUGGAGCCUGGGCAGGGGGCGCCGAGGUCGCCGGUUGCGCCCAACAACCACCUGCUACUCCCGGAGACACCGUCGCCGGUGGUGGAUGUCUGCAUCCUGCCGCGCUCUGCUACGAUGAACGACAUGGAGUGCCGGCUGCAGUUGUCGGUGGUGAUGUAUGUGGGGGGCCAACGGCCGUGGGUCACCUGUGAUAUGGCGGCGGAGAUCUUAUCGGUGCAGCUUGACAUACCGUGGCACAGGUUUUCGGUGCACAAGUAUCAUCCGGAGGACUUUCUGGUGAUGCUUGCCGGACAGGAGUUCAGAAACAAAGCUCUAGCUGCUCCAUUCGUCGUCCAAGGAGGGGUGCAGCUGUUCAUCAAGCCUUGGCUGAGGCAAGCGCAGGCAAAGUCCAAGCUGAUGAGGAUGCAGGUGGACUUGAUGAUAGAAGGGGUGCCGUCCCAUGCUGGGACUAGGGACACGGCGGUGGAGCUUCUAGGCAACUCCUGUUUGAUUGAGAGCUUGGCACCCAAAACGGAGAGCAAAGAGGAUUUGUCGCUCUUCAAGCUCAGGGCGUGGUGCAUGGAUCCAAAGGAGGUGCCAGUGUAUCGCCGUCUCUGGGUGCCGGAGCCGUCGUCGGCGAGUUUGAACCCGGCAGAGCGAAGGGAAACUUUCUGCCAACUGCUUGAGUAUCCCACGUUCAUUCAUGUUGGCAGAGUGUGGGAUUUCACACCACCGGAGCUCUGGGGACGGGCAGACGGUGAGGAGGAUGACAGCGGUCAAAGCGGCAUGCCGGAUAGGUCUCGCGAUUCGGCGCCAGGGGCAUUGGCAGGUUCAGCACUAGACGCGCGGUGUUUGCGACGAUCGUGGCGCCGGCAGGCAGCCAGCGGGGCAGUCUGGAGCUGGAGCUGACGGCGUUGGCAGAUCGUACCGGCAGGUGCUGGAGGGCCGGGUGGGCCCAUCGGAUUGGAGAAUCCCACCAAUGGGGUCGGGUGGGGCCCCAGUGUUAGCAGACAACAGGACAAGGGCGGUGAGGCAGUCAAAUUCAAGCGUGCCUUCCUGGUCCACAAUGAGGGGCAGGAAUCUGUUGAGGACAGAUGGCAGGCUGGUUUCAUCGGAUUCGCUGGAAAAGGAGAGAGGGAAGACCAAAGGCAAUGGCACCAGGACAACCACCCAGGUUCUCGAGUCUUCCGGACCAAUUACAGGCCCUGGGUUGGCGAGGGGCACCAAUCAGCUGGUGGCACAGGCCGUGGAGCCGGCUGCGACAGCUUUGGUGAUACGCAGAGGAGAUGGGAUUGGUGCAGAGGAGAUAGGAUUGGUGCAGGUGGGGGAGCCGACCGGGACAGAGGUGGUGAUCCCAUAGCAUGGGGCCUAGGUGGAGUUGGGAGUGGAGCAAUCCCCGAGGGUGGAUCAAUUGCGGGCAGAUGAUCUAGUGGUCUCCAGCACUCAGCUGGCCAUCCAGACUAUGGACGCGCAGAAAAUCCCAUCGGCACCAGGGUCGAAUGGCGAGCUGGUACCUGACCAACGGAUGGCUGGUGGAUGGGCCCCAGUGGAGGAUAUUUUACGGACUGAUACAGUCGGGGCGUGCAACGAGUUGGUGGUGGCGACAACCACAUUGGGUGAUGUGCCCAUGCACCCAAUGGUGGGUUCGGAGGCCACUGCGUGUGAUGUAACCACGUCGAGUCCAUGGAACAUGCCAUGCAACGUGCAUGCGAGCCCUGGCCAGCUGGUCUGUGCGGAUGCGAGACUUUCAACUAAAGAGCAAGUGGCACUUGGCAAUAUCAAGGACAUUCUGUGCGGGUUUGUUAAAGAAGUUAGCACCUCCCCUGCUCAAGGAAUUCGAGGGAUUGCGGGGCGUCCGGCCUGGACAGGACCCGUUUACACUAUGAUGCACUACCAGGUCACUUGGUGUGGGCGGUCCACGCAAGUCCAAGGCCUCCGCAGCGGAAUCGGUCCUACUCAAGACACUUGGGUUUGAUUGUGAUGAUUUGGCGGUCUUCGAGGACGCGCUAGGUCAACUGAGAGAGGUGUUUGACUCACCGCUGCAAGAGCAGCAGUUGAGGGCGAUCGCAACUAUCUUUGGCAAGGCAAUUCCAUUGAACUUGGGAGCCGAUCUGGAGAGCAGUGAGCUGGUGGCUGUCUAGGUCUCUAGCAGGGAGGUGGUACGGACAAGGAACUCUCGCUUUCCAUGUCGUACAACAACCAGGAGUUAGUGUGUUGGAAUGUGAGGGGACUCAAUAGCCCCGCUAGAAAGAAGGCUCUUAGGGAAUUUGUAGAAUCUCUAUGGGUAGCUAUCAUUUGUAUCCUAGAAACUAAGUUGGAGACGGUGGAUCAAUUUGUAAUAAUGCAAUGUUUAGGGCUAGUCUAUGAUGGCUUCUACUACUUGCCGGCUUCGAAUACUCGGGGUGGGAUCUUUGUGGCGUGGGAUUCCACGAAGGUGCAAUUGACAAACUUUGUCAACGAUACUAACUUCACAACAGGAUAUGUCUCUCCCUUGGAGGGACCGUCGUGGUGGCUCACAGUGGUGUAUGGACCGCAAGAGGAUGCCCAAAAGAUCAUAUUUUGGAAGAGCUAGCGGCGAGGCGACAGCUUUGCCCUAGCCCUUGGCUGGUUUGGGGAGAUUUCAACAUGAUUUUAUAUGCGGCUGACAAGAACAAUGCCCUUUUGGACCGGAGAAUGAUGAGUAGGUUUGAAAGGUUUGUGGAGGAUAAUGCGCUCAAGGAACUAUUCUUGCAUGGGCGUAGAUUUACGUGGAGUAGCGAAAGGGAGACACCAACGCUGACCAAGAUUGAUAGAGCAUUUGUCUCAAUUGAUUGGGAGUUAGACCAUCCGGAAUGCUUGCUGCAGGCUCUGUCUACCUCAACUUCGGACCACUGUCCCUUAUACCUAUCUCUCGAAGAACAUAUGCACUACAAGAAAAGAUUCAAAUUUGAGAAGUUUUGGGUCAAGAUGGAUGGUUUUUUGGAGGUUGUGAAGGAGGCUUGGGUUUGUAACCCGGAGAUCACGGACCCAUUCCAUCGUUUGGACACGUUGCUCAGGAACACGACCAACAGCCUAGCGAUUUGGGGUCAGAAAAGAGUGGGCAAUAUCAAGCUACAGAUUGUUGUUGCAAACCUCAUGAUUUUUCAGUUUGAUUAUGCUCAAUAAAUACGUCUACUGACCACAGAGGAGCGUGGGAUGAGGGGUAGGCUCAAGCACUUGGUGCUAGGUCUUGCUUUGCUAGAAAGAACAAUAUCCCGCCAGAGAUCUCGGAUUACCUGGCUGCACGAAGGUGAUGCCAACUCUAAACUCUUUCAUCUGGUGGCCAACGGAAGGAGAGUGAAGAAUUACAUCCCAGCUAUACAUGUGGAUGGACAAGUCAUUGCUGAUCAAGCUGGCAAAGAGGAGGCCUUCCUUAAUGCUUACAAAGCUCUCCUAGGCAGGGACGUGGCCAGGGAGCAUACUUUGGACUUGGCCUCUCUGGAUGUGACAGCGGUGGACUUAUCUGAGCAAGACUUAGUAUUCUCGGAGGCGGAAAUUUGGGUUGUUAUAAAAGAGAUGCCGUCGGAUAAGGCGCUGGGCCCGGAUGGUUUCAAAAAGCUUGGGAGAUUGUCAAGGGAGACCUGAUUGCGGCUCUACAUAAGUUGUUCAUUGGCAAUGGAGUUGGGUUUGGGAGGCUUAACCAAGCACUCAUAACUCUAAUCCCGAAGUCACUAGAGGCAUGCGGCAUUAACGAUUUUCGGCCGAUAAGUUUAGUUCACAGUAUGCCAAAGAUUGCUUCCAAGCUUAUGGCGAAGAGAUUGAGACCGAGGAUGGGAGAUUUGGUGGAUAUUAAUCAGUCGGCGUUCAUCAAAGGCGGGAAUAUACAUGACAACUUCUUGCUAGUACGACAAAUGGCAUGUAGGUUGCACAAGAGAAAGGCCAAAGGUGUGAUGCUGAAGCUGGACAUAUCGAGGGCAUUCGACUCACUCUCAUGGCCUUUCCUUUUGAGGUGUUGCGAGCUAAAGGCUUUUCAGAGAGAUGGAUUGAUUGGGUUGCCACUCUACUCACGUCGGCUAGUUCCAGAGUGAUUGUGGAUGGAUCGGCCGGAGCUAAGUUCAUGCAUGCUAAGGGCCUUCGGCAAGGGGAUUCUAUCUCACCUUUGCUUUUGUUAUAGCAAUGGACGUUCUUACCAAUAUUAUUAUCAAGGCUCAUGACUCCGAGGUGUUAAGCACAAUGACUGGAUGCAGCCCGUUGCAGAGGUUAUCACUGUACACUGAUGAUGUGAUCUUGUUUAUAAAGCCAACCAUCCUGAACCUGCACUUUGUGCGAGAAGUGUUUGGCAUUUUUGGAGAAGCUUCGGGACUGAAGAUCAACUAUGCGAGGUCGGCAGCAAUCAUGAUAAGGGCUGAACUAGAGGAUGAGCAGCUGGUCAGGGAUGCUCUGCCAUGGAAGAUGGAGUCAUUUCCAUGCAAGUAUCUUGGCUUGUAGUUGAGCAUUAAGCAGUUGAAGCGAUCGGAGUGGCAACCAAUGGUUGAUGCAGCGCUGCACAUCCUUCCUGGAUGGCAAAGAGAAUUGGUGACACGACCAGGGAGACUGAUUUUGGUCAACCAGGUUAUGAGAGCUAGGGCGACGCAUCAUCUGAUCGUGGCCGAGGCACCAACAUGGGCACUGGAGAGAAUUGACAAAGGAUGCCAGACAUUUUUUUGGGCCGGAUCAGAAGAGGUACAUGGAGAUAGAUGACUGGUAUCAUGGAACAGAGUGUGUCGUCCAAAAGAGCUGGGAGGGCUUGGUGUUAUUGAUUUACACAAGCAAGGGAUAGCUCUCAGGCUUAGGUGGGCAUGGCUUUCGAGAACCGAUGAGUCGAGACCAUGGCAGGGGCUGAACUGGAAACCUGAUAAAUAGGUCUGUGCGGCAUUUGGCAGCCUGGUGAAGUGGCAACUUGGUGCGGGCACAAAGGUGCUUUUCUGGACGGAUCGUUGGAUCAAUGAUGCAACAGUUAAGGAGCUGGCUCCACUGGUCUCUCGUCAGGUCAGGACACAAACUGCCAACAGAAGAUGUGUGAGAGAUGCAUUAUGGAUGCAUGCUUGGAUGGAGGAUAUUGGCGGAGAGCUGGACACGGAGGGUUUGGCACAAUUCAUCAGGUUGUGGGAGAUUUUGUUGGAGGUACAACUGGUGCCGGACACGGAGGAUAAACCUGUGUGGGAAUGGAACAGGGAUGGAAAAUACACGGCCUCCUCGGCACACAAGAUGAUGUGUAUUGGAGGGGUUAGAUUCCAACAUCACGCUGCAAUCUGGAAGUGUUGGGCACCACUAAUCUGCAAACUAUUCAUGUGGCUAGCCAUCCAGUACAGGCUCUGGACCUCGGACAGGAGAUGGAGACAUGGACUGCAGCAGGAGAGAUCACCGUGUUUCCCUUGUGAACAGGAGGAAGAUACUGUUGACCAUAUUUUGCUGCAAUGUGUUUUUGCUCGGCAAGUCUGGUACAUGUGCUUUGACAGAAUGGGGAUUGACAUGGCUUUAUGUCCCUCGACUCAAGAUAGUAUUGGGAGAUGGUGGUCAGAAGUGAGGAAACAGAUGCCAAAAUUGCAUCGGAAGGGUUUCGACUCUGUUGUCACAUCGGUAUGCUGGAACUUAUGAAAGCAGCGCAACGGAAGGGUGUUUGGCAAAACGGACUUGCAGAACGCAGGGGGCACAGUGGACCUGAUCUGGCAAGAACUAGUGAUGUGGACUAGGGCUGGAGCGACUGGAGUAGUUAUGUUUUGUGAGUAGUAGGCUUUGGGUUGUGUUAGGAGGCUGUGGUAGGACUAUGUAGGAGGCCUACCUAGCGUUGAUGUAAACUCUUAUACAUAUCUUUCUCCCGUUUAUAAAGCUAAGGUACACCAUUGACGUACCUUUAAAAAAAGUUAGCUCGCUAACCAAGAGAGAGAGAGGGGGAGGGAGGUAGAGAGGGAGAGAGGAGAGACAGAUUGCCGGCGGGAGGAGGAAGAUAACACACCUUAUGUUUUAGGAUAUUCUAAAGGCUGAGACAUUUUAGAUAUAUUGGGAAAAAAUAAGUAAUGUAAAGCCACUGUAGCAUUUCAGUAUGGGCGACGCUAGGCGCCGGUGCGCCGGCCCAAACGGUUCGGCCGGUCCAGGCCUAGCCGUCCGAUGCGCGAGCCUGGGCCGUCGGAUCUGCGCGAGAUCCCGUCUUCUCCAGCACCCAUCGUCAACCUCCCGCGCGGGGAAAAAGGAGAAGGAAGGAGAGCGCCGCCCCCGCAUGCGAGUUGCACCACUAGCCUUCCCGCGCUGCGCUUGCAACCUCUUCGCCGCCGUUCGCAUCCCUCAUCGCCGUCUGUCGUGUUCCUUGCAGCUCCUCGCCAUGGCGGGUCGCCGCUUCCACAUCACGCCUAUGUAGCACCGGCCAACAGCGGUUGCACCUCGCCGCCCCCAUGGUUGCAACACCAGGUGCGCGCCCAGGCGCCCUCGCCGACCCUCGCCGCCUGGUGCAUGCCGCUCGCAUCGGCGCCGUAUCUCUGGUCGCCACUUCCAUCUGUCGCCAUUGAAGCAAAAAAACUCACCGGUGGAAGCUUUGCAGGUUGCCGGUUGCAACAAAAUCAGAGCUGCGGGGGUUGUUUGAAGCAAAAUCGACAAACGCUUCCAGCAAAAUUGAACACCCGUUCCAGCUUUUGUUUGGUCGGUUGUAACAUUUCACGGCGUCGUCGGCGAGGGUGUCAAGAGCUCCGGUAGGCGGUUGAAGCAAAAUUGAAAAACGCUUCCAGCAAACGUGAAUGCCCGUUCCAGCUUUUGUUUUCGCCGGUUGCAACAUUUUACACUUGAAAAACAUAUGGUUGUAGCAAAAAAAGUCAGGCGCCAUCGCCGCCGGCGACGCUCGCCGUCGUCCUGGUUGCAACAAAAUCAAGCGUCGGGCUAGCUUCCUCAAGACUGGUUGCAGCAAAAACGCAGCAUCGUUGUCGGCGGAGGAGCGGGGUGGGGUGGGGGUGGGGACGGAGCGUUGGGAGGCGGCGGUGGAGGCACGCAGCUUGGCCGGCGGCGAACGGAGGGUGAGCUCGCGGCAUUGAGGUGAAAAAAUGAAGAUUGGAUCGAGGGAGGAGGAAGGAUGGUUACAUGGGCCCAAAAAAAAGGAGGCGCGGCCCACUACGCUCGCGUUGGGCGCGUGAUGAGGCGUGCGACCGGCCGAAGCUUCGGCCGGUGCACCGUCUGGGAACGUUUCCCUUACGGCAUCGUACCAAAACAAUACUGUACCUCCCCGGUUCACUGUAAACUCCCUCACGCGCCCCUAGGCAAUCAAUUAGCUAGCUAACCUCGAGAGAGAAAAUACUCAAGGAGAAAAUCAUGGCAUUCAGUUANNNNNNNNNNNNNNNNNNNNNNNNNNNNNNNNNNNNNNNNNNNNNNNNNNNNNNNNNNNNNNNNNNNNNNNNNNNNNNNNNNNNNNNNNNNNNNNNNNNNNNNNNNNNNNNNNNNNNNNNNNNNNNNNNNNNNNNNNNNNNNNNNNNNNNNNNNNNNNNNNNNNNNNNNNNNNNNNNNNNNNNNNNNNNNNNNNNNNNNNNNNNNNNNNNNNNNNNNNNNNNNNNNNNNNNNNNNNNNNNNNNNNNNNNNNNNNNNNNNNNNNNNNNNNNNNNNNNNNNNNNNNNNNNNNNNNNNNNNNNNNNNNNNNNNNNNNNNNNNNNNNNNNNNNNNNNNNNNNNNNNNNNNNNNNNNNNNNNNNNNNNNNNNNNNNNNNNNNNNNNNNNNNNNNNNNNNNNNNNNNNNNNAAUGCAUCGUAAUUUUACGUUCCGUAAGUUUUGUCUUAUUUCCGACGAAAAAAGAGACCGUAAGAAAUAUAUAAUCGCCAUAAAAAAUAUUUUAUGUUAUGUAAAAUUACAAACGUAAAAACAUAGUCUAAAAUACACAUAAACUGUAAAUUUUCUUGUCUUAUGAUCUAUAUUUUUAUUUUCUUAUGUCAAAUUUUACGUAGUGAAUCAAUAGAAAUGUAACUAUUUGAAUUUCAAACGUAAUUUAAUUAUGAAAUGAUCGUAAGAUUACCUCGGGUGCAGAAUAACUUAUUCUACACCCGAGGUAAUCUUACGAUCGCUUUCCAAAUAAAUUACGUUUAUAAUAUAAAUAGUUACAUGCAUAUUGAUUCAAUAUGUAAAAUUUGGUAUAAAACAAAAAUAUGGGUUAUAAGACCAUAAAAAUCAUAUUUUAUGUUUGUUUUACACUAUGUUUUCACAUUCGUAAUUUUACGUAACAUAAAAUAAUUUUUAUGGUGAGUACAUACUUUCUUACGUUCUCUUUUUAUGUAUGAAAUACGACAAAAUUUACGAAAUGUAAAAAUAUGGUGUAUUGAUGUCAAAAUAUGCAGGCGGGAGGGAGGAGAUAACAUGCCUUAUAUUUUCGGAUAUUCCAAAAGCUGAGACGCCUUAGAUAUUGGGAAGAAAGGAGUAAUGAGGAAUUGUAGCGUUUUCGGUAUUAUAGCAAAAUGAUACUGUACUACCUGGUUCACUGUAGUGCCCGAUUUCUUGCUUGGUUUUGUUUCGAAUAUUUUAUGAAAAUAUGACUAUAUACACCGAAUGAUUUUUAAACACACAUUGCACAUUUUGUAAUAUACAUCCAAAAAUUGUUAAAUACAGUGAUUUUUUUUGUAAAAAACAAUGAACAAAUUUCAAAGAGACAAUGAACAUUCUGUAGCAUACACUGAAAAAUGUCUUAAUAUACGGUGAAUUUUUUUCAAAUGCACAAUGAACAUUUUGUAAUAUAUGUUGAAUAAUUUCUUAAUAUACGAUGCCCAUUUUUUUAAUACAGGAUAAACAUUUUUAUAAUGCAUUAUGAUAUUUUUUUCAUAAUAUACUAUGAACAUUGUUUUAAUAUUUGAUGAACUUUUUAUAUGAUACGCAAAAAGGAGAAAAAAAAAGAAAUAGAAAUAAAGAACAUAAAAGAAAAAACGAAAUGAGCGAACCAACCUGUGGUUGGAUGGUUAGAGGGACUGUGGUAUCCUCAGCCCACCAGGGUUCAAGUCCUGAUGCUCACAUUUAUUCCUAGAUUUAUUUCAGGAUUUCUGGCGAUGCGCAUUUAGUGGGAGGAGACGUUCCCGUUGAUGACGAGGUACCUACGGUGACUUCGUAAAUUUCAAGAUGAUAUGUCGGCUCAGUCUUUCGGAGGUGCUCAUAGGGAUAGGGAUUUUUUUUAUAUAGAUUUAACAUUUUUAAAUACUCCCUCCGUCCCAAAAUAAGUGACUCAACUUGCAUGAUUAACAUUUUCUGAAUACAUGUUUAAAAAAUUCAAACACAGUUUAAACAUGUUUUGGUAUGAUAUGAAACAGUUUUUAAACCAUGUAAACAUGUUUCUACAUUGGAUAAACAUUUUUAGAAAAUGUGACAAUUUGUUUUGUUUGAAAGUAUGAACAUUUUUCGAAAUGUAACACACAGUCGUUUCAAUGGUACGAAACAUUUUUGUUUGAAUUAGACGGACAUUUGUUUUCAUGGUAUAACAAUAAAAAUAAUGUGAUGCACAUUUUUCUGAAAUACGUUAACAUUUUUGGAAUUUCACAUACAUUUAUUUUGAAUGAUUGAGCAAACAUUUUUUACACUGCAUUUACAUUUUUUAAAUGUGUGACAAACACUUUUAAAAAAUUUACUCCAUCUGAUCCAUAUUAAUUGUCGCUGAAACAGGAGUAUCUAGAUGUAUUUCAUAAUAUAUGUAUUUAAUAUUUUUGAAAUAUAAACAAAAGAAAAAAUGCGCAUAACAUCAGCGUGGCGAGACCAUGUGUUUACUGGGCCCACUACCGGCAUCAUGCAGGCGACAUUGUCUUUUGUCUCGCAUAAAGCGAGACCUAGACUUGCCCCUACUCUUAUCGAUGGUCAAGAUGUUUCUGUUUUUUUUUCAUUGUACAAAGUGCUUUGUGAUAGGUGCUAAAUGAAUAUAUUAGAAGCACAUAAGCACUAGACCAAAACAGCAUGCCUAAGUGGCUUGGUGGAAAGUAAGGUCGCAUUCCAAAUGAAGGCUAUAAAAAAAUGGAGUUUCAUUGACCUUUUUUUCCGCAAAAACCGAACUUCCAAAGAUUUGCUAGAUACAGGCAUCGGUCGAUCGACGAGGGACUCCAUUCUCCUUCUGCAGACAGACAAUCAGAACAAGUGAUUUUUGUGCAGUACAAAGGCGCGUAGAUUCUGUAGAACGCAGGCAUAAGGUGCUUACUACAUGCAGGAUGAAGUCAGAAAGUCUGAUGUUCGCCAUGAGAUCAGGAAAAUGCUAGCUAUCCACCUCGCCCAGUUGUAAAGGGUGUGAUAGCCUGAAAUUGUGGGUAACGCUAACGGUGAGAGGAGUAGAAAAGUAACACUCAUGCAUGAUGCAUCAAAUCGGCAAGAUUGACAAGGAACGAAUUAUUGUUCAUGUUAUGUGGGCAGGCCAUUACAACACUGUUAAAUAAUCUCACUGCUAUUACGAAAAGUUCGUCUUUCCUGCCACCCGUAACAUAAUAAUAUGUCGUGUAUUUAAAACUCAAGUGCCAGCAGUGGAGUCAUUUUGCAGGCAUAGGAUGUGAUGCAAACUGGAGAUUUAAACCAAGAACCUCAACUGGAACCUAUCACUAGAAAGGCUCAAAUAAUCCAGCAAUCGCAAAACAAAGUGAUGUACAUAGAAAACAUUGGUCAAUAUAAACAGAGAACUGACAUUUCCAACUAACUCCACAUUUCACUAUGGUAAAAUGUGGAGCCCAAUGGAUGGAUGGCCUCAAAAUUUAACUCACUAACAUCUAUUCGAAUUCCUUUUUCUUGUCGGAGCACCACAGCCCAGCAGUCAAGUACUCCCUCCGGUCCUUUUUACUCUGCACAUUGGAUUUGCCAAAAGUCAAACUUUGCUAAGUUUGACCAAAUUUAUAUUAGAAAUUAUUAGCAUCUAUAAUAUCUAAUUAAUAUAAUAUGAAAAUAUAUUCCAAGAUGAAUCUAAUGACACUGGUGUUGUUAUGUGAAUGUCUAUAAUUUUUUAUAUAAACUUGGUCAAAGUUGGAUGAGAUUGACUUCGGACAAACCUAAUAUGCAGAGUAAAAAGGACCGGAGGGAGUAAAUAUGAAAUAUAUGAACGACAUACCAAGACGAAUCACCUGGGCAAUUUCUAAUGAACACACAUGCUCCCAUUUCUAGCAUUUCUUCCAAGGCACUACAGUUGCAUUUCGUUGCACAGAAAUAAUAUAGUCAUGAGACGCUCCUACCAAGGAACGCAAAAACAGAGAAAUAUUCUCCCAGAUGAUAUGUCUAACAUGCAUAAUUGUUUGCGUGAAUCAAAUAUAAGACCUAGUCAUCUCAAAUGUAACUGUUUAAUAUCUAUUUACUGGAAUGAGAAGACACUCAUUACUAAAAACAAUCCACUUAGAUGCACUAAUGUAAAGGAAAGAGCAUUAAGCAAAAGAGAUGAAGAAAAGUAACACAAAUCACCUUUUGUGCAAUUUUCAUGCUUUCAUGUAUGGAAAAUAUUUUCGUCCAGCAUGCAGCACAUAAACUAAGUAUUCUCUGAAUAUCAACUAAAUAUAGUAGAAAUGCCCAAUGACGACCACAAUACUAGUAGAUGGACAGACAAAAAAAGUGAUUUUGGAGCAUUUAGUUGUGGAUCAUUACUAGUUUCUUUAACAAGUAACUGAAGUACUCUACAUUUAUGUUUCAGAAAGACAUUAACAGCAAUGAGCAGAAACUAGCUACUCCGAAAUGAAAAUUCACAAGAAGCAUAUCAGAACACAGGAGCUUCCUGACCCAAAAUGAUUUGUAUAUGGAACUAGAAGAGGUCAGUGAAGCUAGAAAUAACAUAUGGAACUACUGCACCAUGACAUGUAGCAGCUAGAAAUAAUAUAUGGAACUAGAGGUCCGGAAGCUAGCAGCAACAGCACCAUACUUCAAUGGGAACUAGUAUUCCUGAAAAUAGCAUCUGCAAGACCUAGUGGAUUUAGGUCGAUUUUACAGUUAUUUGCAGCACAUUGCUAAGUGUGCACAUUUAUAUUAAAAAAACCUUCUGAAUCAGCCAUGCUGGUGGCAAAAACCAAGCAGAACAAUCGAGAAGCAUAUAUUGAGCAAAGUUUUUUGUAACAAUUAUGGUUGCAUAGCAUACACGAUUUACUUGCGCAUUUAUGUCCCGUCCCGUGCCUCUUUAAAACAUCUCAAGGACUUAAUGCAGGAUGCCAAAAUCGAGGAUGGUAACAAAAUAGACCCUCCUAACAUUACCGGGCAUGUAAAGCAAGGCAUCUCUAGUACAUCAGACUGGUGAAGGAACAAAUUAAACUUAUGCUUGUAUGCAAACCAAAACACAAAGCUCAGGAAAACCACUUGAUUUCACUAGAACUAGUGAUUCUAGACAGUUGGCCUCUUUGUAUUGGCAUUGUGUCAGCAAAGGCGUUGAAUGCCUCUUGGAACUCCUACGUAAUGUGACGCGUCGCUCGCCACAUACUUUUUAGAAAAGAAAUAAGUGUAUAUUUCAGAAAUAUACACUUCUCCUAUGAAUAUGAUUGUCCCCCUACAAGAGUUGUGUACCAGCAUCGUUGUUACUUUCUUGAACUGUUAAGUUUGCACUCUGUCAAAUUAGCAUUGGCCAUUGGGGCAAAGAUGUGACUGGAAGUAGGUCUAGCUUUUGCACCGAUGAGAAGAAACGAGGACCAGCAUCGAAAUGAGAAUCAAUGAGAGUUGCUUGGGAUGCUGACACAGCCACCGAGCUGAUCUGGUGCAGGAGCAGUUUCCAAAAAAAAUUAGUAGAGAUACCUGUUGCCUCCUGGUAUAAUAUAUGUACCUAUCCCACAUAAUUUCAGGUCAUGAGUUCUUACUAAGCUGUGGCAUUGAUUCUACCACCCAUAUGCAACCUUGCGUGCGUGGUCACACGUACCACCUGUGAAUAUAGUAAUCGACAACGUCAGAUCAACUGGAUCCUAAGUCUACCUAGAGAUAUGAGCAGCUGAGGGCUUCACAUGGAGAUAUGCGACUUUUGAUCGGCCGGGCUUCCAGGGUUUCAGUGUGCUGCUGCAGAUCUGAAACUGCUAGCUAACUAUCUUUGAGGUCAACUAGAUGGUGUGCAGCGGUGCUGUGCUGUGCUGCCAACCAACUCAACUAGGGCACCUGACAGUUUUUGCCUGCUCCAUUUGGAAUCUGCCCACGCCUACCAAGCUCUGCUUCUAAUGGUCAACCCAUUAUCACACAGUGUGGCAUUAAUUAGUUCCAUGCAUGGCCCUGCGAUCUAGACUAAGCUGCUGUGCACGGAGAACCAUGGAGCCUGUAAAAUGUCAACGAAAUUAGCAGAGAAACCGAGUGGACUAUACUGCUGGUUUUCACUUGUGAUGAUCCUUUCUCCCCUCUUUUAUCUGACAGGAAACAAAUGCUGGCCGGUCCGUGAGGAGCUGACCUACGAAUUAACAAAUGCAGGCCGGUGCAGUGCGUGACAGUGUCAGAAGCUUCUGGGACUUGGAUCCAGCGAAACGUAGCCAUUACCAAGGCUAACACCACUAUAAAUGGCUAGCAUUGCUGCCCAUUCUGCACAAACCCAUAAGCCAAACAAAAACAGCUCUCUGGUAGGUGUUUACGCUUAGCGUUUUCAUCCUACAAUGAGAUCACUGCCCAUUGUAGUACUUUCCCUCCUGAUUCUUGUCCUUGCUGCCCAUGUAUCCCAAGCCGAUGACAAGGGCUCUUCGGUUGGAAGUGGGAAGGAUUCCCAUGAUGGUGAUGAUCAUAAAUCAAAUGGUGUAGGGCCGGUGAAAAAACCAAAAUGCCCUAAGCCCGGACAUGGUCCGAAAAACCAUGACAAUGAUGGUCGAGGACCACCGGAAAAGGAGUGCGAUGAUGGAGAGACAACACCGUCAUCACCUGGGCCUUCCCCAGACCAAGGUAAUGGUUCGCCAUCACCACCGCCAUCCCCAUCUUAUUCACCACCCAUGACUCCAUCACCUCCACCUCCAUCAGAAACUAGUCCUCCUCCGCCUUCAUCAAGCCCCCCACCAACACCUUCAUCUAGUCCUUCUGUUACACCUCCAACCUACGAACCUAAUGAUCAAUCGCCACCGCCUCCAUUGAAUCCUUCGCCCAUUCCCCCACCACCUCCAUCUAGUGCGCCUGCGGCACCUCCAAUGAACCCGACUAAUGAUCAAUCUCCUCCACCAUCUCCUUCAUCUAGCCCCCCAACGAUAGCUCCAGUCACCCCACAAACACCUCCAUCUAGUCCCCCUGUUACGCCUCCAUCUUACGAACCUAACGAUCAAUCGCCACCACCUACAUUGAAUCCUCCGUCCAUUCCCUCACCACCUCCAUCAAGCCCAACUGUGGCACCUCCUAUGAACCCAACUAAUGAUCAGCCUCCUCCACCAUCGUCGUCAUCUAGCCCCCCACCAAUAGCUCCAACUACUCAGCCACCUCCCUCUAGCCCACCUGCUACACCUCCAUCAGACUCAACUGAUGAGGAAACUCCUACAUCACCACCAUCAUCUAGUCCACCAGUAAUAACACUAUCAAGCCCUCCACCACCGUCAUCGAGUACAGCACCGGCUCCAUCCAUUGCCACACCACCUUUGUCUAAUCCCCCUGCCACACCUCCAACGUACCAAGCUGAUAACCAAUCCCCUCCACCUCCACCAUCAUACAGUUCGCCACCGACAACAUUAGCUAGUCCUCCACCACCACCAUUGAGUCCACCAGCAAUAGCACCAACCACUAGCACACCUCCUCCAUCUACUUCCCCAUCGCCUAUGUACACUCCACCAGCAACACCUCCAACGGGCUCAACUGAUGAGCAAACUCCAUCACNNN